CUAAGGACAAGGGAUCAAAGAAUUUGCCGCCAGGGUAACCCUGUUCUCCAGUGAAGUUGGCAAAGUUCUCAGCAGUCUUGGACCAUGGAGUGGCCCAUUCUACUGACUGAGACUCAGGGUUGAAGAAGUGGGACCAUGGAGUUGCCCACUCUACUGACUGAGAUUCAGGGUUGAAGAAGUCUACCCACCUUUUGCUCUCAACCCACCCCAUGAGUAGAAGUUGAGUGCCAAGAAGUGAUCCAAAAGAGAAAGGUGCAAUAGCACCGGGGUCAGCACCAGCCUCGAACCAUGGAAUGCCACUCCAGGCUUGACCAACAAAGAUGCCCAAUACUGCAGCCAUUGCCCAUCUGCCGUGAAUGAGCUCUGCUUCUCUGUACCAUUUCAAGAAUGCAGGGUCCUUGCCAAGACCAAGUGGGUCAAAACCAUAGUCACCAGGGAGCCUGCAAGUUCAAACGCAGUUAAGCCUUUGCGAAAAUGAAACAUUAGAAGAGGGGGGAGGAGCAGAGACGAAUCUAAAGCAAGUUCAGGGUUCAAACUUUCAGCUCGAACCAUAUAUACAUAUUCUGAAUACACUAAUUUUAAAUCCUUGAUUCGUCUCCAGUGGAUGGAGGUUGAGGGUAGGAGAUAUAAAGUGAACUUACGAGCCAUCAAGCCACUCAGGGUCAAGCAAAUUGCCACCACCUUUAACAGCAGGAAUCCAAGAUUUCUUGGGAGCAGCUGCUGCCGCCACAAUGCACCUCUUGGGAGUGGCAAGACCACCAACUCUGGUGGCAACUGGAGCACCCAACAAUGCCUGACUGUUCUUGCCACCAGUCAAGAAAGAGGAGCUCAAGCCAUUAAGCACAGCGGCAGAUGUGGUGGCCAUGUUUCUCACUACACGCUUAUGGGGUUUGUUUGUGUAAAAUAAGCUGUGUGGAUGGUUGUUUCUUGUUAAAAUGUAGAAGUGUUUCUAGUUAUAUGGGGUAUGAGAUCAAAAGGCCAGAUUGUAAGAAGCCAAGUAGGAUAAAUGAAAUCUACAGAUGAAAUCUAUGAUCUCUAGUGGAUAGAUUUCGGACCAAUAAGAUGUUCAGCUCCAUCUCUAUCUCCCUUAUUUAAUUUGUGCCAUCCACGUGGACACCUCCCCUAUAGUAUAUGCAUCUGCAUGGUUUGUAAUGCCCCACUCUCCCACCUCUCAAAUGCUUGAACAACCAGAUUCUCUGGAUAAGAAAUUCUUGUGUGUCACAUAGCUUCUACUUAGUUCUUUGAGCUAUCAUGCUGGUGCUAAUGUUUAUGUAGUACCACUAGUUGAAAUUUGAGAACAACAACUAGGGGGUAAAUGGAUCUUCAAAAAUCGAUUCAAGCUGACCGAAUCGUAUCGAACCGAUUAUGAGGUUUACGUUAAUAAAAUCAUAGGUUUUUAUAUUAAUUUAUAAUCAUACCGAAUAAUUGGGUAAUUUUCUAAAAUAAAUUGAAAAAAUACCAAACUGUACCAAAUAAAUUUAUACAUGAAAAAUAUAUUUUAUAUUCUAAGUUUAUAUACUAACAAACAAGCUCCUUUUCUUGAGUAUUGGGAUUAUGAAAAUGAAUACAAGUGACCAAAUAAUUAAUUUUCAAGGUCCCAACUUCCAAACAUAUUCACUACUCAUAUCGAAACUAAAUUAGUUCUAACAUCUUGAGUAGCAAGCCACUAGGUAUUCCACCGAUCUUCAGUAGCAAGCCUCAAGGUAUUGGGUAUUUUCCUCUCGUAUAAUUUUGAUUUCUCUGGCUGGAUACUAAUCUUUUAAUAAACUCUAUUCUUAAGUCCCAACUCGAUUAGUAUCUUUCCACUUGUAUGAAUUAUAUUUCUCUUGUCUUUGCUUAAUUUGUUUUACGAUGUCAUAGAAUAAAGGGAUGAAUCUAUAUUUUGGACAUUUUUCAUGUUCCUUUGAUCUUCACUUUUAAAAUAAUAAAAGUAUUUAGAGAGUUUUGCCAAAGUUAUGCAAUUACACAUUAUUGCAUUCUAACUUUAACUAGAAACUCUUGCGUGGAAUUUUUAGAAAAAUACCAGAAAAUCGAGAUGAUUGAGACGGUAAUAAAAAGUCUAAUUAGUUGUACAAAAUGAAAUAAACAGAAAUUUGGUGUGGUAUAAAUUUUAUAAAAUAACUAGUUGUGCCGAACUAUUCAUCUCCUAAUAGCAACCAAAGUUUUUUAUUCGAGUUAGAGUAAAAAAUACCUAUACUAUUAAUGUAGGUCCUGCCAUACCAUAUUAUUAAUCAUUUUAUUAGAUUAUAUAAUUAGCUUAUAACUAACCUAAUUGUGAAAAUAUUACACGAAAACGUACUAUCUAUUGUAUAGGAUAAAAUUGUUUCAUAUUAAAUACUCGUAUAAUAGAGCAACACGUAGAACCAUAGAUAGACAAAAAAUGAGAUAGGUGAAAACCAAGACCGGGGCUAGUAGCUUCGGUUACCAUCGGAGAGCCCUCGAAGGGAAGAUUACUAUUGAAGACAGACAAGUGCCUGCCAUACGGUAGGAUUCAGUGAAGAUAUUCUGCAUAUUAAAUACAUAGUCUGUUAUAGAGAAUUAUGGUAUUUAUAGCAAGCGUUGGUAGAAGUCCAAUUCAUCCUGGUGCUCGAACAAACCAAACAGCAUAGAGGAUUGAUAACAACACCCCGAGGGGUGAGGUCGACUUCAAAAAUGCCGGGGGGAACGAUGAGGGAUCCGGUAACAACAACGAGAGUGAUCCCUUAAAAAUCGAUCUCAUGCGAUUUAUGAUGGAGAUAAACUCAUGAACAGAUCAAACCCCGAGUGCACCAUCGCUGUUGAUAGGACCGGACUCAAAGAAGUAUACCCAAUUUUCAGCGCGACGCUAGAGCUGAUCCUUAAGUGGCUCAAAAUUCUAUACAUGCCAACAUAUGAUGGGACUUCAGCUUAUCAAGAGUACAUUCACCACCUAUAAAAUGACAAUAAAAGAAAACGACUUAGCUCCGCACGAGAUUGAAUCAGUCUUGUUGAAGAAGAUCAGGGAGACCCUCAAAGAAGAGCCCUGAAAUGGUAUUCGCUUUUCCCUAAGCACUCAAUAUGUUCCUUCAAGAUGAUUACGGAUUCUUUUAUCAAGGCCCCUGCGGGGCUAGGAAGGGUCAUGUCUAAAAGGCCGAUAUAUUCAGAAUUGCACAAGGAGAGUUUGAGUUGUUGUGGGAGUCGUAACCAGAUUUUAGAAGGAAAGGAUGUUGCUGGCGGAUGAAUGGGUAGUUGAGGCAUUUACUAAAAGUCUGAAUCUAAGGAGUUCUGACGCUUCCCGAAAAUAGAAAGAAAGUUUGCUCGAGUUAUAGGCAACAAUAUGGGCAGAUGUCCACAACUGCAUGAGUUGAAUAUAAGAAUAGAGGAUGACCAGCUUUGUUUCCUAGCAUUAACCAAGGGUCGGGAUCGAGAAUAGAAUAAGGAAAAGUUGAAAGAUGAUUUAGAUGCAGAUCCCCGGUCUUCUAGUUGUUGGUUUUUGCCCUAAGAAAGGGCCGAAAUUGGGUAGAGGUUUCUCGUCGGCAGAUAGAUUCUCUACUAAUAGGAUAGUUGAUCACACCGGGAACAGUAUAUCAUUGCAGGACAAAGAGGUGUCAGGAUCCUAAGACUUCACCUACCCCAGGCUGUUUAAGUAAAAUAUCAAUGUCAAUGUGAUGGAACUGGUAUUCGCAAUGAGAAACAUAAAAAAGAUCGGUUACCUAGGCCGAUGAGAUCCGACCCAGUCAGAGGGGUCCUAAUCUAUAGGGCGAGUAUCAUGGUACUAAUGGCCAUUGUACAGGAGACUGCAAUCAUUUGCGAGAACAGGUAGCGACAUUGCGAAAAAUGGACAUCUUAGAGAAUUCUUAAGCGACCGAGAUUGAAUAACUAUGGGCGUAAUCAAGAUAGUACAGAACCCUCAAAAGUAGGAAAAGAUCCCCUUCAUCUAAAUAUCAACAUUUUUUUUGGGGGAGGGGGUGGAGGAAGGGGACAAGAUUAAUGGUGUAACCUUUCUGGCAGCGAAAAAGACAAUGGUAUUAGUGACCCAUAACAAGAAACUCCGAGAAGUCACCGAGGACGACACCACCUUCAUGAAAGAGGAUGCGGAUGUAGUCCUACUACCGCACAAUGAUGCCCUGGUAAUUUCUUUUAAUGUUUUAGAUUUUAAAAUUAAUGUAUUUUUGUGACCUAGGAAAUUCAACAAUUUUAUCCAAUGGAGAGUGCUGGAACAAGCCAAGAUAAUCGAAAUCAUUAUUUCGUCCACAAAGCUCUUUGUUGGAUUCAAUAUAGCAAGCGUGACAACCCGAGGAGAAACUUUGCUGCCAACAAAUGCUGAAGUGGUAAUGAAGACGAUCCUUUUUGACGUAGUAGACGACGAUAUGGGCUACAACAUUUUUCUUGGAAGAACAUGGCUACACGAGAUAAAGGUUGUGCCAUAAAUAUAAUAGCAACUUCUGAAAUUCCUAACUUCAGAUGGAAUUAAGAAAAUAAGAGGAGAUCAACCGGCAACAAGGGAGAUGAAUGCGAUCCCAGUUUCCAGUAGCAAGAGGAAGGAGCAUGCAGCAUAGCAAUUACAUGAACCGACACCUGCUCCCAAACCAAAUGAAGACAGCAAGGGUAGGAGUCAUCAGAAUCCUAUAAAGCGCCAAGAUACUUCCAGGUACCAGAAGAAACAUACUCAACAAGAUCCAUAGUGGAAGUACUCGAGGAAGUCGCAUUGUUUGAAAAAUUAUUGGAAAAGAAGUUCCACUUAGGGAAAAGGUUAAACCCCAAGAUCAGGUUAGGAUUAUAGAAUUUGGUCACAUGCGGAUAUGACAGGUAUCACGCAGAGGUAGCCGUGCAUAAGUUAAUCCUGGAUUCCAAUAUCUCUUCGGUAAGGCGAGAGAAACGUCAUAUUGCCCAUGUCAGAAACAAAUUUGUCAAAUAAGAUGUAACUCGAUUGCUUGAUAUUGGUUCAAUCUGGGAGACAAAGUAUUAUGACUAGCUAGAUAAUGUAGUAAUAUGUUCACAAAAUAAUAAUAAAUUUCACAUGUGCAUAGGUUAUAAGGAUCUGAAUAAGGCGUGCCCAAAAGACUCGUUCCCAUUGCCAAACAUUGAUCAAGUGAUUGAUGUGAUGGCCGGGCAUGAGUUUAUAAGUUUCCUAGAUGCCUAUUACGGGUCAAAUCAAAUCAAAAUAAACUUGGAGGAUCAAGAAAAAACUUUAUUCAUGAUAACCUUUGGCAGAUAUUGCUAUAAUGUGAUGCCUUUCGGGCUUAAGAACGCCGAAGCCACUUUUCACAGGCUUGUGAACAAAAUGUUUGAAAAAUAAAUAGGGAAAAUAAUGGAUGUUUAUAUAGAUGAUAUUUUGGUUAAGUAUUUGAACACGAGUGAUCAUCUUAAAUACCUCCAAGAAACCUUUGACAUCCUAAGGAAUCACAACAUGAAGCUUAAGCCCGAAAAAUGUGCAUUCGGAGUCAACUCCGGUAAGUUCUUAGGGUUUUUGGUGUCACAAAGGGGGAUCGAAGUCAAUUACGAUAAAAUUAAAUCCAUCAAAUACAAUCCCAACCAUUUGUCAAAUGUGAAAGAGGAGGUUAACAGGAAGACUGGCUGCUUUAAGGAGGUUCAUUUCCCGUUCUUUAGAAAAAUGCCAUAACUUCUUCUAAUUUCUAAAGAAGAAGAACUUCGAAUAGACUCCAAAAUAUCAGCAGGUUCUGAAUGUAGCAGUUGUUGGUGGAGAAGGCAUGAUUGGCGAAGAAGGAGAUGAAACUAAUGGCAUUAUGGUUUGAUAAGCAGCUACGGCAAAAAUAGUGCUAGUUGUUAAUUGCUUGUCAAACAAAGACGGAAGAGACCUUGUACUUAGCCUCACGGUAUCGAGAAUAACGACUGGGCCUUGGAAGCGAGAAUUUACAGCCUUCACUAUAGCACACUCUCUCCAGAGCACUUGGACGUCAUCAUCGGUUAGUGUUGUUUGCUCAGCAUAUUGAGCAUUCUGUUGAGUUGAUGAAGGUUGUCGUCUCCUGUAUAGGGAAUCCCAUUCAUCACUGACUCUCCCAUCAUUAUCGAUCACCUUAGUGGUUGCGGUAGGUUUGGGUGCGGCGUUCUUCACCCUUUUUUAUUUUCACCCUCAGCCAUAGAGAAAUGUCCCCCUUUUUUUUGCUUGUUAUCCAUCCGGCGUCCGGGGACUCCAAAAGGAAACACCUGCAAUAGAAGUAGGUCCGAUGACACUCAUUCGGGAAAAAUCCUCCUGCAGCAACUUUUUCGCAUCUAUGAGAUCAGCAAAAAUAUACUCCUCGAGGAUGGUAGCAGAUCCCUACGGAAGACCUUAAUUCAACAAAAAGAGAAUUUAGCUAGUUUUUUUAUAUGUGAGGUAAAAACAAGAUAAGUUCGAGAAUCAACUUACCAUGAUUUUUGGCCUUUCACCCGUAUUUAAGGGCUAGUUCUUUCCAUCGGCGGGUCUUAGGCGUGGUGACGUCAAAAAUCUUCUGAACCCACUAGUCCAAGACUUCAACCCUUUUUGGUGUCCACCAAGUUGCUAAAAUGAUGACAAAAGAAGGAUCAGUAAUAACAUGGAACAACUUUUAAUCUGGAAAAAAGAUGGACAUUGAACUUACGGUACGAUUCCAUGAUUUAGGAAAAGAUGGAUUUGUAGCUGGGACGAUAUCCAUGGUAGCAAUUACAACGAACUGCUCCAUCCAUCCACGUCCAUUAUCAUUAUCCAUGCUGGUGUGCGAAGCAUGGUAACCACGUUUGCUGAAGUUUAUCAUUCCCCCACAAAAUAUCUUGGGGGAGUAAAGGUUCAUGAUAUCAUUCGAACCAGGGAGAGCUCUUUCCCCAUCUCCUAGAAUAGUCACAGAAGACAAGCUACCGUCUGUCACACAUAAGGGAUCACCUAUGCCAAGCAGACUUGAUAACAGAAGAAAAAUCCAAGAUUAUGGAGUCAAGUCCCCCGCUCAAUGAGAAUGGUCCCAAAGUGAAGGAAUACAUGUAUGUAAAACCCUUUUUUGAGAAAAGUUACUCGCUCCGCCAGAUCGGGAGUGAUGAUGUUCAAAUCAUAGAAAAUAUAGUCUUCCUUCAAAAUAGGAAUGCUAGAAGGACGAAUGGAAGAAGGGUAAACACCAACAACCUAGGUGCGGGAGUUAGCAGAAGGAAAUUUCUCCUAAAAAAUCCUUGGUUGUAUUGAGCUUUCUUGGGAUAAUGGUGCUCAAUGCAUGAGGAUCAGCAUCAUCGGUGCUUUCUUUGUUCUUUGAAGAGCUUCAGUUCUUGGAAGAAGAGGCCAUGGUUAUUAGAUGAAAAUAAGAGUUCUUUGAAGAAGAAGAUUAAAGAUGAGUAAAAACUAAGAAAAGUUGGAUGAAAGAAAUCGAGAGGGCUUUGCAAAAUUUUGAAGUGUAAAAGAAUGAGGAUGAAGCAUAUAAGUAAAGGAAUAAGCGGCUAAAAUCAUGGUCAUGAUUACCUCAAUAAACUUCGAAAAUAUUGCUAAACCACCGGAUGACGCAUGUACGGGACAUUAAAUAUGGAGAGACGUGCGUCUAAUCUAGCGUCAAAAACUUUUCAGAGAUGGUUGAAAAAUUUUCCACCAAGAAACGUAUCUUCACCAACUUCCCAAUGACAUAAGGACGUGCCACCUGAAAGCAGGGGGACUAUCUAUAUAAGGUAAGAUUGGUUCAUAUUAAAUACUCGUAUAUAGAGUGACACGUGGAACCAAAGACAGAUGGAAAGUGGGAUAGGUGGAAACAAAACGGGGGCAGCAGCUUCUGUUAGAACUAGAGAGCCCCCGAAGGGAAGAUUGCUACCGAAGACAGACGAGUUCUUUCCAUCCAGUAAUAUUCAAUGAAAAAUAUUUUGUAAUAUUAAAUACAUGGUCCAUUAUAUAGAAUAUAUGGCAUUCAUAGACACAUUUUUCAAUGCCCCCCAUAAUUUUCAUUUAAAAGGGGCUUAAUUGUAGGACCUUAUUCCCUAGGUGCAACUAUACACAGUGAUUUCAACAACCAUUGUAAGGACAAGAAUUACUUACAUACUUAUGCUAUGCACUAUUUAAAAUCUGAAUAACAUUUUAUUUGUUGCUUAUUAUAUUGCUAUUACUGCCUUUUCAAGCUUUGUCCCCAGAAUUAUGCUAUUCACUGUCUUAUCUCGAUUUCAACGCUAAGUCUUACAUUUUAUUUAAUUUAUUUAUCAUUUUGGGAUCAAAUCGAUUUGCUUUUCUAUAAACCACAUUACAAAUUCAACUGUAUCAUUUUACGGGUGAACAUCUAUUUUUAUAAUUAGUCAUAAACAUUAUUCAUAAUGGCAACACUAGCAAAAUGCGACCCGUGAACUUAUGACCUAGAAGUCUUAGGCUAACUUAGGCAAAAAAUUGAUUCUAAGAGAGCAAACGGAAAUGCGUAAAAGGAAAGGAAAUGAGUAUGUAGUCAUCAAUCAUUUUCUUCUAGAUUUCUUUAUCUAACCCCUAAAUUAAAAAGUUGAUUACUUAAAUAACCUCCUAAAUAAAAUUAAUUAAAUAACAAGUUCAUUCAAGGGAUGCAAUCCUUCAUAAUAGUUAUUUAUGUAUAGAUAGUUUCUAAAUGUUCCAAAUAUUUACUUUAUUUCCAAUCGUUGCUAGCUUAUCAAAUACUAUGAUCACGUUAACGGUUGGUUGACUUCUUAAAUGAGAACAAAGCACUUAACUAUAAAAGGCUCUCCUUAGAAGCUUUGAAGGGGCUCUAAAAUUACCAUUGCAUUAGUACUGCUUGAUGGGGUUUUAAUGUUUUAGUCUUAUGUUUUGAUGAUCUAACAAAUUUACUCCCAAGAACCAGAUAGGGAACCUGACACACUUGGUCUAUAUUACAAAUCAACGGACUCCAGCUAAAUGUGAACUACUUUAGCUUUAGGAUAUAGAUACCCAAACAAAGGACUUGAUGCCCUUGUGGUUUCCUCACAACAGUACAAUGUCAAUUGGGCACAGCUGGAAAGCGAUACAACUGCCUGCACUGUUUUCAGUGGUCACUUGUCCUUUGACCAACCGAGUACUUACAUCAUUCAAGUGAUUUCAUCAGUUCCCAACAACGUUCCCAAACAUAAGUUCCCAACAAAGUUACUUGAAGAACAUCCAUUCUCAGUGCCAAAAAUAGAAAAGAAUACACCGACACAGACAGGAAAGCUAUGGAGAAGAAUUUUCAUGCCAAGAAGAUUUUGGUAUGUGGAAUAGGACCUGAUGAAUACAAUAGAAUCUCUACUUGUGAAACUACUAAGUAAGAUAUGGUAAGCUUUUCAAAUAUCUCAUGAGGGAACCACUCAAGUAAAACAAUCUAAGAUUGAUAUGCUCACUACCGAGUAUGAACUCUUUAGGAUAAAGAAUGAUGAAUCUAUUCAUGAUAUACACACAAGAUUCAAUUCCAUCAUAAAUGAGUUACACUUACUUGGUGAAACCAUUCCUAGGAAUAAGAUAGUGAGGAGAAUCCUUAGUAUCUUACCUAGUUCUUGGGAAAGCAAGGUGAAUGCUAUUACUAAAGCAAAGGACCUGUAGGAGCUGACCAUAGAUGAGCUGGUUGGAAAUCUAAAGACCUACGAGAUGAAGAGGAAGAUAGACAGUGAAAGAAGAGAGCCAAAGAAAGAAAAAAACCUGGUACUCAAAGCUAAUAACAAUGACUCAGGUGAAGAGGAUAGUGACAUGGAUUACUUAACCAAAAGAUUUUAGAAAAUGGUCAGAAGAAAUGGAGGAAUGCUGAAAAAGGGGUACCUCUAGCAAACCAAAGAACUAUGAUCUCUGUCAUAAGUGUGGAAAGCAUGGGAACUUCAUCAAAGAUUGUCCUCUCCUGAAGCAAGAGUUCUUAAAGUACAACCCUGAGAAAGCAGCUAAGAGGAGCCCAGUUCCUGACAAGGACUUCAAAAGGAAGAGAUAUGCUGACAAUGUGGUAAAACAGGCUCUUGCAUUAUGGGGAGACUCCUUUAGUGAGUCUGAAGAUGAAACUAAUGCUGGUGACAACUCCAUGAUGGCAUUUGAAAGCGAGGAAAAUGAAUAUGAUUCAACUUUUCCUUUGACGACCCAAUCAGAUGAUGAUGAAGACGAUGAUAAUAAUAAGGUAAAUUUCAGGGAUGGUCAGAGAAAUCUAAAAUCCUACUCUCCUAAGAAACUUAUGUCUUUAGCUAAGGGAAGCUGAACAAACAAGAGAUGACCUGGUAGUGUGUGUAGUGGAUUUGAAGGAAACCAUUUGUGAGUUGGAAAAAGAAAAAAGUGUCUUAACCAAAAAAAUUUCCAACAUAGAGCAUGAAAGAGAUGACAUAGUGGUUGUAGUUGUUGACCAUAAGGAAACCAUUAAGAACUUCAGUAAAGAAAAGGAGGCCCUAGUAAAAAGAGUGAUUGAGAUUGAGGAAGAAAGAGAUGAUCUCUUAGUAGUAUUUGGAGACUUGAGGGAAACAAUAGAGGGACUAGGAACUGAGUCUAAACCUGAAAAUACUGGAAAAGGAAAAGAGGUAGCCAGUGAGGAACACAUUAGGCUUGAAAACGAGUUGAAAGUGUUGAGAACUAGGUUGUGUGUAGAAACUGAAAAAACAAGCACCUCCAAAUUGAAUUGGAAAGAGUAAAAAUGAUCUUGAAAAGUCCCUAAAGUGGACCUGGUCCUCAGAAGCUAUCACUGCCAUAUACGCUAAUAAUGGUGGAAAUAGGCAGGGAAUAGGAUUUCAAAUGGAGGAAAGCACUUACAACCCACAUAGCAAGUAUGUGACUGUACCAGACAACUGGAUGUGUACCGACUGUGGAAACAAUGGAUAUUUCAAGGAAAAUUGUCCAGUCUAUUCAGAAAAACAUAGUGUUUGCUGAAAAUGUUACUACUAAAAAGGGACCAGGUUCCGCCACAAAAAACGCAUAUUUAUCUGCAUGGACUAAGAGAGCUCUUAUUCUUCCUCUUGACUACUACAAGGGACCCAAACUUGCUUGGGUUCCUAAAACUAACUCUUGAUCUCCUUGUACAGGGAACAAUGAAAGGAAGUGGUCAACAAUAAUUCAUGGAUAGUAUGUGUUCAAAGCAGAUGACAGGGAACAUUAUAGACUUUCUUUCACUAAAAGCCCUGCAAAGAGGAAGUGUAUCCUUUGGCAAUGGGAAAAAGGGGUACAUUCUUGGAGUUGGAAAAGUUGAAAAAUCAGUCACUAACUCUAUUAAGAAUGUACACUAUGUCAAUAGUCUUAAGUACAUUCUCUUAAGUGUCUCUCAGAUCUGUGAUAAAGGAAACAAGGUGGAGUUCUUGUCCAAGAUAUGUACAAUUACUAAUCUGGUAACUGGCGAAGUGGUCUUGUGGCCAAAAGAUACAAGAACACCUAUGUUGUUGAUUUCGAGUACUUACAAAGUGGUGAUCUGAGGUUUCUGAAAGCUGUUGAUGAUGAUGUUGAACUCUGGCAUAGAAGAUUGGGGUACACAAGCUUCUCUCUUCUAAACAAGUUAAUUCAGAAGGAAGUGGUCCAUGGUCUGCCCAUGUCAAAGUUCAAAGUACACAAAGUUUGUGAUGCAUGUGCUGGAGGAAAGCAUUUGAAGUCCUCUUUUACAUCUAAAAGGGAUGUAAGCACCUCAAAGCCACUCGAUCUUCUGAAUAUGGACCUAUGUGGCCCUAUAAGAGUGCAAAGAAGGGGAGGAAAAUUAUACAUUUUUGUGAUAGUAGAUGACUACUCCAGAUUAACAUGGACUCUAUUUCUUAGAACUAAAGAUGAAACCUUUGAGGUAUUUGUGGAUUUUGUGAAGUAAAUCCAGGUGAAGAUGGAGUCUAGAGUCGCAUAUAUUAGAUUAGAUCAUGGAACAGAAUUUGACAAUGCUAAAUUUGAUGAGUUCUGCAAUGAAAAUGGAAUUACUCACAACUUCUCAGCUCCUAGUAAAAGAGCUGAGUGAAGACAAUGCUGCCUUUUCUUCAAUGGAACCAGGUACCUCAAUUACAACCACUGAAGCUGAAGAAAGAGUGCUUCAUGCAGUCCAAGGUACCCCACUAGUACCUGAGAGAAGAAUAAAAGAGAACCAGUUAAACAUACCCACCUCCUUUACAAAUGAACCUCACAUGUCUAACUGGAAAUAUAAAAGUUCUCAUCCUCUUGACAACAUAAUCACUCCCAUAGAUUCCGGAGUACAAACAAGGUCAAACGCCAGAAAUUCACUUUCCGUCUCAGCCUUUCUCUCUCAAAUUGAGCCCAAAAAUAUCAAGGAAGCCCUGAUAGAUGUGGAUUGGAUUACAGUCAUGCAAGAUGAGCUACAUUAAUUUGAAAGGAAGAAUGUCUGGCACCUGGUACCUAGACCCUCAGAUCGAACAAUUAUAGGAACCAGGUGGGUAUUCAGGAACAAGCUUAAUGAAUAUGGAAUCAUCACAAGUAACAAGGCCAUGCUAGUGGUUAAUGGCUACAAUCAGGAGGAAGGGAUUGAUUAUGAUGAAAUAUUUGCUCCGGUCGCUCACAUGGAAUCUAUUAGAAUCCUAAUUGCUUUUGAAUCUCAUAUGGAAUUCAUCUUGUUGCAAAUGGAUGUCAAAACUGCAUUUCUGAAUGGACUUCUUAAGAAAGAAGUCUAUGUGAAGUAAUCUCCAGGGUUUGAACGUCAUAAACACCGUGAAUAUGGACAAAAUAUUGUAUGAGUUGAAGUAGGCUCUUCGAGCUUGGUAUGAAAGACUGUCAAAGUUCCUUUUAGAAAAUGAUUUUAAAAGAGGAAAAAUUGACAACACCUUGUUCCUAAGGAAAUGGGGAAGGAACCUUCUCAUUGUAUAGGUCUAUGUUGAUGAUAUCAUUUUUGGGGCAACAGCUGAGUCUCUGUGUGAAGAAUUUGCAAAACUCAUGGGAAGUAAGUUUGAAAUGAGCAUGAUGGGGGAGCUGAAUUUCAUCUUGGGUCUUCAAGUGAAGCAGUCCUCAAAGGGUACAUUCUUUGCCUUCUUUGAAUAAAAAAGCCAGGAAGCCAGCCAGUCUAUUCUUAAUAAGGGUAAGCCAGUACGGUAGUCCUUCUUUCUAAGAGUCCUGAGUCCUAGGGUCCAUACACGGAAUUGGGAUCUCUGUUGCAUGUAGAUCUUGGGGGAGCUGAAUUUCAUCUUGGGUCUUCAAGUGAAGUAGUCUUCAAAGGGUACAUUCAUUUAUCAGCAGAAAUAUAUUAGGGAGCUCUUGAAGAAGUUUUACAUGGAAACAUCAAAGGUAAUAGAAACUCCCACUGUUACGGCCACUCGACUAGACAUGAAUGAAACUGGAUCUCCUGUGAAUCAAACUCUGUAUAGAGGCAUUAUUGGGUCUUAUCUCUAUCUCACUGGCAUCAAACCUGAUAUUGUUUUCAUUGUGGGGCUAUGUGCAAGGUUUCAAUCAAAUCUUAAGGAAUCUUAUUUGAAGGCUGCCAAAAGAAUUUUGAGAUACCUUAAGCGAACACAGGACCUGGUCCUUUACUAUCCCUCAGGUGACAAUUUUAAUCUUAUUGGAUAUGCUGAUGCUGACUAUGUAGGUUAUCUUGUGGAUAGAAAAAAUACUUCUGGAAUGGCUCACUUCCUAGGUUCAUGUCUCGUCUCGUGGGGCACAAGGAAGAAAAACUCAGUGGCUCUUUCAAUAGAUGAGGCAGAAUAUGUAGCUGCAGCAUCUUGUUGUGCUCAAACUCCUAUGGAUUAAGCACCAACUGAAGGAUUUUGGGGUAUUUAUUGAGUAUGUGCCCCUUCUUUGUGAUAACACCCGUGUGUUGAUACCUUAUUUUUCACUAUAUAUUUUAAAUAUAAAAACUACCUUUUUAUCCAUAAAAUCUCCAAUAAUUAUUUCAAAAAUUAUUAUUUUGAUAAUUUAUAUAUUAGAUUUCUAUAUUUAUGCCAAAAUAUGGCCAAGGUAAUUCUUACAUAUUUUUCACAAUUAUAAUUAGUAUUUUUAAAGAUAUUUCACAUAAUUACAAUAUUAGCCCCUUUAAGAUUUAAUUAUGUUUUAUAUGCAUAAAAUUAGAUCCUGUAUUUUUAAAUUGGUAAUUAUGUAUUAUAAAUUAUUUUAGCAUUUUUAAAUUAUUUUUAGAAAUUAGCCACUAUUGUUUAUAAAUUAGAUAGGGAAAACUGGAUAAUUAACUUAUAACUAAAAUUGGUUUUCAAUUCUAGCUAAAAACAAACGGACCCCAGCCUAACUAAAAAUCCACCAGACACAAGCCCAAACCCAAGCCAUAGUCUCCUAAACCUAAGCCCUAACAUUGUUGCUCUCUCCAGCCGCCACACAUACCCCAUCUUCCCCACCUAACUCAUCAACACAUUUGAAUGCGAAAGAAAUACAAAGACUCAAUGGAGUUAAAGGUAAAGGCGUUUAGAGCAGAUAUUUUUUCCUUUUUAAAUCCCACUUUUUGUCAUUGUCUAUAAUCUGCUUCUUCUUCUUCUUCUUUUUUUCUUUUUGGUUAUUUCUUUGUUCCUCUUUAUUAUUUUUAAUGUGUACUUCAUUCUUUAUUCUUUUUCUUAGUUAAUUGGGAAGAAAAAAGUUUGAAUCUUUAUGCUCAUUGUUAGAUUGGUAUAUCGUAAGAAAUUAAUUUUCAGUCGAUUAUUUUGACUAAAUAUUUGCUUUUCUUACUAAACUCUUGCUAUUUUCUGGGCAUGUUGUUGUUGAUCGUAACUUAGAGCUAGGACAGUUGGGGUAUUCAGAGAAAUUUAGAGACCUUGGGUACUGCAGACGCAUUAGGGCGGAGGAGGUCAUGGGGGCUUUGCGUAGGAUGAGUAGGGGUCGAGCGACCGGGCCUGACGAGAUUCCGAUGUGGAAUAUGGAGUAUCAUUUACAAGCUAUGAAUGAUGAUGAUCAAAAUAAGGUGCAAUUGAAGACAGUGGCAGAAGAGAAGGGAGAAAGAUUGUAUGGCUUUGGGUCUCAAGUAAGAUUUCCAGUACUAUAAUUAGUGUCAUACAAGAAUUAUGUAUUGUAAAUUUCUUAAAGUUUAAAUAUAUAAUUAUGUGUAACUUGAAACCUGUUUUAAAAUCUAAAAUUUUUGGAUUCUUAGUUUAAAAAAAAAACCAAGCCAUACUCGACCCACCUACCCCAUUUAAUCUUGACCAUUGAUCAUUCAUAUCAGUGGUCCCCAUUCCCCUUUCCUAAAUUAAACCAAAAUGCCCCCCCCCCCAAAACCCUCUCAUUCUUCAUCUACUAAACCAAUUCUCAUCUCUCUCUCUCUAUCUCUGGUUCUCUCUAGAACCUUCUACUCUCCCCUCCUCUCCUCUUCGAUGAACCUUAUCCACCUUCUUCAGCCAUCUCCCUGCCUGAAUCCAUGGUGGUCUCACCUAGUACCAUCCUUAUGGCUCCCUCUGGAACAUGUGUCAUCGUUUUGAGGCCUUCAAUUGAACCAGAGGUAGGUGACUCGCCUCCCAUGGUUUCCAAAGCCAUUUUCAGCCGCCCAUGAGCGUUCGAGUAAUAUCUGUGACUUUUCCGGCUAAAACAAUUAACUUUUACCUUCUCUUGGUACUCUGAAACCAUAACUCUAAAGAUUUUCCAAUUUUCUUUUAGAUCUGUCUUAGAUAUGUGUAUAUUAUGAGCUUUUGUUGUUUUCCUUAAAGGUUUUUUCCUGGUUUUUUUCAAAGUGUCUAUUUUUCUUCUUCAAGAUUAGGGUUUCUUAACCUCUUUUAAAAGGCUUAUCCUCUGUUUUUAGUACUAUCGUAUGAUUUUACUAUGUUUAAACGGUUUAUUUAUAUUUUUUCUUCUACCUGAUUCGUCAUGUGGAAAACUCUAAAUAUUUUUGGUUUUAUCCGGGGUUCUGGAAUUAUCUUUUCUUAUGUGUUUUGUAUGUAUACCUGUUUUGAUUAAUUUCUCUGUGAUAGACCUUUCUCUUUGUUUAUCUUAACCGAUUCUAAGUUUUUACCGCUUUUUAACUCAACUCUGUUAAAACCCUAAUCUCCUAAAGAUUUUCUUCACUUGUUACUCGUUUGUUUAAGUUGAUUGAUUCAAUUCCCAUAUUUGAUAUGGUGCUUCAUUCUUGUUGAAUCCUUUCCCCAAAUUAGUAUAUUCAGUACUUAGACUUAAUCAUAUGCUCUAUACUUUUACUACUCCUUAUAUAGUAAAAACCAAUCUUUCUCAAACUGAUUUUUUCCCCAUGUUAGUAUCUGUUUAAGCUAUAAUUCCUUGAUUUAAGCUAUAAUUCCUUGAUUAAGGAAGUACUUGAUUAUUUGGAUUCUAAUUGUGAUUACUUCCAUAAUUGUGCUAAACCUUUACUUGUUACCUUAUUUUCUACCUUUUUUCAAAGCUAUAAAUACCCUAAGUCUUUCAUGAACGAAACAAGACUUGGCCUUCAAAAAACCCUCUCUUACUUAAAGAAAAUUCUGUAUUAUUCUACUAUUAUUAGUCGGCUGCAAGCCAACGAUAAUCAUCUGUAAGUCUUGGUUCUUUCAUUUAUUUACCUCUGUCUUCACUCGUAUGUCCUAGUUUAAUUUAAUGCUUCAAAAACAAUAUGAUUAUACUCCUUCUUCAGUUUCUUUUAUUUCUGGCCUGCUUUUACUUCAGUUUCUAUUGUGAAGAUUAUGUCUAAGCAUGCUUAUAUGAUUCCCCUCCCUUUAAAUUCAUGUGAUUCAAGCAUGCCUGGACGAUUGUAUUCUAUUACCUACUGUGCUCUUACAAAUUUGUGAAUCCCAAAUCCCAUAUCUCUCCUCUAUUUGUUUAAUGAUUGGUUUGUGAAUAUUCUAGUGUCCAACCAUCUCUGAGCAUGUCCCUACCAGUCCUAAUACUCCUGCUAAAGUCAGGUUCCUGUAGUCAAUAUAUGUGUAUCUACAAAUCCUCUUUUACCCCUUGUGUGAUUACUAAAUUCAUUCGCUUCCUGUGUGUGGUCAGUGUUUGAACUCUGUCUUACUAAUACAGCUGCUUUCAAUCAUCUCUGUUGCUGAUUUCCUUCAAAAUGGACCUGUCAAUCCAAUUUUUAAACAAACUCCUUUCAAACAUGUGUCCUGCACUUUCUCUAUACUCUUAGAAUACUAGGUUCUGCCCCUUUUGUGUGAGUCUUUCCUUGGGACCCUUGAGCUCCCUCUGAACUUGGACAUAUGAAAGCUGGCCUUUGCACACUGCACUUACUCUAUCUUGGCUAUGAAAUCUGGGUGUGAGCACUGCCCGGGUCCCUUGAGGUCCUUAGGGAACUCUGACACACCUAGAUAUGAGAAAAAACUAUGAAACAAUCUUAGCACUUGAGGUGAUUGAUUACAUAACUCAAAGAACAAGUCCUAAUAAGGAUUCCUAUAGUGUAACCUUUUAUUUUCAUUAUGUAAUUCAUUUUAGUGUUGGUCUGUAAUAACUUGUUGUAAACAAGUAUUGGGGUUGGCUAGUGAAAAGGAUGAUAUAGUUGUUAAGGGUAAAAAAAUAUGUUAUUAGGUUUAUGUUCCAAAUUGCGCAAUAGAAACAAUACUUAGGGUUCAUAAAUGCGUUAGUAAUCAUGCUCUUAGGUCUCAUGUUUAUCGUUUCAGUAUGUGCACCCUUACAAAAUCAUGUGUUGAAAUCUGCAAAUAAUUAGCACUUUACGAUUAUGUUCUAUACUACGUUGUGCAUUUAGAAAUCCCACUCUUAGGAAAUUCUGUAAUCCUGCCAUGUGCAUUUAGAAAUCCUGCUCUAUGAAUUUUGCAUCAUGAGUUUUGUACAUACAUCUUAGAUACCCCGUUUUAGGAUCUCAUUCGUACUUGCAUUCACACUUAGUAUAAACUGCUGAUUAUAAAAGAGGUAAAAAACUUCACACUUGAUUAUUCUCUUUAAAAUAACUAGUAAUAAUCUCUGCAUUUGUGUCAACUAGAGUGGCAUGAUCUUAGGGUAAAAUAAUUUCCACAAUGUUUUAAUAACUCGGAAUAACUACUGCACAUUACUUUACGCCUAGGCAAGCCUUAGGUGAUUGCUUAAAUAAAAAUUGAAUUGUCCUUGUUUAACUGCCAGUAUGUUAAAAUCAGUAGGCAAGCCUGAUUUGGACUUCUUUUCUGAGUCAUGUAAUAAAUCUGGUUAUGUUGUUAUCACUUAGAUACCAUGCAUAGGAUUUAAAUUCAGACUUUAAAUGUAUAUGAAUCAUGUUGUCUAUGUGCAUUACCUAUGGAGGUAUAUUUGAGCCUUUCGUUUGUCUUCCAUGCUCUAAAGUCCUACUUGUUGUUGUAUAUCACCUUAGUAUUUUGCCUUUAAACAUGAAUGUUUGCCUAGAACCUCCUUCUUAUAGGAUAUGAGUCCUAAUUUCCUCCGGGACUGAUAGGAAGGGACGGGUAACAACAUGCAAUAGGGGUCGAGACCAACACUCGCUUUAAUUACCUUCAUGGGGCGGGAAAGGGUAGAUAUGGAUAUGAUGACCGGUGCGCUAAUACCACGUGCACCCCCUCUUUGAGGAGUUUCACACCAGCUAUUGCAUUAAUGUGAUCCAUAUUACAAACAAACCUAGGACACCCCCUUUACAUUUAUAAGCAAGCUUAGAUUGUAACUUUUUUCAAAAUCUUGCUUUUAUUAAUCGUCUUCAAAUACUUGUGUAUUUAAUCCUAAAUCCCCUACUAUUUGAGUCAUACUUGUUUAUUUGCUACUUGUACCAAAUCCACAAAAACUGUUUGGCCGGGAACCACGCUAGUGGAUCCUGAGGGUGCCUAACACCUUCGCCUUAGGAUAAUUUCAAGCCUUACCCUAUCUGUGGUUACCAAAUGUAGUUAUAAAUGAACCCUAUACUGCCCUAACACACCUUAAAAUCAUUAGGUGGCGACUCUCAAAAAAUUCAAACCCCUUCCUAAAAGGAAGAGUUAUCCCAAACCAAAAUUUCAUGAACCCGAUUCUACAAGGGAAAAAGGGGGCGCGACAGCAUGGCGACUCUCUGGGGAUAUUUAGCCUUUUACCAUUUCAUACCAUUUUUGUGAAUUUGUACCCUCCUUGUGUGCAAUUAUUUGUUUAACUCCUUUAAGCAUAUAAUUUCUUCUUCAAAAGCAAACUCUUUCUUGUUUCUUUUCUUUAUAACCGCUUUAAAUUAUAAAAAUUGUUGUAUUUAUCGCUUUCUUAACGUGUAAAUACAUGUCAACAUACUCUUAAUUAUUACAUAAUCAUGCUCAACAUCAUACUCCACUCGUGCCAAACAAAUACUAUAGCAACGCUUGAUGAGUGGUUGCGGCCUUCCUAUAUCAUUACCCCCUAAAUUCGGAAAGGCUUAUUUGUGGUAAAACUAGUUGAUCAGCGGUGCAGUCAAUAGUUCUGUACCUUCACCUAGAGUUGUCUUCUCAAGGUUACUAGUCUAAAACCCUAUAGAAACCUUUCUCUAUUUGAAUUACGCGUGCAUCAUGGUAAAACCUAGAGGGAUCAGUUAUGUUUUCCACAUAAUAAUCCUUUAAGAUAGCCUUGUCUAAAAGUCCACUGGGUUUCCCUAAACCCAAACGAACAUCAUCACGUUCUGUGCAUUUAUUUGGAGAGCUAAAUGCGUCAUGCUAAUUGUUGAUAUUAAAUAGUUGAGCCUGGUAGGGGUAAGGGCCUAACCUUAUUGAACUUGCAGAAAUAUGAGGCACGAAGUCCCUAGAUUUGGCAUGGUCACCAAUAUUCACCCGAGCUUGAUAAGGUGGUGGGAAGAUUUACAUUCGAGUGACAAAACCCUCGUCAAAAAAUAUCUGGGGAAUCUACCAUCCCUCUUAGAGAUCUAGCCUAGCAACAUGAUAAUAAAAGUUGCUACCUUAUUUUGGGACUGUAAAAGGGUCGUGUUCUGCUUUGAGGACAUCGAGAUGACACCUUUUCUAGAGGUGAUAGGAGAACUGGCUGGUCUAGUGUGGGAAACUCCGGGUUUGCUAAUGCCUGAGAACCACACAAGCAAGGAUUUCCUUAAAAUGAUGGGUUUGAAGAAGAAUGCAGAAUUGGCAUGCCUGAAGGAAUCAUACAUCCCUUUUGACUACUUGUAUGAAAGGUACAGUCACGGAAAAUCAUAUUGUACCCACCCUGAUGAGUUUUACAUCACGUCCUUGGGACAUAUUCAUCAUAGUGUGUUUGUCUUCAUGUUUUACUUCCUGGAUCUGAUAGUGUUUCCAAUGAAGAAAGGGAGAAUUCAUACUAGGCUGGCUAUGGUAACCAUGACCCUAAUGGACGGGAUUGGUGGGAAGACAUUUAGCAUUGUGACCAUGAUCAUCGUAGACAUAUACCGAGCCUUAGAGAAGUGUCAACGAGGAGCGAUACAUUUCGAAGGCUGCAAUCUACUACUUCAGCUUUGGCUCAUGGAACAUCUCCAAAAGGGCGAAUACCAACAAGAAAUUCAAAGAAAGGCCUGGGAUGAUCACAUUGCUUUCCACCAUCCAAAGAAAAUGAAUUAUAUCCCCGACAUGUUCCUCAACCCGAGAAUUCCAAAAGAUGGGUGGAGCUCUUUGAUAAUUUGACUGAAGAACGGGUUCAAUAGAUGUUCGAGUGGUUUUCGAUAGAGGAGUUCAUUGCCCGAUCUAGAGAUGCACCUUUCCUAAUACCGAUUGGUCUAAGAGGAACAUACCUUUAUGUCCUUCUUUGAGUUAUGAGGCAAGCAGGUAGGAAGCAAGUCAUACCCAGGGUUGACAAUAUGAGCCAUUUCUGAGCUGACUUCACAAGUGCCAAACCCAAGACAUAUGGCACUACAAGAUUGAAAUAGGGAAAGAUACCAUCGAGCCAGUCAAAUAGCAUACUGGUUGUACUUCUUUCUAUUCAGGUUGGUUGGAAGAUAAUUGGGAUGGUCUGGGCCAGCCAGGGUUCAUUCGAGGUCACAGAAUUAUAGAUGAAAAGUCCAAGGUGCAAGUCAAGUACAACAAGAUGCGCAAAAGAAUUUGUAAAUGCGAGAGCAAACAUCACGAGAUACAAGUGUCCAACCAGAAGUUGAUUGAGGAGUGGAAUGACAUGGCUAUCAGUUCUAACAAAAGGCUAGGAUACUUGGAGCGAGGCAUAAUAUAGUUGGAGGGAAAAUUUCUCAAAAGGGUUGAAGACUGCCAAAAGGAUGAAGGGACCGAAGGUGGACAUCUAGAUAGAGCAUACCUAUUGAUGGGACUUCAUGAAUUGGGAAGUCGUUCUACAGAGCCAAGGAUAACAAAUCUGGGGAAGGUCCUUUCGGGACCAAAUAAAUAGGAAUUUGCCUUUUUGCUUUAUAUGUGUAACAAGGCCAAUGGGCAUUUGUGACUUUUAUUUUUUGUUUAUUUAGUGUCAUUUUGGGAUUCGUCUAUUUUUAUCAAUAAAAUAAGUCAUUUAGCAUUCUAAGUUCUCCUAACGAGAAUGUGUCACAACUUGAACAGAAGUUGAUGUUUCAGGAAGAGCUCAAUCAGGUUUGAAAUUUGGCAAACUUGUCAUUUUCUCUCAAUACCCAAGAUAUAAACUGCCUCAACACUCAAAACCACACACCUCCUCAAAAUAGUCCAAAAAAACAGAAUCCUCCCUUGCCUCACCAUCAUGUUGCUCCACCAAAGAACCAAUGUAACACCUGAGAUACCCCAAACAACACCCCACUACUCAUCCCAGAACCCCAAAACUCCACAAACGACCAUUUCCACGCACAUACACCAAGCCACCAUGACACGCUUAUCUACGUGGAGACUAUGCCACACUUCACCCAACCUAUCUCAUACACACAUGAGUCUAAUAAAAAGGAUCUACUUAUCAAAAAACUGGCCGAGGAACUUAAGAAACUGACCAUCCGGAUUCAGGGCGUUGAGGGAAGCAAAGGAAUUGAAGGGUUGAACUAUGAGGACCUUUGCAUACAGCCUGAUGUGGAACUUCCUGAGGGGUACACGCCUCCUAAGUUCGAAAUAUUUGAUGGUACGAGUGAUCCAAGGGUCCAUCUGAGGACAUAUUGUGACAAGCUGGCUGGAGUAGGGAAGGAUGAAAGGAUCCGCAUGAAGUUGUUCAUAAGGAGUUUGAAAGGAGAUGCAUUAUCUUGGUACAUCUGCCAAGAUCCCAAGAAGUGGUCAAGAUGGGUAGCAUGGCAUCUGACUUUAUAUAUAGAUUCAAGUUUAAUACAGAGAAUGCACUAGACGUGUUCUACAUCCAGAAUUUGAAAAAGAAGCCCACGAAGACGUUUCACAAGUAUGCUACUCGCUGGAGGUCCGAAGCAGCCAAGGUCAAACCCGCCUUAGAAGAGGAGCAAAUGAACAAGUUCUUUAUAUGGGCUCAGGACCCGUAGUAAUAUGAAUGGAUGAUGAUGAUUGAGAACCACAAGUUUUCCGACAUUACCAAAUUAGGUGAAAGAAUUGAAGAAGGUAUUAAAAGCGGUAUGCUUAUAAACUUUGAGGCCUUGCAAGGUACAAAUAAGGUUUUAUUGUCCAGUGGUAUGUCCAAGAAAAGGGACGUAGGGGCCGUGAUGGUUGCACAGAGGACCAAAUAUCCCCUCAAAUACCAAACUUACCCAACACCUCCACUCACAUACCAGCCAACCCCAAAUUACCAAGCACUCUCAACUUCAUACCAAGCUCCACCACCAACUUAUCAGUCAUCUCCACCUCCUACAUAUCAAACUACUUCACCCAGAUACUCCCAACCCACUCUUGUCUACCAAACUUAUAAUUCCUAACCAUCCCACUAUAAAUCACCCCCUACAUGCCAAAAUUUCCCUAGACCCCGACCUAAUGAUCGCAGAUCUCCAAAAACAUAUACAGCCAUCGUUGAACCCAUUGACCAACUGUAUGAGAGACUCAAAGCUGCUGGUUAUGUCACCCCCAUCCCUGUGGAAACCCCUGAGAAUCCUUCUCAGUGGGUUAACCCAAACAAGUCAUGUGCAUACCACUCUGGCAUGAAAGGGUACACAAUCGAUGAAUGUAGCUCCUUGAAAUAGAAGAUACAGUCUUUGACUGAUAAAUAGAUCAUUGUGGCAAAGGAGCCCGCUCCAAACGUCUGCAACAACCCUCUUCUAGACAAUAAAGGUGGAGGUAUCCAGAUGAUUUAAAUAGAAGAUGACUGGGAUAUGGAGGGACCAAUCAGGUUGGUCGCAGAAUGUGAUGACCCAAAAAAGUUACUCUGAAUCCAAUCAUAGUCCAGAUCCAACCAUCUAAGGAUGCUGAGGUGAAUAUGUGUGUACCUCUUGAGUUUGAAGUAUCACCAUUUGCGAAGAUACCGGCACCAAUUGAGGUUGAAUUUGUGUCUCCGACAAAUGCACCUGCACCAUUUGAGGUUGUAGUCUUGCCACCCAAGGCACAUGUUCUGUUCAGAGUGAGGAUACACGCACUGAUCCCAGUGGGAAUGUCAACCGUGACACCAUUCUAUAUAAUCGAACCCUGGGACUAUAUAGCCGAGGCGAGAAGGAAUGGCAAGGUCAGUAUUAAAAAAACUUUCGCAACACAGGGUAUGACAAGAAUUGGUAGAGUCUAUAACCCUAAGCAUUUAGCUGAGUCAAGCAAGCAGGCCUCCAAUCGGCUACCCCUCAUUAAGACGGGUCCGGAGACCUUUGGAGUAAAACACAGGCCAAGGUAUAUUCAGUCAUCGACCAGUUAAACAAGACGCCGGCACAAAUACCAUUCUCUCCUUGCUACAAAAUUCUUAAGUGCACAAGAAUGCUCUAUUAAAGGUGCUGAAUUAUCACUAGCGGGGAAGUGGCUAAUAUGGUAGGGAAAGUUCUGAAAAGUCAUACGAUCACCAUUCAUGAAGACAAGCUGCAACCUGAAGGGCUGGGGCACAACAAGGCACUGCACAUCACCGUGCAAUGCGGAGAUUAUUUCAUCACCAGAAUCGAUGGAGAGUCAUAACAUUUGUCUGCUGGUAACACUCAAAAAUUUGGGUAAAGGAAUGCAUGAGAUAAAGGAUGGAGUAAUCAAUAUGAAAGUCUUCGAUGGUUCUCAGAGGUCCACCAUCGGCGAGAUUAUUUUAUGCUUGCAAAUGGGACCAACCUGGUUCGAGGUCAAUUUUCGGGUGAUAGAUGUACCAGCGUCUUACAAUUUGCUUCUGGGACGGCCAUCGAUUCAUGCUACGAGGGGUGUAGCAUCAAUAUUUCAUCAGGAAGUAAAGUUUAAACGGAAUCACCAAGAGGUUAUCAUUCACGGUGACAGUAGCAACUCUAUAUACAGUCCCAGACCAUUCCGGCAAUCGAGGGAAGAAAGAAGCUGGGCAAAGAAACUUACCACCACAUUGAACGAGUCAAUGCUAUCGACAAAUACAAAUUGUGGGAUAAAACAAUUGAGAUUAUGCUGAGUUGGAGUGGGUGCGAAUCUCUAAACCCAUAAAAAUUAAGAGGGAUCCAGAUUCCACACUAUGCUGUGGGCUGGGGAGAGAGCUGCUCUAUGAAGCUGGGCGUUCAGAAAACAUAGCACUACUUUCAGUAUGGGAUAUGAUUACAUAUGGGAAGAAUUCAAUAACUAGUUGCCACCAUGGUGCGGUCCUUACUACCAACUAGAGCAGCCAAUACCGCAUCUAGAGCAUACCUUCCAAUAUUCCGACAUUAUUUAUGGGUUACAUGAAGAAGAAGCACUUGCAAUAGUGAAGAACUUAUUUCUAGAUGAUAGUGAUAUGGGCUGUUGUGUUAUUCUCGAUAAGGGUGGGGAGGGGGGAAGGCCCUUCCAUACAGGUUGUGAGCAAAAAUGCAUAUCUCAAGAAAUGGACCAUCAGGAUAAUCAAAGCAUGAUGAUCAUCAGGGUAGCAAGGCUAAAACAAGAAUUAUUUAUUAUUUUAUUUACUAAAUGAUUUUCUUUAAGCAUUUUUCAAUUCCUGCAAUAACAUCUUUGAUGUCCAAAAUAGUUAUUCAAUUUAUCAAAAGCAUUUUGAUUUUUCUUAUGAAUUAAUAUUUAUUACUAUUAUUUUCUCUCCUUACUUUACCCACACAGCAUUACUAUUACAUGUCUUGAUGAACCAAUGACUAUGACAUGCAAUGAGACAACGCAACAAACAGACAUCGAUGCAGAAGAAGAUGGCAUUCCUUAGGAGAUUGUUAAAGAAAUUGAGAACUUUGAAAACAGAUCUCAGUGAAGCCUGUAUAAGACCGAAAUUGUCAACCUUGGAGAUGCAAAAAACAUCAAGGAAACAUGAAUCAACAUUCACUUAUCCCCAUCAGAGAAGAAAGAAUAUACAGAACUUCUAAGGGAGUAUGAGGACAUAUUCGCCUGGUCAUAUGAUGACAUGACUGGUCUAAGUACAUCCAUUGUGGCUCACAAACUGCCAACCAAUCCAAUGUGUCCACCGGUAAAGUAAACGCUCAAAAAGUUCAAGCCUGAUAUGAGUCUUAAAAUCAAGGAAGAAGUCACCAAGCAUGUCAAAGCUAAGGUUCUCAAGGUAGUAGAAUACCUUAAUGGUUAGCCAACAUUGUUCCUGUGCCGAAAAAGGAUGGGAAGGUCAGAGUUUGUGCUGACUACCGGGAUCUCAACCGGUUCAGUCCAAAAGACGACUUCCUUUUUCAAAUAUACACAUCCUGAUUGACAAUUGUGCCAAGCAUGAGCUAAAGUCAUUUGUAGAUUGCUUCGCUGGUUAUCAUGAAAUCUAGAUGGAUGAGGAAGAUGUUAAGAAAAUGGCUUUCAUUAAGUCGUAGGGAGUGUACUAUUACAAGAUGAUGCACUCAGCCUAAAGAAUGCAGAGGCUACCUACCUGAGGGCCAUGACUACCAUUUUCCAUGAUAUGAUACAAAAGGAGAUAGAGGUAUAUGUAGAUGAUAUUAUUAUCAAAUCUAAGAAGUCCACUGACCACGUAGAAGAUUUGAGGAAGUUCUUAAAUAGACUGCAGAGAUACAACUUGAAACUAAACCCCCCAAAGUGUGCAUUUGGGGUUCCUGCUGGGAAAUUCUUGUGUUUAUUGUGAGCUGCCGAGGAAUAGAACUGGAUCAAUCAAAAGUCAAAGCCAUUUAGGAACUACCACCACCAAAGAACAAGAAAGAUGUGAUGAGUUUCUUGGGGAGGCUUAACUGCACCAAUCGAUUUAUAGCACAACCUAUAGUUAUCUGUGACCCAAUCUGUAAGAUGUUGAAGAAGGAUGCCGCCACCAAGUAGUCUGAUGACUGUCAGAAGGCAUUCAACAGAAUCAAGGAGUACCUGUCAACACCACCAGUUUUAGUCCCGACAGAGCCAGGUAGACCCUUAUUACUCUACCUUGCAAUGUUGGAUGGUAUUUUAGGCUAUGUUCGGGGCAGCAUGAUGAAACGGGGAGGAAGUAAUUAGCCAUUUAUUAUCUAAGUAAGAACUUCACUCUGUACGAGGCCCGGUAUUCUCUAUUAGAAUGCACCUAUUGUGCUUUGACUUAGGUACUUCAGAAGCUAAGGCAUUACUUCUGUGCAUAUACUACACCAAGACAGGCAGUGGCAGACCACCUUGCUGAAAACCCCGUGGAUGGAGAAUACAAACCCCUGAAAACAUAUUUUCCUGAUAAAGAGGUAUCAUUCAUAGGAGAAGACAUUGCGGAAUACUAUGACAGUUAGAAAAUGUUCUUCGAUGGAGCAGCAAACUUCAAAGGAGUUGGCAUAGGAGCAGUCCUAGUAUCAGAAAUCGGUCAUCAUUAUCCAGUGUCUGCCAAACAAAGGUUCCCCUACACCAACAAUAUGGACAAGUAUGAAUCAUGCAUCUUAAGGCUCAAAAUAGCCAUUGACAUGAAUGUUCAGGAGCUAUUAGUGAUUGGGGAUUCGGACUUACUUAUACAUCAGGUACGAGAAGAAUGGACGACCAAGAACUGCGAGAUACUCCCGUAUCUGCAUCAUGUACAAGAAUUGAGAAAUAAGUUCAUGAAGAUGGAAUUCCAGCAUGUUCCAAGAGUCCAGAAUGAAUCCGAUGAUGCAUUGGCUACCUUAUCAUCUGUUAUACAGCAUCCAGACAAGAAUUUCAUUGAUCUAAUUCCAGUGAAAAUCCAUAAUCAGCUGGCAUAUUGUGCCCAUGUCGAAGAGGAAGCAGACGGAAAGCCUUGGUUUCAUGAUAUCAAUGAGCAUUUGGCAAAAGAAAAGUACCCGGAGCUUGCCAAUCCUACUCAGAAACGCACAUUUCAGAGAUUGUCCAAUAACUUCUUUCACAGCGGAGGAAUCCUGUAUAGGAGGACUCCCAUAUUUGGAUUAUUGAGAUGAGUCAACGCAAAGGAAGAAUCCAGGCUACUAGAAGAGAUUCAUGUUAAGACCUGCGGUCAACAUAUGAAAGGUUUUGUCUUAGCAAAGAAGAUACUCCGGGCUGGUUAGUUUUGGAUGACAAUGAAAAUGGAUUGCGUCAUGUAUGUCCGAAAAUGCCGCCACUCUCAGAUACAUGUAGACAUGAUAAAGGUACCUCCGAGUGAUCUCAAUACAACAAUCUCACGGUGGUCGUUCGCCGCCUCGGGGAUGGAUGUUAUUUGACCAAUCGACCCUGCUGCUUCCAAUGGAUACAGGUUUAUCUUGGUAGUUGUAGACUAUUUCGCCAGAUGGGUCAAAACAGCAUCUAAAGUAGUGACUAAGAAAGUCAUGGCAGACUUUGUCCAUGACCGCAUUGUCUGUUGAUUCGGAAUCCCAGAGUCAAUUAUUACUGAUAAUUGCUCCAACCUCAACAAAAACUUGAUGAAAUCUAUGUGUGAAACUUUCAAGAUCAGACACCAGAAUUCCACAGCCUACAGGCCUCAGAUGAACGGAGUUGUAGUAGCCGCCAACAAGAAUAUCAAGAAGAUAUUGAGGAAAACAUAGAUAAGCAUAAAUAGUGGCACGAGAAGUUAUCAUUUGCUCUUUUGGGUAUCGUACCACAGUCUGCACAUCAACUGGGGCAACCCCUUAUAUGUUGGUUUACAAUACAGAGGUUGUCAUUCCCGUUAAGGUAGAAAUUCCUUCCCUAAGGAUCAUACAAGAAGUUGAGCUUGACGAUGCAGAGUGGGUAAAAGUCAUUAUGAGCAACUAGCCCUUAUAGACUGAAAGAGUAUGAAUGCAGUCUACCAUGGUCAACUCUAUCAAAAUAGAAUGUCCAGAGCCUUCAACAAAAGAGUCAAGCCAAGACAAUUCACAUUGGGGCAGCUACUGUUAAAGAAAAUUUUUCCGCAUCAAAAUGAAGCCUAAGGGAAGUUCUCUCCCAACAUGAAAGGUCCAUACAUGGUUCACCGGGUUUUGACAGGAGAAGCCCGCAUACUUGCAGAAAUGGACGGAGAAGUGUGGUCAUAGCCGAUUAAUUCAGAUGCAGUCAAGCGUUACUAUGUAUAAUCUUUAUGAUGUAAAUGAACAACGCCUGAUCUCUUUUUAAGAAGGGAUAUGUAGGCAUCCCUAUGGGUUCGGUCACAAUUCAAUAAGAAUUUCAUCCCCCCCCNNNNNNNNNNNNNNNNNNNNNNNNNNNNNNNNNNNNNNNNNNNNNNNNNNNNNNNNNNNNNNNNNNNNNNNNNNNNNNNNNNNNNNNNNNNNNNNNNNNNNNNNNNNNNNNNNNNNNNNNNNNNNNNNNNNNNNNNNNNNNNNNNNNNNNNNNNNNNNNNNNNNNNNNNNNNNNNNNNNNNNNNNNNNNNNNNNNNNNNNNNNNNNNNNNNNNNNNNNNNNNNNNNNNNNNNNNNNNNNNNNNNNNNNNNNNNNNNNNNNNNNNNNNNNNNNNNNNNNNNNNNNNNNNNNNNNNNNNNNNNNNNNNNNNNNNNNNNNNNNNNNNNNNNNNNNNNNNNNNNNNNNNNNNNNNNNNNNNNNNNNNNNNNNNNNNNNNCCCCCCCCCCGCAAUUGGAAACUCGGGUAGAAUUUUGAGGAGGACCCUCAAAAUUCCGUAGUAAUUUCAGCCAAUCGCUGCACGCGCAGCAGUCAAAAAUGUCAACCCAUCAAGCUGGGGAAGAAUUUUGAGGAGGACCCUCAAAAUUCCGUAGCUAGAGAGGUUUCAAUGUCCCGAACCACGUCUCAAUCGGCAAUUCAUUUGAAGCUAUUUUUAAUUAUACCUUUACGUCAUACUUAUACAAAAUCUUGUAUAUUUUUAUUGAAACUGCUUUUUUAACAACGCUAGACCAAUAAUACGAACGAUAUAACCAGAUAAAAGUCGAACGAGUCAAGAAAAAGCCAGUGGGGAUACGAACUAACCUCCUCCCUCUUACAAACUCAUGAUUUUCCUUUGGAUACAGUCACUAGGAUUGCAAAAUCAGUAAAUAUACUAUACGCCCAUGGGACAAAUAUUGUUCAAGAAUACUACUCUCUGAAUCGUUGCUCUUGCCAACAUUUGCUAUUAGCACACACCAGUAAUGUUCCGUGUGUCACAAUGCUCCCAGUAAUCACAACCUCGCAAUAUGCUAUCGGCUAAGAAAACUCUACUGUCAGUUUUUACCUUAUUUCUUGCAUAAGGCUACCAUUCUGCCUUCCGAGACUAAACGUUGUCUCCAUCAGCAUUCUUGCAUAGGAAUACCAUUCUAUCUUCCGAGACUAAAUGUUUUCUCCAUCUGCAUCCAAUUUGCAUAAGGCUACCAUUCUGACUUCUGAGACUAAACAUUGUCUCCAUUUGCAUCUGCAUUACAUAAGGCUACCAUCUUGCCUUCGAAUUUACAUAAAGCUACCAUUCUACCUUCCGAGACUAAACAAUGUCUCCAUCUGCAUUUGCAUUGCAUAGGCUACCAUUAUACUAUUCAAGACAAAACGUUGUCUCCGUCUCCAUCUACAUUGCAUGUGGCUACUAUUCUACCUUCCGAUUUACAUAAGGCUACCAUUCUGCCUUCCGAGGUUAAGCUUUAACUCCAUCUGCAUCUACAUUGCAUAAGGCUACCAUUCUGCCAUUCGAGGUUAAGCUCUACCUCCAUCUGCAUCUACAUUGCAUAAGGUUACCAUUCUGCCUUCCGAGGUUAAGCUCUACCUCCAUCUGCAUUUGCAUCUUUGCAUAAGGCUAUCAUUCUUCCUUCUGAGGCUAAGUUGUGCCUCAUAUUUUCUCUAAGACUAAAUGUUGUCUCCAUCUGCAUUUUCCCAUAAGACUACCAUUUUGCCGUCACAGAGUAAAUGCUGACUCCAUCUGCAUUUCUGCAAAAGGCUACAAUUCUGUUUUCCGAGGAUAAGCUCUAUCUCCAUCUACAUUCGCAUCUUUGCAUAAGGCUAUCAUUCUGUCUUCUGAGGUUAAGGUCUUCCUCUCAUUUUCUUUGAAACUAAGCGCUAUCCUAUGCAUUAUGUAUCUCACUUCUAAUACGGGCUAAGCUCUUCCCUUCAAUUCGUAAGACUAAGCUUUGUCUUGUCCGCAUCAUACUACUGCAUACUUCAUGGGCUGAAAUAUCGCCAACUCAUCCAAAGGCGUCAUCGUUCGGAGGAGCCAUUUUCAUAGCCCGAGAACACAAUGUCAUGGCCUGAGGAUCUCUUUCAAUCUUUUGAAUAUCAUUAUUCAAAGGCUUCUUGGUUCGGAGGCACCAUCCUCAUAUCCCGAGAACAUCAUUUCAUGGCUUUUGAAUCCCUUAUCAUAUGCUUCAUGGCCCAGGACAUCAUGGUCUAAGGACAUCAUCCUCAUAAUCUGAAGAAAACAUUCAUGGUCCAACCUGAAUUUUCAUCAUGUUUAAAUUUUUGCACAUUAUACAUUAUUAUUGCUUCUAUUUACAGGUAAGACGGCGAGCAACGGCUAAUCCGGCAGGAGCAAUCCCGCUCCAGUUCCCCUAGCCAUAUGAAACCUAGUCAUUCCCAUAAAUCGUCCACUCACCAUGCCCUAGAUAUUGCAUCCAUUCUUGAAAUGUCUUCAUCGGUAUACUCCGCCGACAGAUCUCGAACUACAUACGACUUGUUUCCUCUAAAAUCAGGGAUAUGUGAUGACGUCCAAAUCCACUACUAAAAAGUAAUAGACAUGGUCGCAUGCAAUAUAAUUUACCCAACUAUGAGUCAGGGUCGAAUCCCGCAGAGAACAAUGUGUAGGCGAUUAGGAAUGAUAUUGUGCAUUCAAAUGAAGAAACUAGCAAGAAAAUAACCACUAUUAUUUUUAGCCCCAUGGUGGGCGCCAAACUGUUUAUCGUUAUAGAGAACAAUGUGUAGGCGAUUAGGAAUGUAAGAAAAUUAUCACUAGUUGCGCAAUUCCAAACACUAAGAAUUUUUGUUGAAAAAUAUUUUAUCUAAAUGCGGAAAUGUAAACUAACGUAGAAAGCAAUUAAAAUGAUCAAUGGCUAUAAGUAUGAAUGCAUCGGAAAUUGCACUCAAGUAACGAUCCAAUGUAUUUUAUAAUUUUAUAAACGUGAGUGAGUUUAUGUUAAUUAGCCACGGAUAAUAAUUCUUAAUUAGCUUCUUCCGAAGACUAAAAUGACUUCCUAAUCGAAUUAUACUUAUAACAAUUAGAAUAUUAAGCACACCGGGAAGGCUACAAUCAUAUCCCUAGGUAGAAUCUAUAAAAUGAGGGUUAAUGCCUCAAGUUCUUGUUAAUUAAUCUUUCCCAACUCCAAACUUUUUUUCCCAAAAUCAAUUCAGAGUUAAUGGGAGAGUCCUAGGAUUAGAUAAACCCUUUGGAAACAUUAACAAACAAGAAUAAUUAAAGUAACAAUAACUCACUUCAUAAAUAAAUAAAAAUCAUUCAAUACAUAAGCACAAUAAGGCAUUUAAUCCACACUUUAAAUAUGAAUACUCCCAUAAACAAGAUUCAAGUGUUGGAAAUAAAUACUACACACUUAAGUAUUCAAUACAAAGUAAGAAACUGCAGAAACAAACAUGAAUGUGUAAUAAAAUCUUAACCACAAGCUUUAAUCUUCAAGAUCCAAGUGUGUGUGCAAAGCCUUGUCGACGCCCCCUUUUCCAUUGGACGGAGAGUCCAUAAAUCGGGUAUACAAUAUUUUGGGAGGACAACACUUAUUCCCUUACGAGAAUUGGGUUUAUGAGUUUGGAGAGUCGCCACCUAAUGAUUAUAGUGCAUUAGGACACUUUUGAAGGAAUAAAGAAAUUUAGAAGAAAAAACCAGAGUUUGGGUAAGGGCUUAGAGAUUAUCUAUAGGGGAAGGUGUUAGGCACCCCUGAAGAUCCACUAGUGAAUUAAUUAAAAGGAAACAUCGUAGAUACAAAAAAAAAAUGGAAGGGGGUCCUAGGUUUAAACAUAAUAUGGAUCACAUCAAUGCAAUAUCGAGCAAUCACUCCUCAGAAGAGGGGUCACACGUGAUAUUAGCGCACCAGUCAUCAUAUCCAUAUUCAAACCUUUCCCACCCCGUUAAGGUAUUUAAACGCGAUUAGUAUCGUUUACUUAUUGCAUGCUAGUAUCCGUCCCAACCUAUUAGUCCCGGGGUAUUAGGACUUCUAAUCCUAAAGGGAAAGAGGGGGAUGGGGCAUUUAUGGAGUUUAAAGGUUAAAAUACUAGUUUCAACAUAUAAAACAAGUAACAAAUAGAGGGAAUGAACAAAAAAAUAUGUAAGGCUCAAGAAAACCCCUUAAAUCAGACAAUAUAUAGCUUAGCAUGCUUUGCACAUACUGGUUUGGUCUUAAAUUAAAGUUAAAUAGCUAAAUGACUGGUUUAACACAUAUAUUUAGACAGAAAGUCUGCAUUAGGCAACUUGGAUACAAUUGUCAGAAAUUAAGGUACUUUGAACGAGUUAUUUAGAAAGUAUUGGUUUCAGAAAAUUAUCUAAUGCAGAAGACUUUUGAAAAAAAAGAACAAUCUGCAGUGAGUUUAGAAAUGAGUGUUAAAAGAAAUACUAGCAGACUGCCCAAGUAUAAAACACAGAAAUAGUUUUAUAGAAUUUUAGAGAAGAAGACUAAGGAAAAGAGUAAACUGCGGAACUAUUUUUAAAAGACGAGUUCAGGAAAAUUAGAAUCUAGUUGGAAAGCGUUUAGGCAGAAUAUUAGAAAAGAAAUUGUUUCAGAAAAGAUGCAUACUUGAAGAACUCAAAUGUACACUGACUCAAGAGAGUUUUAUAAAAAAGACUAAGGCUUUUGAAAACGUUAUUGAAUUAAGGCAUUAAGGACCAGUUAAUAGACUAGUAUUGCUUUAAACGAAUCAGAAAAGUUUGAUGUGAAUCCUAUAUAUCUAUAUUUAAUUUUCAGAACCUGUUAAAGGAUUUGUGAAUAGAUGACUGUUUUAAUUAACCCUACAGUUGCCAAAUGAAUAUGCAUUCACUAUAGACGUGGUAUCUAUAAAUGAAUUUAAGAAAGGUUUUAAACUCAUAUAGGCAAGAUCUCUAUAUGCAUGGUUACAGAACAUGAAUGUUAAAUCCUAGGCAUGCUUUUUAUGUGAUUUGUAGAAUAGUUAAGCGUUAACCCUAUGGAUAUAGUCUGUAGAUGACUUUUAAUCAGAAAUAUUGAACAGACCUAUAGGCAGGAUUUCUAGUAAGAAAAAUUAAAAUCCUAGAGCAUGAUAUCUACAUUUACUGAUGUAAGAAAGUAAAACCCCUCCCACACCCUUUUACUAUAUUCCCCAAGUUUUAUACAAAUUAUUACAGACCAGAAAAGAGGAAUAAAAAUACAUCAAAGACUAACAGCUAGAUCCGAGAAGCCUAAGUCAAUCUUAAUGUCUAAUAACAUGUGAUCAACCAAUACCGGAUCCAAAUUUCCAAAGCCUUCUCUUUAUCCCAAGUGUUUCAAAGUUCCAAGGAAUCUCAAGGAUACCCGGCAUUGCUUACACUCCAGAUACCAUUUAGAAUUAGAAUAGUGUAGUGCGGAAUAGUCAACUUGUUUGGAUCCAAGGUAAGAAAAAUAAUUACACGAGUAUUAACAAGUUUGGAUCAAAGCACUUUCGCUUAUUUCUCAAACAAUCUAAAUUACGCCAAAUUGUUCCCCGGUAACGGCGACAAUUUUGGUGACGUCCAAAUCCACCGCUAAACAAAAGCAAUAGAUAUGGUCGCAGCAAUAUAAUUACCCAACUAUGAGUCGGGGUCGAAUCACACAAAAAACAAUGUAUAGGCGAUUAGAAAUGUAAGAGAAUUAUCGCUAGUCGCGCAGUGCCAAACAACAAGAAUUUGAGUUGAAAAUUAUUUUUAUAUCUAAGAUGCGAAAAUGUAAACUAACCUAGAAAUCAAGUAAAAUGACCAAUGGCUACAAGUAUAAAAUCAACAGGAAUUACACUCAAGUAACUAUCCAAUGUAUUUCACGAUUUUUCAAAUAUGAGCGAGCUUAUGUUAAUUAGCCAUGGAUAAUAAUUCUUAAUUAGCUUCUUCCGAAGACCAACAAGACUUCCUAAUUGAAUUACACCUAAUCACAAUUAGAAGAUUAAGCACACCCGCAAAGCUACAAGUAGUUCAAUCCUAUCCCUAUGUAGAAUCUAUAAAAUGAGGGUUAACGCCUCAAGUAUAUUUCACGACUUUCCAAAUAUGAGCGAGUUUACGUUAAUUAUCCACGGAUAAUAAUUCUUAAUUAGCUUCUUCUGAAGACCAACAAGACUUCCUAAUUGAAUUAUCCCUAAACGCAAUUAGAAGAUUAAGCACACCCACAAAGCUACAAGUAGUUAAAUCCUAUCCCUAGGUAGAAUCUGUAAAAUGAGGGUUAACGCCUCAAGUUCUUGUUGAUUAAUCUUUCCCAACCCCAAACUAUUUUUCCCAAAAUUAAUUCGGAGUUAAUGGGCAAGUCCUAGGGUUAGCUAAUCUCUUUGAAAACGUUAAAGAAAAAGAAUAAUUAAAGAAACAACAACUCACUUCAUAAAUAUAGAAAAAUCAUUCAAUACAUAAGCACAACAAGGUAUAAAAUCCACACAUUAAUUAAUAUUCCCAUAAAUAAGAUUUAAGUGUUGGAUAAAAUACUACAUACGUAGAUAAACAAAACAAGGCAAGGAAAUGAUGAAAGAAACAUAAAUGGGUAAGAAAACCUAAACCACAAGCUUUAAUCUUCACAACCCAAGUGUGUUUGUGCAAAACCCUAGCUUCAAACUCGUUUUCUCUAGUCUAUGAAGACUGAAAAUAAGCCAAAGAUGUUCUAAUUGUCUGCUUGGACGGGCAUAAAAAUGAUUUGGGGAUUACAAUUGUGAAAUUCCAAAAUUGCCCAGAACUGUCCCAGGUACGAAGCUUCGCGAUCACAUGCCUCUGCCUGCGAUCGCGUAGAGUGGCUGCUGAAGGUUCUGCAAUCGCGUGGAUGUACCUGCGAUCAUGUAGGUUUACUUGUUCAAGCUCUGCGAUCGCUUGCACACUUCUGCGAUCACGUGGAAUUAAUGUCUGCACUUCUACGAUCGCGUGCGUACUUUUGCGAUCGCGUAGAGAUAUCUACCCAGCUGUCAUUUUUCCACUUCAAUUUCAUUCAAACCACCUCAUAGCAUCAUGUACCUAAAAAUCUCACAAUAACCACUAUAAAAACCUCAUUGUAUACUUAAAACGACAUAAAAGCUAAGGAAAAGAGGCUCAAAUGAGUUGUAAAAUCACCCCACAUCAGGAUUCACAUAAGAAAAUAGUAGCCAAGUUGCAUAAACACAGUAAAGGAAACAUGAUAGAACUUAGAAUGUAAACACAUAGUCGAGAAUCAUUAUUUAAACUAAGAGAAAAUACUAGUUGCAAAGUAAGAAUAAUCAGAAAAACAGAGAAAUCACAGUAAGUAAAAUAGUAGGAGCAAACUCAAAUUUCAGCAGAACAUUUGAAGGAUCGAAGAGAACUCAAAGUUGUUUCAGAAAGCAAGGAGUAGAAUUAUAGAGAAGAAGAGAGUAGAAAGCAGAGUGCUUAAUACUAUGAGUGAAAGUGUAAUUUAAUUGUAAAAGCUUCAGUGUUAAAGCGUGUAAAGCCAGUAUUCAAAUGCAAAAAGGGUAGACCCCUUUUAUAGUACAUAAAAUGAGUAGAAAGAGGUAGGAAAAUAACUUUGAAAAUCCGUUUCAAUGAUUUCCCUUCAGUGAAGGGAUUUGAUUUCAAACGGGCAGGAUAAUUAAGGAAAGGUUUUGGUUCAAAAAAUAUUUUCUAAAGCAGUGCAAUAAGGGUAGAUACACAUAAAUUUAAUUAAGGCAGGAGUCUAAUAGUACAAGGUUUGGACAAAGGCAAUCAAUCAGCAGGCAGUAAAAAACAAGAUUUGAGUCUUGGUAUGAAUGAAUCCAACCAGAAAAGGUGAAAAGAGGUUCAUUUUAACGAAAAUCAGUAGCAUAGCUUGUCACUCAAAUAAGUUCAGAAGAGAAGAGAUGACAUAAGCUUAGGGAAACAGCAGAUGAAGCAUGCUCAGAGUUUAAAACGGAAGUCCAGUAAGGCAAACAAGGAUUAAAAGCUCAGUAAAAUACAGAAAGGAAUAUAGGAGAUAGACAUGUAAAAGCAUGCUUAUAGAAACCAGUAGAAGAAAGAACAUAACACAAAAAUAGAAGUACAUUAAUAAGAUGGCAAACAUAAAAACACAAGAGAAAACUCAUAAGAAUAUUGCAUAGACAGAUUCACACAAAGAAAAGAAGAAGAAGAGACAGAAGUCACUUUGAGACAUUUCAGGAACCCUAAAUCGGAAACAAACUAAUCUUAAAAAGGAAAAUUGGGGAAAAAGAUUAAAACGUUGAAGAUAGUAUAGAUUCAUCACAGAUCUAGGCAGAUAAAAGAAGAAGGAACAUCGAACAGCUUUAGGGUUUCUCUGAACCCCUAGAAAUGAGCAGGCUUGGAAGAAAGUCUGGUCUUGAGUCAGAGAUGGCCAUAGCUAGGCUCCUAAAUCUCUAAUACGCCGGAGCAAGGCAGGAGAGGCCACGGAACCACAGAUCUGUAGAGGAUCUGAAUUAACGCCAUCGAGGUCAGACCUUGAAUAUAGAACACCCAUGGUUUAAGGGUGAAGGAAGGUGAGCACAAGUCGUCCAUGGCUUGGGAAGCCAUGGAUUGAGGUGAGCUUGAGGUCGAAGAAGGGUGAGAGGGGCUAGGGUUCGAGACCCUUCGAGAGAGUUUGAGAGGAGAAGAGGGUUUCAGAGGUGGCUUUCUAAGAGAAAUGAGGAUUAGGGUUGGGGGUAGGUGGAAUUAAAAAGGCAAGGUUUGAUCGUGGUCGUUGAUCAAAAGUAUCAAUGGCUUGGAUUAAAAGGAAUCCCGGGCGGAUUUAGUAAUUAGGUCAAGGGGUCGGGAUAAAUGAAUCUAAUCUGUUUCGAAAUUGGAUUGAUUUUAGGUUGAAAUUGAAAUGGAAUUGGGGUUAUAAUUGAAAAGAAAUGAUGCUAGAUAUUAAAUAGCCAGUUAUUCCCUUUUAUUUUAUAAAAAUAGUAAAAGAUAUUUUAAAGGCAAAUUAAAGGUACUAAGUCAGUUAACAAUAUAUAAAUGUUAACUUAAAAAUACUGGGACUAAUUUAUGAUUAUAAAAAAUGCUAUAAAAUCAUUAAGAGGUUAAUAUUGCAAUUAUAUGCAAUUUACUUUUAAAAAUACCAAAUGAAUUUUAUAAAAAUAUGAAAAAAUCAUGUUAGCUAUGAUUUGGCGUAAAUAUGGGAAUAAAAUAAAUCAUUCACCAAAAGUAAUAAAUUAAGGAAUAAUUUAUUACAUUUUAUUGUACAAAAAUAGGCGAUAAAUUGGUUUAAAAAUCAGUAAAAAUAUCAAGACCGUUUGAUGUGCUUAUAUAUAUGCACAUAUAUGCUAUUUUGAAACUAUUUUGGGUAUAAAAUACAUAGGAAAAAAUUGGGUAUCAACAACUGCCCCUCUUUACCCGAAGAGGAUGAAAGAGUUGUUGGGUAAAGAUAAGAUGGCCAAUUUUGACAGGAUCGGUGAUUAAAAAGAGUUUUGACCGAGUUCUAGCUUCUGAUCGGCCUAUAUAUCCCUGUUUUUACAGGAAUCAGGCCACAUGUAGUUCGGGAGCCAUUGACGGAGUGUGCCGAUAGAGAUUUCGAAAAAGACAGACGUGAUGUUUGGAUUUGAAAAGGUGUUUGGAGUAGAAUAGGCUGCGGAGAACCAGAGCAGAAUCUCUCCUGCUCAGAUGGCCAUUUUCUAGCCAGCGUACCUGCAAGUAAGCCAUGUGUCAUAUAUUGUGCAUAGUUUAACUAUGAUGCAAAUUCCCGUUUGACCAUGAAUGUUUUCUUUGGAUGGUUGAGAUGACGUCCUCAGACUAUGACGUCCUGGGCCAUAAAGAGCAUAAAUAAAUAUUCGAAGGCCAUGAAAUGGUGUUCUCGGACUAUGCAUAUGGUGCCUCCAAACUAUGACACAUUUGAAUAAGUUGGUGAUCUUUCAGCCCAUGAGAAGGUGGCAAUCUUUCAGUCGAUGAAUGCAAAAGGUGGUGAUCAUUCAUCCAAAGUCAGAAUUUAAAUGCAGGUGGCGAUAUUGCAGCCAUUCAAACAAGUAAAGUGGCGAUAUUUCAGCCAUGCAGGAUGGAGAUAAGGCUUAGUCUCGUAAGGCAAAUAAGUAGCCCUAUACAGAUGGAGUUAGAUCUUAACCUCAGAAGGCAUAUAGAUAGCCUUAUGCAAAAUGCAGAUGGAGAUAACGCUUAGUCUCGAAAGGCAGAUAAGUAGCCUUAUGCAGAUGGAGGCAGAGCUUAGCCUCGAAAGGCAGAUAAGUAGCCUUAUGCAAGAUAAUGCAGAUGGUGACAGAGCUUAGUCUUGGAAGGCAGAUGAGAAGCCUUAUGCAGAUGGAGGUAGAGAUUAACCUCGGAAGGCAGAUGAAUAGCCUUAUGCAAGAUAAUGCAGAUGGAGACAAUGAUUAGUCUUGGAAUGCAGAUGAGAAGCCUUAUGCAGAUGGAGACAGGGCUUAGUCUCGGAAGGCAGAUGGAUAACCUUUUGCAAGAUAAUGCAGAUGGAGAGAAUGCUUAGUUUCGAAAGGCAGAUGAAUAGCCUUAUGCAGAUGGAGGCAGAUUUUAGCCUCGAAAGGCAAGUGAGUAGCCUUAUGCAUAUAAGGUAGAUAGAGACAGAGCUUAGUCUCGAAAGGCAGAUGAGUAGCCUUAUGCAGAUGGAGGCAGACCUUAACCUCGGAAGGCAGAUAAGUAGCUUAUGCAGGAAAUGCAGAUGGAGACAAAGCUUAGUCUCGAAAGCCAAAUAAGUAGCCUUAUGCAGAUGCAAGAAUGUAAAGGGCAUAUAGUGGUAAGAUUUUCUUAGCUGAUAGUUUAUUAUGACUGCUAGGGAUAUUGUGUGCGGAUAGCUAUAUUCUGAAAGAUUGCUCUUGGUAGUUUUGUUCAUGAAAAGUGUGAGUAUGUGAAUAUAUUCAAUGAUUUGUGACCUGCAUCCAAAGAAAAAUCGUGAGUUACGUAGAGGGGGAAAGGUUAGUUCAUCUUCCCAUGGCUCCUGACGUCGUGUAUCACUAGGGUGGCGUUGCUAAACGACAGCGAUUCAAAUGAUAUUUAUGCAUGAUUUAGUAGAUAUAAUGUAAGUAUAUGUAUAUAUAUUUGAGAAAAAAUGAUUUUUAAUGAACCAAUGACUACAACGUGGUCCCAGACAUUGCAACCUUGCAUGCUCCGGAAUUUUGAGGGUCCUCCUCAAAAUUCUACCCCUGUUUACUGGGCUGGUGCUUCUGACGGCUGUGUUGAAUGACUGAAAAUGAUCAGCCUUAGAAAUUUGAUGGUCAUCCUCAAAAUUCUGCCCCAGUUUACUGGGUUGACACUUCUAGCGAUGAAAAGACUAAGAGACUGACUUCAAAAUUUUGAGGGUCCUACUCAAAAUUCUGCCCCAGUUCCAAUAGCGGGGAAAAUGGAAUUUUUAUUAAAUUGUGACCGAACCCAUAGGGCUGCCUAUGUAUCCCCUCUUAAUCGGUAAUAAGGUCAGGCGUAGUUCAAACAUCAUGAAGAAAAACAUAUGAUUAUAUGUAGUAUCAUUUCACAGCAUCUGAAUUAAUUGGCUUUUGCCAAACUUCUCCAUCCAUUUUUGCAAGAAUAAGGGCUCAUCCGGUUAGAACUCGGUGAACCAUGUACAGACCCUGCCAAUUGGGAGAGAAUUUCCCCUUGGCUUCAUCUCAAUGAAGAAAUAUUUUCUUCAACACCAGCUGCCCCGGUGUAAAUUUUCUUAGUUUAUCUCUUUUGUUGAAGGCUAUGGACAUUAUGUUCUAAUACAACUGACCGUGGAAAAUAGCAUUUAUCAUUUUCCCGUCUAUAGGGCUAACUACUCGCAGUGACCUUUUACCCAUUAUGCAUCCUCCAACUCAGCUUCUUAUAUCAUCCUUAUAGAUGGAAUUUCUACCUCAGCAGGAAUGGCUGCCCCUGUACUGUAAACUAGCAUGUAGGGAGUUUCCCUUAUUGAUGUGUGGACUAUGGUACGGUAUCCCAUUAAGUAAAAUGAUAGCUUCUUGUGCCAUUGUUUAUGCCUUUCAAUUAUCUUCCUUAGUAUCUUUUUGAUGUUCUUGUUGUCUACCUCUACAGCACAUUUAUUUGAGGUCUGUAAGCUGUAGAGUUCUUGUGUCUGAUUCUGAAUGUUUCACACAUUGCUUUCAUCAAGUUGUUGUUGAGAUUGGAACCAUUGUCAGUGAUGAUUGAUUCUGGAAUUUCGAAUAUACAAACAAUUUGGUUGUGGACAAAGUCUGCCACAACUUUCUUAGUCAUUGCUUUGUAUGAUGUUGCUUCGACCCAUUUGGUAAAGUAAUCAAUUGCCACUAAGAUGAGCCCAUUUGAUGCGGCAGGCUCGAUUGGUUCGAUAACAUCCAUUCCCCAAGCGGCGAACAGCCAUUGUGAGCUUGUUGCAUUAAGCUCGUUCGGAGGCACGUUUAUCAUGUCUGCAUGUAUUUGACGGCGAUGGCACUUUCAGACAUACUGGAUGCAGUCCGUUUCCAUAGGCAUUCAAUAGUAUCCUGCUCGGAGUAUCUUCUUUGCUAACAUGAAACCAUUUAUGUGCGGCCCGCAAGUCCGUGCGUGCACUUCAUCCAAUAGUGUGAUUGCUUCUAUUGCAUCGACACACCUUAGCAGUCCUAAAUCGGGAGCCCUUCUACAUAGGAUUCCUCUGCUGUGAAAGAAAUUGUUAGAUAAUCUCCGCAAUGUGCGCUUGUGAGUGGCAUUGGCGAGCUAUGGAUAUUCUCCUGUUGUCAAGUAUUAUUUGAUUUCGUGGAACCACAAUUUUCCAUCCGCUUCUUCCUCAACAUGAGCAUAAUAAACUGGUUGGUCAUAGAUCUUGACCUAGAUGGGAUCAAUUAAAUUUGUAUCUGGAUGCUAGAUCAUGGAUGACAACAUGGGUAGUGCAUCAGCAAACUCAUUCUGUAUUCUGGGAAAAUGCUGGAAUUCGGUCUUUGUGAAUCUCUUCCUCAACUCUUGUAUGUGAUGCAGAUAAGGGAGUAUGUUAGAAUUCUUGAUUGCCCAUUCUUCUCGAACUUGAUCUAUGAGUAGGUAUGAGUCUCUGAUCACCAGUAACUGUUGAAUGCUUAUAUCGAUGGCUAGUUUGAGCCCCAAGAUGCAGGCUUCGUACUCGCCCAUGUCGUUAGUGCAUGGGAACCUGAGCUUGGCAGAUACCGGGUAAUGUUGACCGGUUUCUGAUACUAGGACUGCUCCUAUGCCGACUCCUUUGAAAUUUGCGACUCCGUUGAAAAACAUCCUCCAACCAUCAUAGGAUUCUGCAAUGUCUUCUCCUAUGAAAGCUAUCUCUUCUGAUACAAGGACUGCUUCUAUACCGACUCGUGUAAAAUUCGCAACUCCAUCAAAAACCAUUCUCCAACCAUCAUAGGAUUCUACAAUGUCUUCUCCUAUGAAAGAUACCUCUUCGUUAGGAAAAUACAUCUUUAAUGGCUCGUAUUCUCCUCCCACGGGAUUCUUGGCGAGGUGAUCUGCCAAGGCUUGUCCUUUAACUGCCUUCUGAGUGACGUAAACAAUGUCAGAUUCACCUAGCAUGAUUUUCCACUUGGUGAGCUUGCCAGUAGGCAUGGGCUUCUGGAAGAUAUACUUCAGUGGGUCCAUUCUCGAUUUGAGAUAAGUGGUGCAAGCACAGAAAUAGUGCCUCAACUUCUGAGCUACCUAGGUCAAAGCACAAUAGGUUCAUUUUAAUAAGGAAUACUGGGCCUCAUACGAGGUAAACUUCUUGCUGAGGUAGUAAAUGGCUUGUUCCUUUCACCCCCCCCCCCNNNNNNNNNNNNNNNNNNNNNNNNNNNNNNNNNNNNNNNNNNNNNNNNNNNNNNNNNNNNNNNNNNNNNNNNNNNNNNNNNNNNNNNNNNNNNNNNNNNNNNNNNNNNNNNNNNNNNNNNNNNNNNNNNNNNNNNNNNNNNNNNNNNNNNNNNNNNNNNNNNNNNNNNNNNNNNNNNNNNNNNNNNNNNNNNNNNNNNNNNNNNNNNNNNNNNNNNNNNNNNNNNNNNNNNNNNNNNNNNNNNNNNNNNNNNNNNNNNNNNNNNNNNNNNNNNNNNNNNNNNNNNNNNNNNNNNNNNNNNNNNNNNNNNNNNNNNNNNNNNNNNNNNNNNNNNNNNNNNNNNNNNNNNNNNNNNNNNNNNNNNCCCCCCGGUUUCAUCAAAUUGUCCCAAACCACAAUCGAAUGCUCCAUCCAGUACUGCGUGAUAAAGUAAUAGGGGUCUUUCUGGUUCAGGUAGAACCAAGACCGGUGAUGUUGACAAGUACUCCCUAAUUCUGUCAAAAGCUUUCUGAUAAUCGUCAGUCCAUUUGGUGGAGGCAUCCUCCUUCAACGUCUUGAAGAUAUGUUCACAAAUGACGAUAGAUUAAGCUAUGAACCGGUUGAUAUAGUUUAGUCUUCCUAGAAAACUCAUCACAUCGUUCUUGUUCUUUGGUGGUGGCAAUUCCUGGACGGCUUUCACCUUAAACGGGUCCAAUUCUACACCUCGGUGACUCACGAUGAAACCCAGUAACUUUCCAGCAGCAACCCCGAAUGCACAUUUGGCGGGAUUCAGUUUCAAAUUGUACCUUCUCAAUCUGUUGAAGAAUUUUCUCAAGUCUUCCAUAUGAUAUGCGACUCUUUUGGACUUGAUGAUGACGUCAUCGACAUAUAACUUGAUUUCUUUAUGUAUCAUGUCAUGGAAGAUGGUAUUCAUGGCUCUCAUGUAGGUGGCACCAGCAUUAUUCAAACCAAAUGGCAUCAUUCGAUAAUAGUACAUCCCCCAUUGAGUGAUAAAAGUUGUUUUCUCUGCAUCUUCUUCAUCAUCAUAUAUCUGAUGGUACCCAGCAAAACAAUCAACGAAUGACUGCAGCUCAAGCUUGUUGCAGUUAUCGAUCAGGGUGUGUAUAUUCCACAAGGGGAAGUCAUCUUUGGGACUGGCCCGGUUAAGAUCCUGAUAGUUGAUACAGACUUUCACUUUCCCGUCCUUCUUCGGUACUGGCACGAUGUUGGCUAACCAUGUCGGAUACUCUACUACCCUGAGAACCCUGACUUUGACUUACUUGGUAACCUCUUCUUUGAUUUUCAAACUCAUGUCGGUUUUGAACUUUCUGAGCUUCUAUUUUACCGGCGGACAUGUCGGGUCUAUUGGCAACUUGUGAGCUACUAUAGAUGUGUUGAGACCGGUCAUAUCAUAAGACCAUGAAAAGAUGUCCUCAUACUCUUUUAAGAACUCUGUGUACUCUUUCUUUUCAAAUGGCGACAACUGCACAUUGAUACGUGUUUCCUUGACAUUCUCGGUAUCUCCUAAAUUAACGAUCUCAGUUUCGUCCAAGUUAGACUUGGGCCUAUUCUCAAAGUUCUCGACCUCUCUGACAACCUCUUCUGUUAUAUCAUCCUCUUCUGAGUCUAUAUUUAUUUGUUGUGUUGUCUCGUUGCAAGUCAGAGUCGUUGGUUCAUCACCAAGAUAGGUGAUAGUAAUGAUGUGCAAUUAAAGUAAAUAAUAGAGAAAAUAAUGAGAGAGAGAUAUAUAAUAAACUUAGAAAUGCUUUUGAUUAAAUUCAUAAUUGUUCGAAACAUCAAAGCUCUUUUCAAAAGUAAAGACAAUGCGGAAAGGAAAAAUCAACUAGUAAAACAUAAAGAUGCGAUGCAUGGCGCUUUGUUUAGCCUUGCUACCCCGAAAACUUUCCGAGCCUUGGUGGUUCUGAUCGACCAAUUAGUGAGGCACUCCCCUUGAUUUACAGCUUGUAUGGAAGUUCCUUCCUCCCCUUCCUCCUCGAAGAUAAUAUAACAUUCCAUAUCAUCUUCUAGAAACAAGUUCUUCAUUGCUGCUAAUGCUUCAUCCUCUUCUGAUCCGUAUAUGACAUCAGCUGGCUAAAAGGUCUACUCUAGAAGAGGUAGAGGGUGAUCCAAUGGGUAGUAUGGUCCGCGUCAUGGUGGCGACCAAUGGUUGAACUCCUCCCAGCUGUAUUCAUACCCUAAACCAAAAAUAGUACCGUGUUUCUUCAACUUGAUAGGUUUGGCGAUCCCUUGGAGGUUUUUUCCAAGUCCCUUUCCGGGCUCAUACCCGCACCAAUUCAGGAUUCUUUCAAUCUUAUUGUCCCACCAUUCGUCGUUUUCUACAACAUUGACUCGCUCGAUGUGGUGGUAUGUUUCUCCACAUAUUCUCCUUUUGCCUCCAAUCAUAGGGAUUGUCUGGCAACUGUAUAUGGGGUUGCUACAGUCGCCAUGAAUGAUCCCCUCUUGGUGAUUCCACUCAAACUUUACUGAUUGAUGCAAGGUCAAUGCCACAGCUCCAGCGACGUGGAUCCAAGGUAGUCCUAGCAACAAACUGUAGAAUGUCGGGACGUCUAUCACUCUGAAGUCAACAUCAAACAAAGUUGGUCCCAUUUGCAAGCACAAGCUAAUUUCUCUAACGGUGGAUCUUUGGGACCCAUCGAAAGCUUUGACAUUGAUAGCCCCAUCCUUGAUCUUAUGCAAACCUUUUCCCAACGUCCUGAGAGUUAUCAGUGGACAAAUAUUAAGGCUGGAUCCUCCGUCGACCAAGAUUCUAGUGCUGAAAUAAUCUUCACAUUGCACGGUGAUGUGAAAAGCCUUGUUGUGACUUAGUCCUUCUGGUGGUAGCUCAUCCUCGUGGAAGGUGAUUAUGUGACUCUCAAACACUUGUCCUACCAUAUUCACCAUUUCGCCUCUAGUUAUGUUUUUGGGAACAUAAGCUUCACUCAAUAUUUUCAUCAAAGCAUUUUUAUGUGCCUCACAGCUUUGCAGAAGAGCCAGAAUGAAAAUCUGCGCUAAUGUUUUGUUCAACUACUCCAGCACCAUCUUUAGCCUGUAUAUUUAUUCAAAGGUCAUCAGGCCCAGUCUCAACAAGCCGUCCAGAGGCUUGUUUGCUGGACUCAGCUAAAUGUUCCAGAGUGCAUACCCUGCCUGUUCUAGUCUUGCCAUGUGUGGCGAUCGCUUCUCCAGUUUUUAUUUCCCUUUUCUCCAAGCUUUAGCUCUGUAUUCCCAGGGUAUGGCGUUUGAAUGGAACUGGGUCGCAUCUAUCAUUGUGACUGGAAUAGGCACCCUUGGAGGUAACACUGCAACUUCAAAUGGUGCAGGUGCCUUUGGAAUUAUGAAAUCAACCUCAAUUGGCCCUGGCGCCUUUGUAGAAGGCGCUUCGAACUCGAGCAGUAUGGACAUAUUUACCUCAUUGCCCUCAGAGGGCUGGAUCUGCACAACAAUAGGGUUGAGGGUGACUGUUGGCUUCUUCGUCUCAUCCCUUUCGACAAUAAAUCCAAUUGUCCCUAUGGGGUCCCAAUCAUACUCAAUCUCGAACAUAUGAUGCCGCCUCCCUUGUGGUCAUGCAGAGGGUUGUUUCGGACAUUGGGAACGGGAUCCUUUGCUAUGAUGACCUUAUUAUCAAUAAAGGCCCGAAUCUUUUCUUUCAAGAAGCGGCAUUCAUCAAUAGUAUGGUCUUUCAUUCCGGAAUGGUAUGCGUAGGUUUUGUUUGGAUCUAUCCAUUGGGAGGGAUUUUUUGGAGUUAUGGUUGGGAUAGGGGCAACAUAACCAGCUGCUUUGAGUCUUUCAUAUAGUUGGUUGAUUUUGUUCGGAAAUGGUGUUAUAUUGUCUUGGAGGUCUGCGAUCAAAAUUUGGUCUGGGUCUAGGAAACUUUUGGCGAGCGGGGGGUCAUUGAUAGUGUGAAGGUUGGGCAUUAUAGGCUUGGUAGACGGGUGCUGGUAGGGAAUAUCUUGGUGAAGUGGGCUGAUACGUAGGUGGUGGAGAUGAUUGGUAGGUAGGUGGUGGGAUUUGGUAUGCGGGUGAGGGUACUUGGUAAUUUAGGGGAGGUUGAUAUAUGAGUGGAGUUAAGAGAUACGUUUGUAUUUCAUAGGGGAUUUGGUUCUUUGCGCAGCCAUUAGGGAGUUCACGUCCUUCUUCUUUAAUGUGCCACCAGACUGUAAAGCCUUGUUGGUGUCCUGUAACGCUUUGAGAUUAGUGACCAUACCAUUCUUGAUACCUUCUUCAAUUCUUUCUCCUAACUUGAUGAUGUCGGAGAACUUCUGACCUUCUAUCAGCAUCAGCCUCUCAUAGUAUUGCGGAUCUUGAGCCCGUACAAAGAACCCAUUCAUCUGCUCUUCCUCUAAGGCCGGCUUGACCUUAGCAGUUUCUGACCUCCAGUGAGUAGCAUACUUGCGGAAUGUUUUGGUGGGUUUCUUCUUCAGAUUCUGUAUAUAAAACACAUUCGGUGCAUUUUCUGUGUUGAACCUGAAUCGGUCCAUAAAGUCAGAUGUCAUGCUUACCCAGCUUGUCCAUUUCUUUGAAUCAUGGCUGAUGUACCAAGAUAGUGCAUCUCCUUUCAGACUCCUCAUAAACAGUUUCAUGCAAAUUUUCUCAUCCCUUCGAACUCCUAUCAGCUUAUCACAAUACAUUCUCAGAUGGACCUUGGGAUCACCUGUACCGUCGAACAUUUUGAACUUGGGAGGUUUGUACCCUUCCAGAAGUUCAUCAUCUAGCCAAAUGCAAAGAUCUUCAUAGUUCAAUCCCUCAUCUCCUUCGCUAACUUCGACGCCCUAGAUCCGGCUAGUUAACUUCUUGAGCUCUGCAGCCAGAUUUUUAAAGAGCGAGUGUUUGUCGUUUGAUUCAGUUGCACUUAGGAUUGGUUAGGUAUUGUGGGGUAUAGUCUCCACAAAGAUAGGUGUGUUUUGGAGGUGGUCGUUUGUGGAGUUUUGUGAUUUGGGAAUGAGCAGUGGAGUGUUAUUGCAUGUGUUGCAGGCAUGGGCAUGAGUGAGUUGUACUGGUGGUUGCGAGGUAUUUUGUGGUGGUACGGGGUUCUAGGUAUUAACAUCAGGAGCGGCAAGACUGAUUGAUAGGCAUGCCAAGUUCCGAACUUGGUCUAACUCUUCCCAAAAUUUCAGCAAUGUCUGCUCAAGAUGAGCAGCAGUCCCCUUGGUAAUUGGAGUAUUCUGAGAAGUCUCCUCAAUUUCCUUUUUAGCAUUGGCGUAUCCCAUUAUGCCUUUGUUCUUGUUUUUGAUAGGACUCGGAGGAGGAGGAGGUGGAGGGCCCUUGGAUCUUGUAGAGUAUGUUGAUGGUGCCAGAAUGAAUGAACUAACCUUUGGGGAGGGGAAUGAAAAUAAAAUAAAAACAAAAGGUAAAAAGUUAGUACGGAUUCUGAGAAAGUGAAUGUUACGAUAUUUAAAUACGUUGUGCAGGAAUAUAAGUCAUUUUCUAUUUUGGGUGCCUCAUUGUGCCCGAGGUAGGCCUAGCGACAAAUUAAAUUUGGAGAACUUAUAAUUCUAAAUGCCUCAUUUUAUUGAUUGAAAAUAAGACGAAUCGCAAUUUUAAAAAAAAUAACAAAAAUAAAUGGAAUCGGAGCAGGAGGUGGUAGAGGGCCCUUGGAUCUUGUUGAGUAAGUUGAUGGUGCCAGAAUGCACAAACUAACCUUUCGGGAAGGGAAUAAAAAUAAAAGAAAAAAAAGGUAAAAAGUUAGCGUGGAUUUUGAGAAAAAGGUAUUGUGAUAUUUAAACACACUGUUCAAGAAUAUAAGUCGUGUCCUAAUUUGGGUGCCUUGUUGUUUCCCGAGGUAGGCCUGGUGACAAAUUAACUUUGAAGAACUUAUAAUGCUAAAUGCCUCAUUUUAUUGAUAAAACUAAGACGAGACUAAAAAACAACUUGAAAUAAUGGGAAAUAAAGAUGUCACUAAUGGCCAGUGGCCUUAUUACAUUAUGAAAGCUGGAAAUAAAAGAUCCUAACUACUUGUUCCCAGAAGGUCCUUCCCCAGAUUCGGUAUUCUCGCUUCCCCCGUAUAGCUGCAUCAAGUCGCGCAGUCCUAGCAGCAGAUGGGCUCGGGCUGGGUGUCCACCUGCAUUUCCCUCGACAUUUUGGCAGACUUCAAUCCUUUUCAAGAACUUUCCUUCCAACUCUACUAGACCUCAUUCUAGAAAACCUAACCGUUUGUUGGCAUUGACAGCAAUAUCCUUCCACUCGUCGAUCAGCUUCUGGUGAUCUUUUUGUAUCUCAUGAUGCUCAUUUUUGCAUUCUCGAAUUAUUUUGCGCAAUUGAUUGUACUUAACUUGAACUCUAGCCUUAUUGUCAAUAAGUAUGUGACCUCGGAUUAACCUAGGAGGACCCAAACCAAUGAGAUUAUCUUCCAACCAACCUGAGUAGUGUGGCACACACCCGGCGUGAUACCUCUCUAGCUUAAUAGAUUCUCUCCCCAAGACGAGCUUGCAAUGCCACAUGUGCUGAGCUUCACACCUAUGGGGGCUAUCAUCAUCCUGGAAGUCAGCCCUAAAGUGACUCAUUUUGUCUACCCUUGGUAUGAUUUGCUUCCUCCCAGUUUCCCUCAUUGCUCGGAGAGCCACAUAAGGAUAAGUUUCCCUCAAACUGAUAAGUAUAAGGAAUGGUGCAUCCCGAUAAUGAACAAUGAACUCCCCUAUUGGGACCACUAGUACAUACACUACACUUGAUCUUCCAUUAGAUUCUCAAAUGGCUCUACCCAUCCUCCAGUUUCCUCUGGCUGGGCGAACAUGAUAGGCAUGAAGUUCAUUCUCUUUGGGUGGUGAAAAGUGAUAUGGUCGUACCAAUCUCUGCGUAUGAUCUACUGUCACUAAUCGCCUUACUGCAGGUGUUCUAUUAGCCACAGUUGAAGUAGUACAUUGCACCCUUCAAAGUUCUUAGCCCCUUGCUACCAUUGUUCUAAGGCUCGAUAUAUCUCGGCAAUGAUCAUGGGCACAAUGUUGAAAGACUGCCUGUCGAUCCCUUGUAUUAAGGUCUUGGUUACCAUGGCUAGUCUGGUGUGGAUCCUAGCUUUCUUCAUAGGAAAUACUAUCAUCCCCAGGAAACAGAACAUGAAAACUAAAACCCUUCUGUGGAUGUGCCUAAAGAGGUAAUGGCAAAUUCAUCGGUGUAGGUGCGAUAGGACUUGCUAUGGCCGUACCUUUCAUACAAGUAAUCAAAUGGUAUGUAGGAGUUUUUCUGGGGUUUUCUUGAGUCCCAUCAUCUUAAAUAAUCCUCUACCUUUGUGAUUUUCUGGAAAAAGCAGACCCGGAGCCUCACAAGAAAUACGAGCUAGACCCCCUAUUUCCUCAAGUAAAGGGGUCAUUUCAAUGUCCCCGAAGCGAAACACCAACCGAUCAUUUUCCCAGAACAAAGUAGCAGCCUCGAUAAUUUUAUUGUCAGGGCGGACUUCCAGAAGUGAAGGUAGAUUUCCUAAGUACUUGCGAAGAAGAGUUUGAUCACUGGCAUGAAGGUCCUCCACCAGCUUAGCAGCCUUGGGUGAAUGUUGGUUACUAUACCGAAUCUGGGGACUUCGUGCCUCAUUUUCUGCAGAACAAAGGGUUAGACCCACACUCGACUAUUUAGAUCAAGAAUUAGCAUAAUAGAUAUUUUAGUUCUCCAAAUAAGUGUACAAAACUUGGAGGUGUCCCUUUGGGUUUCAGGGAAACCCGAUGGACUUUGGAUUAGACUAUCUUAAUGAGUCAUUAUGCGGACAACAUAACUGACUCGGCUAAGGUUGACCAUGAUGCAUGAACAGUUUAAUGGAAUAAGGUUUCUACUUUUGAAGUGCUAGACAAGGUACCCUUGAGCGGACAACUCAAGAGGGAAAACAUAACUGACUCGGCUAGGUUUGACGAUGAUGCAUGAACAAUUUAACGGAGUAAGGCUUUUACUUUUUGAAGUGCUAGACUGGUACCCUUGAGUGGACAACUCAAGAGGGAAAGGCGCGGAACCGUCGAAUACACCAUCGAUCGACUAGUUUUACCGCAAAUAUGCCUUUGCCACAUUUAAGGGGUGAUAACAUCGGAAGAGCGCAACCACUCAUUUUAAGCAUUGCUAUAGGAUUUCUUUUGGCACGAGUGGAGUACGAUGUUGAUGAUGCAAUAUUACAAGAAUGAAACAAAUUGACAUGUAUUUUGACGUAUAUAAAAUGAAUGAUUAUAAUAAAUGCUCGAAAUUACAAUGGUAUUAUAAGGCAGUAAAGGAAAGAAAUUAAAGGAACACGAAGAUCCAAGUUAGUCUUCAUGAUGAAAUGAUUAAAGACAAGAAAUAAAGGCAAUUUAAAGAAACAAUGAAGUCACAAAUAAUAUGUAACCGUAAAAAUCCUAAAGAAGUCCCCAGCGGAGUUGCCAUGCUGUCGAUGCCCCCUUUUUCAUUGGACGGAGAGUUCGAAAAUUGAGUGAAUAACAUAAUGAGAGGACAACUUUUAUUCCCUUGCGAGAAAUGGGUUUAUGAGUUUGGAGAGUCGCCACCUAAUGAUUAUAGUGCAUUAGGACACUUUUGAAGUAACAAAGAAAUUGAGAAGAAGAAAUCGGAGUUUGGGUAAGGGCAUAGAGAUUAUCUCGAGAGGAAGGUGUUAGGCACCCCUCAGGAUCCACUAGUGUGGUUCCUAGCAAAGCUAUAAUUUUGACUUUAGAAGAUAAAAGAAAUAAAUAAGGUUUGCACAUAGUAAUUACAAAUAAGUUUAAUGCUUUUAAUAAGUCCUCAAAAGAAAUACAUUUUGACUUUAGAAGAUAAAAGAAAUAAAUAAGGUUUGCACAUAGUAAUUACAAAUAAGUUUAAUGCUUUUAAUAAGAAGAAAGGAAUAGACAACUUUUUUAGAAAGGCAAUUAAUUAAAAGGAAACAUUGUAGCUAAAAAAAAAAAGAAAAGGGAAGGGGAUCCUAGGUUUGAACAUUAUAUAGAUCACAUUAAUCCAAUAUCCAGCAAUCACUCCUUAGAAGAGGGGUCGCACGCGAUAUUAGCGCACCAGUCAUCAUAUCCAUAUUCUACCCUUUCCCACCCCGUUAAGGUAUUUAAACACGAUUAAUCUCGUUUACUUAUUGCAUGCUAGUACGCGUCCCAACCUAUAUGUCCCGGGGUAUUAGGACUUAUAAUCCUAAAGGGGAAGAGGGGGAUGGGGCAUUUAUGGAGUUUAAACGAAAUGAAAUACUAGUUUAGAUAUACAAAACAAGUAAAAAAUAGGGAAUAAACAAACAAACAGGUAAGGCACAAGUAAACCCUUUAAAUCACACAACAUAUAGUUUAGCAUGCCAUUAACAUAUUGGUUUUGGUAUUAAAUUAAAAUUAAGCGGCGAACAGACUGGUUUAACAUAUAUAUUUAGACAGAAAGUCUGCAUUAGGCAACUCGGAUACAGUUUUCAGAAAUUAAGGUGCUUUGAACGAGUUUUUUAGAAAGUACUGGUUUCAGAAACCUAUGAGGGCUAUCAUCAUCCUGGAAGUCAGCCCUAAUGUGACUCAUUUUGUCUACCCUUGGUAUGAUUUGCUUCCACCCAGUUUGCCUCAUUGCUCGGAGAGCCACAUAUGGAUAAGUUUCCCUUAAACUGAUAAGUAUAUGGAAUAGUGUAUCCCGAUAAUGAACAAUGAACUCCCCUAUUGGGAACCACUCGUACAUACACUACACUUGAUCUUCCAUUAGAUUCUCAAAUAGCUCCACCCAUCCUCCAGCGUCCUCUGGCUGGGCGAACAUGUUAGGCAUGAAGUUCAUUCGCUUUAGGUGGUGAAAAGUGAUAUGGUCAUACCAAUCUCUGGGUAUGAUCUACGGUCGCUAAUCGCCUUACUGCAGGUGUUCUAUAAGCCACAGUUGAAGUAGUAGAUUGCACCAUUCAAAGUGCUUGGCCCCAUACUAACAUUUUUCUAAGGCUCGAUAUAUUUCGGCAAUUAUCGUGGGCACAAUGUUGAAAGACUGCUUGUUGAUCCAUUCUAUUAAGGUCUUGGUUACCAUGGCUAGUCUUGUGUGGAUCCUAGCUUUCUUCAAAGGAAAGACUAUCAUCCCCAGGAAACAGAACAUGAAAACGAAAACCCUUCUGUGGAUGUGCCCUAAAGAGGUAAGGGCAAAUUCAUCGGUGUAGGUGCGAUAGGACUUGCUAUGGCUGUACCAUUCAUACAAGUAAUCAAAUGGUAUGUAGGAGUUUUUCAGACAAGUCAGAGCUGGGGUUUUCUUGAGUCCCAUCAUCUUAAAAAAGCCUCUACCUUUGUGAUUUUCUGGCAUAAGCAGACCCGGAGCCUCCCAAUGAAUUCCAGCUAGACCCCCUAUUUCCUCAAGUAAAGGGGUCUUUUCAAUGUCCCCGAAGCGAAACACCAACCGAUCAUUUUCCUAGAACAAAGUAGCCGCCUCGAUAAUUUUAUUGUCAGGCCGGACUUCCAGAAGUGAAGGUAGAUUUCCUAAGUACUUGCGGAGAAGAGUUUGAUCACUGGCAUGAAGGUCCUCCCACCAGCUUAGCAGGCUUGGGUGAAUGUUGGUUACUAUACCGAAUCUGGGGACUUCGUGCCUCAUUUUCUGCAGAACAAAGGGUUAGACCCAGACUCGACUAUUUAGAUCAACAAUUAGCAUAAUAGGAAUUUUAGUUCUCCAAAUAAGUGUACAAAACUUGGAGGUGUCCCUUUGUGUUUUAGGGAAACCCGAUGGACUUUGGAUUAGACUAUCUUAAUGAGUCAUUAUGCGGACAACAUAACUGACUCGGCUAAGGUUGACCAUGAUGCAUGAACAGUUUAAUGGAAUAAGGUUUCUACUUUUGAAGUGCUAGACAAGGUACCCUUGAGCGGACAACUCAAGAGGGAAAAUUAUGCGGACAACAUAACUGACUCGGCUAGGUUUGACCAUGAUGCAUGAACAAUUUAACGGAGUAAGGCUUUUACUUUUUGAAGUGCUAUACUGGUACCCUUGAGUGGACAACUCAAGAGGGAAAGGCGCGGAACUGUCGAAUACACCAUCGAUCGAUUGAUUUUACCGCAAAUAUGUCUUUGCCAAAAUUAAGGGGUGAUAAUAUCGGAAGAGCGCAACCACUCAUUUUAAGCGUUGCUAUAGGAUUUCUUUUGGCACGAGUGGAGUAUGAUGUUGAAGAUGCAAUUUUACAAGAAUGAAACAAAUUGAUAUGUAUUUUGACGUAUAUAAAAUGAAUGAUUAUAAUAAAUGCUCGAAAUUACAACGGUAUUAUAAGGCAGUAAAGGAAAGCAAUUAAAGGAACACGAAGAUCCAAGUUAGUCUUCAUGAUGAAAUGAUUAAAGACAAGAAAUAAAGGCAAUUUAAAGAAAUAAUGAAGUCACAAAUAACAUGUAAUCAUAAAAAUCCUAAAGAUGUCCGCAGCGGAGUCGCCAUGCUGUCGACAUCCCCCUUUUUCAUUGGAUGGAGAGUUCGAAAAUCGAGUAUAUAACAUUAUGGGAGGACAACUUUUAUUCCCUUGCGAGAAAUGGGUUUAUGAGUCUGGAGAGUCGCCACCUAAUGAUUAUAGUGCAUUAGUAAACUUUUGAAGUAACAAAGAAAUUGAGAAGAAGAAAUCGGAGUUUGGGUAAGGGCAUAGAGAUAAUCUUGAGAGGAAGAUGUUAGGCACCCCUCAAGAUCCACUAGUGUGAUCCUAGCGAAGCUAUAAUUUUGACUUUAGAAGAUAAAAGAAAUAAAUAAGGUUUGCACAUAGUAAUUACAAAUAAGUUUAAUGCUUUUAAUAAGUCCUCAAAAGAAAUACAGAUCCACUAGUGUGAUCCUAGCGAAGCUAUAAUUUUGACUUUAGAAGAUAAAAGAAAUAAAUAAGGUUUGCACAUAGUAAUUACAAAUAAGUUUAAUGCUUUUAAUAAGAAGAAAGGAAUAGACAUUUUUUUUAGAAAGGCAAUUAAAUGGAAACAUUGUAGAUAAAAAAAAGAAAAGGGAAGGGGAUCCUAGGUUUGAACAUAAUAUAGAUCACAUUAAUCCAAUAUCCAGCAAUCACUCCUUAGAAGAGGGGUCGCACGCGAUAUUAGCGCAACAGUCAUCAUAUCCAUAUUCUACCCUUUCCCACCCCGUUAAGGUAUUUAAACACGAUUAAUCUCGUUUACUUAUUGCAUCCUUGUACCCGUCCCAACGUAUCUGUCCCGGGGUAUUAGGACUUCUAAUCCUAAAGGGGAAGAGGGGGAUGGGGCAUUUAUGGAGUUUAAACGAGAUAAAUUACUAGUUUAGAUAUACAAAACAAGUAACAAAUAGAGGGAAUAAACAAAAAAAUAGGUAAGGCUCAAGUAAACCCUUUAAAUCGCACAACAUAUAGUUUAGCAUGCCUUGCACAUAUUGGUUUUGGUCUUAAAUUAAAAUUAAGCGGUGAGCAGACUGGUUUAACAUAUAUAUUUAGACAGAAAGUCUGCAUUAGGCAACUCGGAUACAGUUUUCAGAAAUUAAGGUACUUUGAACGAGUUUUUUAGAAAGUACUGGUUUCAGAAAAUAAUCUAAUGCAGAAGAGUUUUGAAAAGAAACAACAGUUUGCAGUGAGUUUAGAAAUGAGUGUUAAAAGAAAAGCUAGCAAACUGCCCAAGUAUAAAACACAGAAAUAGUUGUAUAGAAUUUUAGGGAAAAAGACAGAGCUAUCAAAGGAAAAGAGUAAACUGCAGAACUAUUUUUAUAAGACGAGUUCAGGAAAACUAGUAUUUAGCUGGAAGCGUUUUGGCAGAAUAUUAGAAAAGAAACCGUUUUAGAAAAGAUGCAGACUUGAAGAACUUAAAUGUACACUGAUUCAAGAGAGUUUUAUCAAAAAUAUUAAGGAUUUUAAAAAUGUUAUUGAAUUAAGACGUUAAGGACCAGUUAAUAGACUAUUAUAGCUUUAACGAAUCAGACGAGUUUGAUGCGAAUCCUAUAUUCAUGAUAUCUAUAUUUGAUUUUCAGAACCUUUUAAAGGAUAUGUGAAUAGGUGACUGUUUUAGUUAACCCUACAGUUGCCUAAUGAAUAUGCAUUCCCUAUAGACAUGGUAUCUAUAAAUGAAUUUUCAAAAAGGUUUUAAACUCCUAUAGGCAGGAUCUCUAUAUGCAUGGUUAUAGAACUUGAACGUUAAAUCCUAUAGGCAUGCUUUCUAUAUGAUUUGUAGUAUAGUUAAGCAUUAACCCUAUAGACAUAGUCUCUAGGUGACUUUUAAUGAGAAAUAUUGAACAGACCUAUAGGCAGGAUUUCUAGUAAGAAAAAUUAAAGUCCUAGAGCAUGAUAUCUACCCUUAUUGAUGCAAGAAAAUAAAACCCUUCCCACACCCUUUUACUAUAUUCCCCGAGUUUUUUACAAAUUAUUAUAGACCAGAAAAGAGGAAUAAAAAUACAUCAAAUACUAACAGCAAGAUCCGAGAAGCCUAAUUUAAUCUUAAUAUCUAAUAACAUGUGAUUAAUCAAUAUCUGAUCCAGAUUUCCAAAGCCUUCUCUUUAUCCCAUGUGUUUCAAAGUUCCAAGGAAUCUCAAGGAUUCCCAAUAUUGCUUACACUGAAUAUACCAUUUAGAAUUAGAAUAGUGCAGUGUGGACUAGCCAGCUCUCAGGCAUCCAAGUUCAUAGGGAGCUCAAGGGUCCCAAAGCAUGGCUUGCAAGAGAGGGGCAGAAUUUAUAGCUAGGAGUAAGUGCAAAGUGCAAAAGGAAAUGGGGAACCAUAACAAAUGUGCCACAUGUGCAGAUUGGCACACCCCUAGCCACUUGUUUGGAUUAAGAAAGUUAGGAGCAGACCUUUGAAGGUCAGACCUAAGUCUGGAUAGUGAUUAAGGCACCACCUGACCCAAGUCAAAGCUUAAACACAUAAAGGGGAAAGGGAGUGGGAAUUGAUUUGAGUUAGGGGGCUCUAAAAACCCAGUUCAGAGUCAUAGACAACAAUCAUACAAUGUUGCUAAGGUUGGAACCAUACUCACAUACAAAGGUGAAAGGGAAAGGGGAUUCACAUAAGAAAAUAGUAGCUAAGUUGCAGAAACGCAGUAAAGGAAGCAUGACAGAACUUAGAAUGUAAAUACAUAGUGGAGAAGCAUUAUUUAAACUAAGAGAACAUACCAGUUGCAAAGUAAGAAUUAACAGAAUAAAAUUGCAAUUACGGUAAGUAAAACUGCAGUAGCAAACUCAAAUUUCAGCAGAACACUUGAAGGCACGAAGAGAACUCAAAGUUGUUUCAGAAAGGAAGGAGUAAAAGAAUACAGAAGAAGAGAGUAGAAAGCAGAAUGCUUAAUACUAUGAGUGAGAGUGUAAUUUAAUUGUGAAAGCUUCAGUGUUAAAGCGUGUAAAGCUUGUCUUCAAGUGCAAAAAGGGUAGCCCCCUUUUAUAGUGCAGAAAACGAGUAGAAAGAGGUAGGAAAAUAACUUUGAAAAUUAGUUCAAUGAUUUCCCUUCGAUCAAGGGAUUUGAUUUCAAACGGGCAGGAUAAUUAAGGAAAGGGUUUGGUUCAAAAAAUCUUUUCCAAAGCAGUACAAUAAGGGUAGAUACAAAGAAAUUUAUUCAAGGCAGGAGUCUAUUAGUACAAAUAAGAAAAGGCAACCAAUCAGUAGGCAGUUAAAAUCAGGAUUUGAGUCUUGGUAUGAAGAAAAGGUGAAAAGAGGUUUAAUUUAAAGAAAAUCAGUAGCACUCAAUCAAACCUUAGAAAAAGGAGAUCUGAAUCAAUCACAAGCUGGCAAAAAUCCAUUUAAAAGAAAGGUUCUCAUAUAUAAGGCACCCAACAGCAUAAACAAAAUAGAAUCGUAUAAAAAAUCCAGAGUCAUAACAAAGAAGGUUCAGUAGUCUCUUUCAGAGACUUAUGAGAAAUCAAACAAAGAGAAUAGCAGGUUCAAGGCAAUUAGAAUGUGGAAACUAAUUUGAACACAGGGAACCCAUUUAAGCAAAGCUUGUCACUCAAAUAAGUUCAGAAGAGAAGAGGCGACAUAAGCUUAGGAAAACAGCAGAUGAAGCAUGCUCUGAGUUUAGAACGAAAUUCUAGUAAAGGCAAACAACUAUUAAAAGCUCGAUAAAAUACAGUAAAGGAACAUACGAGAUAGACAUGUAAAAACAUGCUCAUAGAAACCAGUACAAGAAAGAACAGAGCAUAAAAAUAGAAGUACAUUCAUAACACGACAAACAUAAGAACAUAAGAGAAAACUCAUAAGAAUAUGGCAUAGACAGAUUCACAGAAAGAAAAGAAGAAGAAGAGACAGAAGUCAUUUUGAGACUUUUCAGAAACCCUAAAUCGAAAACAAACUAAUCUUAAAAAGGAAAAUUGGGGAAAAAGCUUAAAACGCUGAAGAUAGCACAGAUUCACCACAGAUCUAGGCAGAUAAAAGAAGAAGGAACCUCUAACAGCUUUACAGUUUCUCUAAAACCCUAGAAAUGAGAAAGCUUGGAAGAAAGUAUGGUCUCGAGUCGGAGAUGGCCAUAGCUAGGCUCCUAAAGCUCGAAUACACCGAAGCAAGGCCAGAUAGGCCACAGAACUACGAAUCUGUAGAGGAUCUGAAUGGACUCCAUCAAGGUCAGACCUUGAAAUCUCAAACACCCAUGGCUUAGAGGUGAAGGAAUGCGAGUAUAAGCCAUCCAUAGCUUGGGAAUCCAUGGAUUCAGGUGAGAUUGAGGUCGAAGAAAGGUGAGAGGGACUAGGGUUUUGAGACCCUUCGAGAGAGUUUGGGAGGAUAAGAGGGUUUUAGAGGCGGAUGUCUAAGAGAAAUGAGGAUUAGGGUUGGGUGUAGGUGGAAUUAAAAGGAAAGGUUUGAUCGUGGUCGUUGAUCAAAAGGAUCAACUGCCUAGAUUAAAAGGAAUCCCGGACGAGUUUAGUAAUUGGGUUGGGGUCGGGUUAAAUGGAUUGGGCUGGUCCAAUUGGGUUCAAAAUCGAAUUUAUUUCAGGCUGAAAUUGAAAUGGAAUUCGGGUUAUAAUUGAAAUGAAAUAAGGCUAGAUAUUAAAUAGCCAGUUUUUCUUUCCUAUUUUAUUAAAAUAGUAAAAAAUGAUUUAAAGGAAAAUUAAAGGUACUAAGUCAGUUAAUAAUAUAUAAAUAUUGACCUAAAAAUAUUGGGACCAAUUGUAUAAUAAUAAAAUGCUAUAAAAUCUUAAAGAGGCUAAUAUUACAAUUAUAUGCAUUUUAGUUUUAAAAAUAAAAACGAAUUUUUAAAAAUAUGAAAAAAUCAUGUUUGCUAUGCUUUGGUAUAAAUAUAGGAAUAAAAUAAAUCGUUGACCAAAAAUAAUAAUUUUGGAAAUAAUUUAUUGGAUUAUAUGGUACAAAAAUAGGCGAUAAAUUGGUUAAAAAUUAUUUAAAAUGUCAAAACCUUUUGAUGUGCUUAUGUAUGCACAUAUACGCUAUUUUAAAAAUAUUUUGGGUAUAAAAUACAUAGGAAAAAAUUAGGUAUCAACAAUCCUAGCUUCAAUAAUUAUUUCUCUCUAGCUCUAAGAACUGAAAAUAAGCCAAAGAUAUGCCAAAGAUAUAUUACAAAUGAGCCUAAUCGGGUAUUAAAUGAUUUGGGGAUCAAAGGUCUAAAAUUUCAGAAUUGCUCAUGCAUGAAGAACAUUUUUCGCAAUAGCGAACAAAAGCUCGCAAUUCCCAAACUUGCCCAGGCUCGCAUUUGCGAUGAGACCUUCGCAUUAGCGAAGGUUGACUUCGCAAUUGCGACGUGGUCUUCGCAUUUGCAAACACUGCAUAUUUUUGCUGAGUUUGCAUUUGCGAACUCCUCUUUGCAUUUGUGAAGACUGACUUUUCUGCUUGACUUUGCAAUUCCCAAGCUCUGGUCGCAUUUGCGACCCCUGAGGGCACUGCCCAGAUUUUUCUCUCUUUUUGGCUUCUUUUGACUUGUUUUCACUUGGUUUCUUCGCUAUUAGUUCUAAAUCACAUUCACCCUAUAAAAUAGAAGUAAAUGACAUUAAAUACAUGAUUUUAUUCACUAAAACAUAGCAAAAAAUAUAGGUAUAAAGGCAAGAUAAGUUGGUAAAAUACCAACUUAUCACACCCCCAAACUUGAACUAUUGCUUGUCCUCAAGCAACAAAAACGACAAAAUCUCUUCCCAAGUGAUUAAAUCAACCUCAUAUCCUUAUCAGAACAAGCCAAAAAGAAAGUCUACUUUAAGUACAAAUGCAUGACUUUGAUGGGUACCAGCAAUUACUCCAAAGCAUACGAAUCAUCAAGCACUUCACAUAAACUUCAUUAUACUUCAAGUGCUCAAACACCCAUGCAAAUCAAAGUAGCAACCAAGUCAUAACAUUAAAGUUUUUAAAUCUUCCUCUCCAUCACAAUCAACUUUCUUUGGUCAUUUCUUCCAAUUGAAAUGGGAUUGAAUUCACAACUCAAAUUUCAUGUGCCUUCACAUUUAAGAGAGGAUCCCACACUUAUAAAUCUUGAUUCAAAACAACAAUGGAAUAUCAAAUGGAAAGAAUUAACUCUCUCUCAAAUAGAUGAAAUGCAUACAAGUAAUACCAUAGGCUUGCCCUUCAUGUAUUCCUCGAUUAAUGUAGACAACUCGGUUCAAAAUCAAUUAGGACUUAAGGGUUGUAGUUUAGGCUUUUGGAUAAGGUAUGCUACAAUUUUGAUUAAAGUGACUCAAAACCUUCUCAAGCACUACAAAAUUUACAAUUAAAAUCUACUUCCUUCAAACACAUUUUCCAUCCUUUCUUCACUUUUCCUUCCACACAUAGUCUUUCCUUUAUUCACAACUUUUUAUCACUUUAUUCUAUAUUUUUUUCUUUUUAUUUUUUCAACUUUUUAUCAUUUUUUCUACCUUCCAACUUUUCAAAAACUUCCAUAUCACAACUUUUCCAACAUUCACCCCAAACUUAGGCUUUUAGCCUAUAUUUGCACUUUAAAAGUACUUCGGGAGGUAGGGCGCCAAAAGGUAUAUCAAUUAAGAACAAAGGAUUUAAGCUUGUGAUAUAGUUGCCAAAAAAUAAGGUUAAAGGUUGAAUAGGGGAAAUACUCAAGGAUAGGAAUCUUUAGGCAUACUAGCGGUCCAAAGAAGGCCUAAUAUAAUUUUUCAAACCAAGUUAAUCUAUGAUUUCACCUUGAAGCACAUUCCGGGCAAGUUCUAGACUAUAAGUAAUGCAAAGGAACUCACAAAUAAUCUCCCCACGCAUGGCACAUGAACAUUCAAGUGGAAUACAAAUCCAAAAUCCAAUUGAAAACAAUGACUCAAAGAGGUUGCAUAUAAUAUAUGAAGCUAUUUAGUGAAUCAAAGAGCCAAAAUUUGAGUCUAAAAGUCAUGACAUUUCUACUUCAAUUUUUUUUCUCUUUUUCAACAAUCUACAAUGCAUAUGCUGAGGUUUAACUCGUGUUGGUACCAAGCAAGCCACAACUUGGUCAAUGAGCACAAAUCCCAACUCAAACCAUUUAUUUCCCUAAGUUAACAAAAGCUAAUCCUAACUACAAGACUAAUUCGGAAAAAGUCGACAAAAAUUUGUUUCUACAAUUACCCGGUUCAAGAAGAAAAAUUGGCAUCCUUGGAAAAAGAACUGUGGUAUAAAUAAAACCAAGGAUAUCGCCACUAACACAAAGCAUACUAAAAUAAAUUAAAAUUAAGAAGCUAAUAAGCAUCAAGUACUAACAUGCUAAUAUCAACAUACUGGAACAUACUAAUAUCAACCUACUAAUAUAACACAUGAUAUAGAAAUAUACUAAUAACAAAAUGAAAAAUAGUCACAGUACUAAUCCUCCAAAUAUCCACAAAACAUAACAGUUAUACAAGAAGCCACCCCCAAACAAAGAUGUUGCAAUGUCCCUAAUGCAACAAAACAUUUUAUAGUAAAAAUGGUGGAAAGUGCUCCCUGAAUACUGCAUCAAGCACUCUCCUCGCUAUCUGAUUUAUCCUCAUCCUCCCCUCCUUCUUCCUUGGGCCACUCCAUAGGAACAUCAUCAUUAUCCACAGCCAUGCUCGAUAGUAGUCGGUCCUGAGGCUUUAGGACCUUCCACAUUCCCUUCACACCCUUCCAAAUACGAGUAAAGAAUUUAUCUCUUGUCUUCUCCCUUUUCACCAUCCGGGUGUGUGCCUUUUCCAGGUUUCCAUGGGAAGUGCUCAAUUCACCAUGCUUCUUGACCAGCUCAGUGUAUGCUUUUUCCAGUGCCUUGAGGUGAUCCCCAUGCUUCCUUUGAUCUUCAAUGUAUUUUUGGAAAUCUUUCUUGGAAAUGUGAGCAGAUCCCUCAUAUGUCUCCCCAGGUCCCUAGGGAAGGCCAGCCACUAGCUCGCUAAUCACUCGCAUCUCCUCACUGAUCAUACAAAAUGGCCCUCCUACUGAAGAUGAUGGCUGACUACUCGACUCACCCUAAGAAGAAGAAGAAGAAGAUGUCUUUCUCUUUUUGCUCUUCACUGCUCCACCAUCUACUGUUUUCUUCAAUGGAUGCAAAGGCUUUCCCGGGUCUAUCCAGUUAUCCCCUGGAGCCUCUUCCACCCCAGCAAGCUGUCAUAGCUCAGUGAUAAGUGAAGGGAAGAUCAAUGAGAGAUUGUUCUGCAACCGAUACUCCCUCAGUUUGCUGAUGAAGAGUUCACCAACAUUAACCUGAAUACCGUCAAUGAUGCAGGCUAUCAUCUGAGCUCUUGUGACCAGGAUGCUCCAUAUAUUUGAAACAGGAGAGAUACGACUGCAUAUGAUGGCUAGCCAUAUCUUUGCUUCCGCAGUGAAUUCUUUCGAUGUAAUCCCCUUCUUCUCAGCUGCCCAUGGAACAUUUUCACCCGGGCAUAGUUUGGACACCAACCACUCUCCUGAAGAACAGUCUUCUUCUUUGAAUGGAGUCAUGUCAUGGUCUUGCAAACGGUAAAAACUGUUCACAUCUUCAGCCCCAAAGUGCACCAUUUUACCCCGAAUUAUCGUCUUGGGCUUUUUUAGUCGGAUCGCUGGGAGAUUAGCAUAGAAUUCCCUCACUCAUUACUCAUUGACUCGGCAAGGUUGAGGGGAAAAACAGCUCAAUCCCAUGUAGCCUUACAUAGAACUCGGGAAGACGUUACUGUGCAUCAUCCAUCACUAUUCCACUCUCCGGGAGCACCUUCUUCGAGAUUAGUUCAGCGUAGUACCAUUUUUGGCAUUCUAAUGUAAGGAACAAGUGGUGAUCAAAGGCCUGCUCUUCUUCCACAUGGCUUUCACUUGAGGAUCCUUUGGAGUUCACGCUCAUUGUUCAAUUAUAAUACCUGUCAAAAAGUGAUAAGAGUGAAAACAUGGUAUGGCUAUGAAGAAAAGUCCAAAAUGAAGCAAAUAUGCCAAAAGAAUGAUCGGACAUUCGAAACUCAGACGUAAAAAAAAUUUCAGGAUUUUCAGAUUUUGAAGUGCAAGCCCUGAGAUGUCGCAUUUCCAAGAUAUCUUCACAAUUGCGAACAUGAAAGGUCUGGGAAUUGCGAAGAAGUCCUUCACAAUUGCGAAGAAAUUAGAAAUCCCAAUUUGGGAAUUGCGAAGAAAUCCUGGGAAAUGCAAAGGUUUUAUAAAUGGCUAUUCUUCGCAAUUCCUAGCUUUCGUCCCCGGUAGAGAUUUUUUUCAGAGAGCAGUGAUUAAGCCCUAAAUAUUUUCAAUCCAAGCUAUUUUUAACAAACCCAAUCAUUAAUCAAGCAUAAACCAUGCAUCAAAUUUCAUAAGCAACCAUGAAUCAAGAAAUGUCAAUGGUUUGGCCAAGAAUUUCAUUCGGGCCUUACAUCGAACACAUAAAGAGCACAAAAAUUUUGCUUAUAUUUGACAAGUAGUUGGGUACUCAGACUUCCCCAAAUUUCUUAGCAACCAUAUAUUUACACACUCUCAACCAAACCUAGCCCAGAAAUCAACAUGUGUUUUGAAAAACAAUUUUGACAAUUUUAGGGAAAGGAUGACUGUUAUUUGAGCCCUAAAGUUGCAUAAUACCAAGCAAAAUGAACGAGAAAGUGAAGAUGAAGAAGAAAGAGGAGUAUGAUUAAACUUUAAUACCUAAUUCAUUACAAUGAGGAGUGAGAUUUGAGGGAUUUUACAGUGAUGAGGAGGGAGGGGACCAAGAGUUUGAGAGUUUAGUCGUUUGUUUUCAAUUUUUGUUCAAAAUGAGCAAAAGCCUGGUUUUACCAUACAGAAGUCGCAAUUGCGACAUAAUCUUCGCAAUUGAGAAGCCCAAUGAUUUCUUCUUGUUUUCCAAUUGCAAAAAAAUGACGGUAAUUGCAAAGGGAAAAGUUUGCAAAUGCGAAGUAUGUCCUUGCAGUUUCCAACAGCUACUGGUCUUGGCUUUUUGGGUCAUCCCGACCUGCUCAAAUCAACUCCAAAAAUUCUCAAACUUGGUAUAUUAGUUACAAAUAAUAUACUAAGCUAUUCUAAAAAAGAAAAUUUCAAAAAUGACCAAAAUUUUUGAAAGACGAAGGGUUGCCUCCCACCAAGUGCCGUAUUUAACGUUGUGGCACGACGCAAACAACUUAACCACUUUUCUAGCCACUUGGAUGAUAUGAACUGGGCCACUACCUUGGAAUCAAGCUUGUGACCACGAGCGACGAGAAGUGGUAAUUUGAUGAUCGAGCCAAUGCUUAAAUUCUUCAUUUUGCACUUUUUGGCUCUCAAGUGAGGAAUGUCAUUUUGUUUCUUGUUUCCUCAAAUUGUAAAAUGAAUGAUUGUUGUCUUUCCUCCUUGAAAUCCCUCAUUACUCGUAUAGUUCAAUUUCCAUGUCACCAUACAAUUCCAAUGUUGAAAAAUGUUUGUGACUUCAAACCUUCACUUUGCACAUUUUCUUGGAUUUUGACAUCUUCUUUUUCCCACAGACUAGAGUCAAUCUCAACCAAAUUUGCAUCUACACCGGUUGAAUCUACUUCCAUUUUUUUCUUGGCAUCAUUAACACUCACGGAGUCGAUUGGCGAAUGUUCAUUUCUUGAAUCCUCAUAGUAAAGCUCACUUUCUUCCUCGAAAUUGGACUCUAUUUUGCUUUCUUCCGCACACUCAAGUUGUUGGGCAUAGGGAGCCUCAAUCAUAAUUUGUAUUUGAUCUUCCAAAGUGUGGAUGUGUUCAUCAUUUUAAUUCAAGCCUUGUUCCAAGUUCUUGAGUGCAAAGUUUUGCUUCUCCUCGUUUUCAAGAAUGGUCUCAAACAUGAGCAUUAUUUUCUCAUUUUGAGCAUUUGAGAGUUCUUCUUGGUUGUGAUCAAGUACCAAGUAAGAAAUUUCAUUUUCAAUGUCUAAGGAAGAUUCUGGGUUUUCAUUCACUUCCGAGCCUUUUUUAGCCCUUGAGGCUUCGAUCAUUUCAUCUAUUUGCGAGUGCAACCGUUGAAGUGCUAAAUCAUUUUGGAGACUAGUCUCCAAAAGAUGUUCCAAGGCAUUUUGCUCCUUGUUUCCCUCUUCAAUUAGACACUCCAACAUGAGCUUGAACUCUCCACUUUGUCCAUGCUCAACUUCUUCCAUUUCCAUAGCCCUAUAUUUCUCAUCACAAAAAGUAAACUCAUCAUAGUGGGGGCUUGGGGAAGGGAAGGUCAAAUAUGCAAAAUAAUCCUAAUGACCAUUUUGGCAACCACACUUAUCACAAAUACUCCACCUAUGGGUUUGAAAUAUAUGCACAAUCCACCCCCGGGAGAAUUUAAAUAAUUUUUUCAUGAGUCUGGUCCUCCACUAUAAGGACAAGGAUCAUCAAAGUAUGAACAACUACCAUCCGACCAAUUUUCUUUAUGUGAUGCCAUUUUUCAAGAAUAGGAAAAUAAACAAGAAACUAACAAGAAAUAUUUGACCAAGGUAAGAAAAAUAAUUGCACAAGUAUUUAUAAGUUUGGACCAAAGCACUUUCACCUACUUCUCAAAUAACCUAAAUUACUCCAAAUUGUCCCCCGACAACGGUGCCAGUUUUGAUGACAUCCAAAUCAAUUACUAAAAGGUAAUAGACACGAUCGCAUGCAAUAUAAUUUACCUAACUAUGAGUCGGGGUCGAAUCCCACAAUGAACAAUGUGUAGGCGAUUAGGAAUGUAAGAAAAUUAUUGCUAGUUGUGCAAUGCCAAACACUAAGAAUUUUGGUUGAAAUUAUUUUAUCUAAAUGCGAAAAUGUAAACUAACCUUAAAAAGAAAUUAAAAUGAUCAAUGGAUACAAGUAUGAAUUCAUCAAAAAUUACACUCAAGUAACGAUCCAAUGUAUUUUAUGAUUUUAUAAAUAUGAGCGACUUUAUGUUAAUUAGCCACGAAUAAUAAUUCUUAAUUAGAUUCUUCCAAAGACUAACAAGACUUCCUAAUUGAAUUAACCCUAAAAUAAUUAGAAUAUUAAGCACACCCAGAAGGCUACAAGUAGUUCAAUCCUAUCCCUAGGUAGAAUCUAUAUAAUGAGGGUUAAUGCCUCAAGUUCUUGUUAAUUAAUCUUUCCCAACCCCAAACUAUUUUUCCCNNNNNNNNNNNNNNNNNNNNNNNNNNNNNNNNNNNNNNNNNNNNNNNNNNNNNNNNNNNNNNNNNNNNNNNNNNNNNNNNNNNNNNNNNNNNNNNNNNNNNNNNNNNNNNNNUAGGGUUAGCUAAUCCCUUUGAAAACAUUAAAGAACAAGAAUAAUUAAAGUAACAAUAACGCACUUAAUAAAUAAAUAAAUAAAAAUCAUUCAAUACAUAAGCACAAUAAGGUAUUUAAUCCACAGCUUAAAUGUAAAUACUUAUAUAAACAAGAUUCAAGUGUUGGAAAUAAAUACUACACACUUAAAUAUUCAAUACAAAGCAAGAAAAUGAAGAAACAAACAUUAAUCGGUAAGAUAAUCUUAACCACAAGCAUUAAUCUUCAAUACCCAAGUGUGUGUGCAAACCCUAGCUUAAACACUUGUUUCUCUCUAGCUCUAUGAACUGAAAAUAAGCCAAAGAUAUGCCAAAGAUCCUUUACAAAUGAGCCUAAUCAGGUAUUAAAUGAUUUGGGGAUCAAAAGUGUGAAAUUCCAGAAUUGCAGAUGCCUGAAGCACAUUUUUCGCAAUUGCGAACUUUUGUUCGCAAUUCCUAUUCUUGCCCAGACUGCCCAUGUUCACGUUUGCGAUGAGACCUUCGCAUUUGUGAAGGUUGACAAUGUAGGUUGACUUCGCAGUUGCAAAGUGGUCUUCGCAUUUGCGAACACUGCAUAUUCCUGUUGAGUUCGCAUUUGCGAACUCCUCUUCGCAUUUACGAAGACUGGCUUUUUUGCUUGACUUCGCAAUUCCCAAGCUCCGGUCGCAUUUGCGACCCCUGAGAGCACUGCCCAUAUUUUUCUCUCUUUUUAGCUUCUUUUGGCUUAUUUUCACUUGGUUUCUUCACCAUUACUUCUAAAUCACAUUCACCCUAUAAAAUAGAAGUAAAUGACAUUAAAUACAUGAUUUUAUCACUCAAACAUAGCAAAAGUAUAGGUUUAAAGACAAGAUAAGUUGGUAAAAUACCAACUUAUUCACCCUAUAAAAUAGAAGUAAAUGACAUUAAAUACAUGAUUUUAUCACUCAAACAUAGCAAAAGUAUAGGUUUAAAGGCAAGAUAAGUUGGCAAAAUACCAACUUAUCAAUAUGUAAGCAACUUAGAAGCUAGGGUGCGGCCUAAACCUCUCCAAGGAGCCCCUCAAACCAAAGAUUCCAUCCAAGCCACUCUUCAGCACCAAAUGGCGUGACGAGUCAAAAAUCAUUCCAUGGAUCUUUGCCUUCCCGGAGGAGAAAAUGCUUUACUCCUAAAUAUUGAUGCUACCAAAGGAAAUACCAUGUGCACCCAAAUGCCUAGACAAAUUUCCAUAAAUGAACUUGUCAAAAUUCUUCCUGAUUCUUGGAUCACAAAUUAUAAAAAGUUAAGAGAACUGGAAAAUCUCUGCAAUCUGGUGAGCCAAACUUUACCAAAAUAAAUGACAAAUCCAUUUGCAUAUGCUUUGACCAUUCUCAUCUCAAAAAAAUCAAUAAAACCAUCUUCUCUUGCCAAAUAAUUCAACCCAAAGAUACAACAGAUACAUACCCUGAAUAUGAUGGAGAGUUCUUUUGGAAUAUACAAAGCAUCAUGGAAGAACAUGACUAUGUCAAAAUUUUGACAAAGAAGGAAAAAGGACUUGGUGGUUCAAAUGCCCCUUUAGGGGAUAUUGCCCUUGGGAUCUUAAUUGCGACUAUCAAGACUUCUUGGAAGAUCCAAUUGGAGAAUAUGAUGAACACCACCAGCUUCAUUGGGAGAGGUUCGGCCUCAACGAAAGCAAACUAAAAUCCAAGAAAAGGGGGAAACCCACUGAAAAACAAUUUUGAGACAAAUAUGAAAAUAAAGAUCCUUCAAUUGGCUCAUUAUGUCGUCCAGGUAAAUGUGAAUUCUUUGUCAGUUACAAACCCAGGAAUGGCCAAAAUUACCUGAAAAAUUCACUCCAAGCUGGGAGGAUAGUGAAACCAUACCCAAACCACCAUUAUAUCGUACCCUAGAAUCCAAAAAUCCACCUGAACCUAAAACUUCACCAACUCAAAAAAUCAAAAAUCCCCCACAACCAUAGAUAUUCAUGCUAAGUCCUUCAAGCUCCAGUCAUACCCAAGACUUUCCUUCACUUCAAUCUUUUGAAAAGGAGGGUAUAAGCCAUGCUCCAAAAUUUCCAAGAAAAACAUUGUGCUACCUAUUAGAGAAAAACCCCCCAACAAGUGACAUUGAAGCAACAAUGAACUGGCAAUCAGAAAACUCCAUUUGCCAAAACAAGGUGUUGAACAACAUUGGCAACACCAUAAAGAACGUGGCCCAUACACAAAACAAAAUGAUGAGCAAAGUGGAAACAAUUGAGAAAAAGAUGGAGCACACAUCGUCUCACUACGCCGGACUAAUCAAAGCCUUGGAACUAGGAUUGGAAAAUUUACAAUAUGAGAUUUGUCCGCCGGGAACUUCACUUUUCCAGUUCUUCCAACAACAACAAAAGGAGACAAUAUCCAUCAAAGAGCAAAUUCAACUUCUCAGAAAUGCCCAUUUUGAGCCACAAAAAACCGCAGUUUUCCCCUCAAACCCUAUCUUCUUCCCUAUGUCUCCACAAGUAUAUUCCCCACCAAAAUUAGACUACACCUUUUCUACUUUUCCAUCUACCUCAAAAAAUCCAAUCUCUUUCACCCAAUCCUUAAAAGAAGAACAUGAUUUUGAUAUCGCAAAAAUGGUUUGGGAAAGGGAAGAUGACCUUGCAGAACAGAAGAAAACAAAGAAAAGGCAAGACCAAGGAGAAAGUUCAAAAGGGUCCAACCCCAAAAAUCUGAUGAUUUCAACUAGAAGGCUCCGGACCUCUAGGUCUCCCAGCCAAGAUACAUAUCAUAAGAAGAUACACCACAGUCAGAAUCUCUGAAUACAUCAGACGAUGAAACGAUGGAAUAUAACUCUCAAUUAUGCAAUGAUUCCACAUCAAACUCUUUAUAUGAUAACAAUCCCCCAGUAUUUGUAAAUCAGCCAAGAGACCCAGAAGUAUGUGAAGUAGAUGAGGAACAAGAAGGCAUGAUUGAUGAGCCAAUCCCAGAAAGAUGAUAUGAGCCCAUGGUAUCAAAACCAGUUGGAACUGGCUUCCACACUUUCACCUUAGAUGAAGUCAAGGUUUCAAAAUAGCCUCAAAGGAUCCAGGACUUCUACACUUGGAUGGUGACCAAAAUUUUGGUGGAACGAGAAAAGUAUAUCAUCCUGUCAGAACUUACUUCACGGUCCGCAGGAAUCCUCAGAGAUUGGUGGAACUCACUUGGAAUUCAAGACAAGUACUUUUCUUACUUCCCAAGAUUUUUCCUUCAACAUCAGAAUCCUACAUGAAGUUUUCUGCAGAGAUACUGGCCAAAGACAGGAGAAAAUGCGAAGACAACUCUUCGAAAUGAAGUGUGUGUCAUUUGACAUAAACGACAUUGACAGGCAUUUUAGAAAAAUGGUAAAGAUAUACUUUGAAUUCGGCGGAGACAUCAAUCUCAAGCAAGCCUUUGUCUCUUCCCUUCCAAAGUAGAUGGCAAGCCGAACCAUAACCAUCAUUGAAGAAAAUAUUCAGUCCAUAAUAAUAUCAAAAAUUGGUUACAUCAUGCAAGUUAUUUUUGUCGCAUUCGAUGACUUUUGAACAAAGCGCUCAGCCCUAAAGCAAAUUAUCCAGCAUAAUCCAGCGCUAGACAAAGCAUGCCACAAAUCUAAUCUAAUCACAUGAUCUGGAUGUUCCUACCACAAAUCUAGGCGACAGAGAGAAUUCAGGAGGUUCAAAUAGCAAAUAAUUCCAGAUGAAAAAUCAAGGACCAAGAGACGCACAAAAUACAUCAGACGCAGAAAGCCAGGAUUUCACAAGAAUAGAUGCUUUAUUUGCCAUAAAACUUUUCGCAAAAAAUUGUCCCCGGUCAAGAACAUAUGAAAACUCCUUGAAGAGAUUGAAGAUUACACUAACAUAUAUCUUAGAAAGGAGGAGGACCUUGAAUCCAUAUUCUCUGUGGAUGAUGAACCUAAUGAAAACUUUAUUCUCUCUUGAUAUCUAUGAAGAUCAAGGCAAUGAUCAAUACCAAAUUUCAAAAUUGGUGAUCGAAGCCCGAGAUGACAUCAACGCUCUCGCAGUCGUUCCUCAAGUAGAACUCAAAGUUUAUUCAUCCAAAUGGGAUUAACCAACUCGAGUUAUUACUUUCAUCGACACCUGGGCUAUUUCUUCACUCAUAAAUCCUGCUAUUCUCCCUGAAGAUCAAUAAGUGCCGUAUUUUAAGGAUUUUAACACUACAUCAAAUGCAAUCUUGACCACAACUGUCAUUAGAAAGCACCCGAUCACAAUUGAGUUCUUUCCAGGAUUGAAGUACAGAACCAAACUGCUAGGAUCUGAUUAUUGGGUUUGACAUUUACAGACAACUUCGAGAUCAACUCAAGAUUAAGGGUAACGGGAUAGCUUUUAAAAAGACGUUCAGAUCUUAUUUAGAGAUUCCAAGGUUAUUCCAAAUCAUCAAUGAUGAACAAAUCAAAGAGAUUGAGCAAAAUCUCAUUGAAAAUUCAUGUGCUUGAAUCCCACAAGGAUUUCAUGAAGAAAGGGAAAUGCCCGUUAUGGAAAAACGAAGAGUUUUUUAUCAAGCUCCCUUUCAAGAAGAAUGGAAAUAUCAAUCCAACAAAAGCCAGCCAUUCAGGGAUGAACCCAGAUCAUCUUCAGCUUGCAAAGAAAGAAUGUGAAGAACUUUUGGAAUUUGAUCUGAUAGAGCCAUUAGACUCACAAUGGGCAUGCGAAGCAUUUUAUGUCAACAAAAGAGCUGAACACACAAGAGGAAAACUCAGGUUAUUCAUCAACUACUAGUCACUUACCAUUUCCUCCAAGAUGAUAAGUUCCCUAUCCCAAAUAAACUCACCACUUUCUCCAACUUAGCCAAGGCCAAAUAUUAUUCCAAGUUUGAUUUAAAAUCUGGAUUUUGGCAAUUAGGAAUCCACGUUGAAGAUAGACCCAAAAUGGGAUUUUACAUCCUCGAUCAUCACUUCCAAUAGAAAGUCAUGCCCUACGGGUUGAAAAAUGCACCUUCUUUGUUCCAAAAGGCCAUGAUAAAAAUCUUCCAACUCAUCCUUCAUACCUCCUUAGUUUACAUUGAUGACAUCAUGUUAUUUAGUGAUACAUUAGAGGAACAUUUCAACUUGCUUCGUCAAUUUGAGGCAUUGGUAACACAGUACGGCAUAAUGCUUUCUGCAAAAAAGAUGGUUCUUACUCAAAAGGAGAUCAAUUUUCUCGGAAUGAAUUUUAUCAAACGGGAAUACAGUCCAAGACCACAUAUAUGUCAGGAAUUACUCAAAUUUCUAGAUACCAACAUCACAACAAAGCAUAUCCAACAGUUUUUGGGAGAGAAACAGAAUGAAGCAGUCAGAAAAAUAAAGGAGAUAUCUAAAAAUGGCAAGUCUCUCUACAUCUGUCACGACCCCAACCCUGGUCAUGAUGGCACCCAACACACUGCUAGCAAGCCUGACCAUUUCACAGAUAAUUCCCAACUGAACAGAUUUUUAGAUAUACAACACAAGAAAAAUAUUAAGCCAUGAUAUAGAAAGUCUAAGGAUACGAAUAAAAACACGUGAAAGUUUAACAAAAUAUUGUUGUUUAGCCCAACUAGGACCCGAUGUCACCAAUAUGAGCCUCUAAUACAGAAUCUCAACCAACUAUAAUAUCUGUCUAAGAAAUGUAGAAACAAAAGAUAAAGACUCUGCACUCAUCGUAGAGCACGUGUCUCACAUCAAAAUAGUGUUACGAUGUGAAAUUUCGGGAUAUCAAACCUUCAGGACAUCAUUUUCAUCUAUUACUCACCUCUAGCCAGGCCAAAGUCUAGCUCUCUAUGCCUUUUCCUCUCGAAUUGACCUCCUUGCGCGUCGAAAACCACAAUGAAUCCAUCACAUUAUGCCAAGGGAAAAAAACCAAAUCAAAAUAAUCGAAAAACAACGAGAGAUCCUGAAAUUAGAAAAACCCAAUCCCCAGGACCACUUCUCGAAAAUCAGAAACUUUUACACCAACGGAUUCCUUAUCUAGCCACGAGUCUAUACAUACCCAAAUCACAGGAAUCGGAGACCAUUUGACCCCUCAAAUCCCUAUUUUAAACUCUCUUAAGUUCAAGCCCUAAAUCAUCAUUUUUUACAUUUAAUUCCUUGAUUAUUUAGUCUAAAUCCACGUUUUUACACCAUAAAAUUGUAUUCUAAGUCCAAGAAACCAUACCUGAUUAAAGCCCUCAAAACCCUCUUCAAAAUCGCCACAAAGCUCUCCAAGUUCGAAGUCCAAAAUGUUGUUCUUUCAAAAAUUUGCGAAGAAGACUAUUUCAUUUAACUGCACAGGCAAGACUUCCGCAUCUGCAACAACAACAUGACAUCUAGUUCGAAGUCCAAAAUGUUGUUCUUUCAAAAAUUUGCGAAGAAGACUAUUUCACUUAACUACCCAGGCAAAUUCCUCUUCUGCAGUAAAAAUGUCGCUUCUACGACUUCCAUAUCUGAGGUCCAUGUCCGUUUGUGCGGUCAUUCACUAUAGGGCCUUGAUCGCUUUUGUGACCCAAAUUUUGCACCAGCGGGACCGCUUCUACGGUCCAGGCUUCCUCUUCUACGGAACCCAUUCAAGUCCAAAUUUCUUCUUUUGCGCCUUCCCAUUCGCUUCUACGUGACCGCACCUGCAAUCCCAUAAUCGCAGGUGCGAAAAUACUAGAUACCAGCUAACUUUUAACAUGCAACAACUCCAAAACUCUCCGUUUAGCCAGCCAAACUCACCCCGAGGCACCCGAGACCUCAACAAAAAAUGUAGACAUGAUCCAAUACCCUAUUCAAACUUUUUCAAAUCAUAAAAAACAUAUCCAACAACACAAAAAACCUCAAUUCUCAUCAAUUUCAAGCCUAAGUUCUUCAAAUUCUUCCGAAACUUGCAUUCGAUCAAAACCCAAUCAAAUAACUUCCGAAUCAUCUUAAAUUUUGCACAUAUAUCCCAAAUCACCUAACGAAGCUAAUGCAACUCUCGGAAUUCCAUUCUGGCCCUUGAAUAAAAAUCUCACCUAUCAACCGGAUAUCGCCAAAAUAAGCUUUGCCAAUUCAAGCCUAGUUCCAUAUCGGACCUCCAAAAUUAAUUCCGAUCACACUCCUAAUUCACAAAUCAUUCCCCAAAGCUAACAGAAUCACCGAAAAUCACAUCCGAGCCCUCUAACUCAUAAGUCAACAUCCGAUUGACUUUCCAAACCAAAACUUCCUUAAAGAGACUAAGUGUCUCAUUUCUUACAAAAACCAAUCCAAUUAAACUCUAACACACCAAACGCUGAUAAUGAAGUAUGAAGAAGAAUAAAAUGGGGGAAACGGGGCUGUAACACAUGAGAUCAUGGGUCAAAUCGUCACAAUAUCCCUUCAGAUGGAAAGAAGAUAUUGCAAACUGAUGCCAGCCAUGAAUAUUGGAAUGUUGUUCUAUUUGUUGAAAAAGAUGGCCAGAGGAAAAUAUGCGGAUACGCUAGUGAAAUGUUCAAAGAUGACGUGCAACAUUAUUACUCAACUUUCAAGGAAAUUCUUGCAGUAAAGAAUGGAAUCAAGAAAUUCAAUUUCUUCCUCAUCCAUACAGAAUUUAUAAUAGAAAUGGAUAUGAAGGCCUUCCCAAAGAUGAUCCAGAUAAAUUCAAAAAUUAUUCCCAAUCCUUAGAUUCUCAAAUGGGCUCAAUGGUUCUCUCCAUACAAGUUUCAAGUCAAGCACCUAAAAGAAAAUGAUAAUAUUCUCGCAGAUUUUCCAUCUCGACAGGAAGAAUUCUCAAAAAUCAUUUCCCCAGCAAAAUUAAAGUCAAAGCAACAGCUAAUUAGCCAUGUCUUCAUGCUUUCCAACAUACUAGGAACAAGUUUAUUAAAGCCAACAUAUCAUCCACCGGAACUGUUCAACCACAUGGAUCCCUUUGAUUCGUCAAUUAUUAUGGAAAGAAGAACUUAUUACGAGCUCCAAAUAAAACUUAUUACGAGCUCCAAAUUUUUCGGCAAUAUAGAGGAUCCAUUCUCAAGCCUUAUGGUGUCAAUCCAAAAUAUCCAUUCUGCCAUAUAUUCAUAGCUCAAGCUAAGGAUUUUUCACAAGAAUUAUUAUAGUUUUUCUGGUACCUAUGCCAUCAGUAAUAUAUUUUCAUGGAAUUCAAAUGCAACGUCUUCAAGGAUUUUGAUAAUAUUGCACCAGCUCUUAAAGUAUUUUUUCUAGGCUUCAAGCCUAGAAGAUAUUGGAUGAAAUGUUUCAACGAUUCCUACCCAGCAAAAAUAUUCAUGUUCCAUAGGUCGGUGAAGAUCAUCAAUGGAAAAGUCCAGGCUCAAGCAAAGGCAUCAUUCUGGUGGAAAUUUCCAGUGUCCAUUUUAUCAAUGGACGAAGAAUAUAGCGAAGCACAAAGAAUCCUUUUCCAGCAAAAUAGGUGCAUCUCGAGAGAGAUAUGGCCAAAAGAUUCGGCAAGCUGGAAUUAUACCAACACUCAUCCUCACUGGGAAAGAGUCCGGGAAGCAGCAAAAGAAUAUCAAACCAUAUGAAGUCAUCCGAGAAAAGAUCACUCAUGAAAUUUCAAGAUUAAAGUUGCGGAUUACAUCUCUCAUUCCAAAAGAGAAAGAACACAACGGAUAAGGACCAUCCAGUUCAAGGAAUUACUACACAAGGUCAGUGAAAAGACUCCUAGAAGACAACCCUAGAAGUAAUUAUCUAAAUCCCUGAUAAUCCCAAUAUAAUCCUACGUUACCUACCAAAAUAAAGUCAUCCGAGAAGAGAUCACUCAUGACAUUUCCAUAUUAAAGUUGUGGAUUACGUCUCUCAAUCCAAAGGAGAAAGAACACAGCCGAGAAGGACUGUCAAGUUCCAGGCAUUACUAUGCAAGGUCUUUGAAAAGAUUCCUAGAAGACAACCCUAGAAUCAGUGAAGGAUAAUUAUCUAAAUUCCUUCUAAUCCCACCAUAAUCCUACAUUACCUACCAAACAACCCUCAAAAGUUUCCUACCCAUGCCAAGACAAAUUCCCAUAUCCUUCUAUACUAUCCGGACCCCACUUCCACUUGUUUUCACAUGCUUCCACAUGCCUUCACAUGAUUUGUCACAUGCAACACAAUACUUUCACAUGGCGUCACAUGUUCUCUUAUGCUUUCACAUGCUACACCAUGUAUAUUUAACCCCUUUCACAUGUUUUUAGGUGUUUUUUAGUGGUUUUGCCUGAAGUCCUUCACAUGCCAAGAAGGACCCGCUUGUAGAUAAGUUUGCCAUGUAUGAUAGGUUUAUUUUAUCAUAAAAGUUUGUCUUAUAAUAACCUCAUAGACCUAUUAAAGGAGGCCUUGUAGUAAUUGUAGGAUCAUCUUAUAACCUUUGUAAAUCUUUUGUGAUAUAUUACAUAUGAGUGCUUUCUAAAUUACCCUCUUGUUCUUUCUUUCGAAUGGAUGGAAAGGUCGGUUCAUAUAUGAAAAUAGAGUAAGAAUACUCUUGAAAGUUAGCUUAUUGCGAUGCAAAAGUUUUGUGAGUUAUAAACAGCUAACAUUGGUUAUAGUACAAAAACUUUCUGAGUUGUGUAGAUUGGCAAAUCGUCCCUUAUGGGUUGUUGAAGCCACACCCUUUGUAGGAAAAUUUUAGCGACUAUAAACAAAUUAACUGUUUCUGUAGCUUGGCAAGCCGUCCAUUCUGGGUUGUUGAAGCCAGCCCCUUUUGUAGGAAAACUAUCGUAUCUAUGAUUUAGUUUGCAUUCCUAGAGUCUCUUACUCUAUUCCUUAUAUUGCUCAGUCAAAAUUGGUCAUCAUGUCUUUAUCCGACAACUCUUUCAUCCUUCCCGAGUAAAGAGGGCCAGUUGUUGAUACCCAACGUUUCCCUAUAUAUUUUAAACAUGAAAAAUACCUUCAAAAUAGCAUAUAUAUACGUAUAAAAGCAUGUCAAAACUUUUAAUUAUUUUUUCCAGAAUUCUAACGUUUUAAAUUGAUUAUUUGUCUCCAUUUUUAUCCAUAAAAUCCCCAAUAAUUAUUUAUAAUAUUAUUAUUUUAAUAAUUAAUCUAUUAGAUUUUUAUAUUUAUGCCAAAAUAUGACGAAUAUAAUUUUUACAAAUUUUUAUAGUUAUAUUUAGUAUUUUUAAAGCUUAAUUGCACAUAAUUGCAACAUUAGCCUCUUUAAGAUUUAAUUAUGUUUUGUAUGCAUAAUAUUGGAUCCUGUAUUUUAAAAUUUCUAAUUAUAUAUUAAAAAUCAUUUUGGCAUUUUUAAAUUAUAUUUAGAUAUUAUCCAUUAUUUUCUAUAAAUUAGAUAGGGAAAACAGGCUAUUUAGUUUAUAGCCAAAUUUAACUUUCAAUUCUAGCCUAAAUCAAACGGACCCCCAACCCAAUUAAAAGCCCACUGGAACCAAGCCCAAACCCAAGUCAUACCCAACCCACCUACCCCCAUUCAAUCUUGAUCGUUGAUCAUUCAGAUCAACGGACCCCAUUCCCCUUUCAUAAUUAAACCCAAACGACCCCUCCCCCCCCCCAAACCCCCACAUUCUUCAUUCACUUAACUGACUCUCAUCUUUCCCUAUCUAUCUAUGGUUCUCUCUAGAACCUUCUACUCUUCCCUCCUCUCCGAUGAACCUUAUCCGCCUUCUCCCGCCAUCCCCUACCUGAAUCUAUGGUGGUCUUACCACUUACUAGCCUUAUGCCUCCUUCUUGAACAUGUGUCAUUGUUUUGAGGCCUUCAAGUGAACCAGAGGCAGUUCACUCGCCUUCCAUGGUUUCCCAUGCCAUUUUCCGACCAUCCAUGGUUGUUCGAGUAAGAUAUAUGAUUUUUCCAGCUAAAACUAGUAACUUUUCAAUGUUUUCUCACCUUUUCUGGGUUCGCCGAAACCCUAACUCUAAAUAUUUUUUAUUUUCUUUUUGAUAUGUCUUAGAUCUGUGUAUAUUAUGAGCUUUUGGUAUUUUCCUUAAAGGUUUUUUCCUGAUUUUUUUCAAAGUGACUCUUCGUCUUUAAGAUUAGGGUUUCUUAACCUCUUUAAAAGACUUAUCCUCUGAUUUUCAGUAUUAUCAUAUGAUUUUACUAUGUUUAAAUGGUUUAUUUAUGUUUUUUGUUCUACUGAUUCAUCAUGUGGAAACCCCUAAUUAUUUUUGGUUUUAUCCGAGGUUCUGGAACUAUCUUUGCUUAUGUGAUUUGUAUGUAUACCUGUUUCGAUUAAUUUCUCUACAGUUAGACCUUUCUCUUUAUUUAUUUUGACCGAUUCUAAGUUCUUACCGCUUUUUAAUCAACUCUAUUAAAAACCCUAAUCUCUUAAAGAUUUUCUUCACUUGUUGCUAUGAAUCUUAAAGGUUUUCUUUACUUGCUUAUGUAUGUUGGAUUGACCUUCUUUACCUAUUUAUGUGUGGAAGAUUGGUUUUUUCACUCCGAUUUUAUGUGUUAGCUGUAACUACUUGACUUUGUUAAAGUUUCUGUUGACCACCAUGCUUCGAAUGGGUUCCUUUUUGCUAUCGAGUCCUUAGCCUACUCGUGUCCCUUUUGUAUGAUUGUGUUCAUCUAGUUUAUUCCUCUCAUGCUUCCUUUUAAUGAUAUGGCUGACUUUGCAUGUCUGAGACGCCUGUUCAUUCUUCUCCAUUUAUAUGUCGAAGUGCAAAACCAUGACUCCCUCUUAAUUGAUCCUGAUUUUCUUAAGUUAUAGUUUGAUUGCAAGGUUUUCUUAUAAACCCUUAAAUUUUUACUCGUUUGUUUAAAUUGAUUGAUUUCAUUCCUUUAUUACUUGUGGUGCUUCAUUCUUGCUGAAUCCUUUCCCCAAAUUAGUGUAUUAUGUACUUAGACUCAAUCAUAUGCUCUAUACUUUUACCACCCCUUAUACGGUAAAAAUCAGUCUUUCUCAAACUGAUUUUCUUUCCUUAGUUAUCCUCGUUAGUAUCCGUUUAAGAUGUAAUUCCUUGAUUAAAGGAAGUACUUGUAUUAAUUGAAUUCUAAUUAUGAUUACUUCCAUAGUUGUGAACACUUUUACUUGUUACCGUAUUUUCUACCUGUAUUCAAAGCUAUAAAUAUCCUAUCUCUUUCAUUAACGAAACAAGACUUGGAUUUCAAAAAACUCUCUCUAAUUACAUAAAGAAAAUUAUGUGUUAUUCUACGACUUUUGGACGGCUGCAAGCCAAGGCUAAUCAUCUCUACGUCAUGGUUCUUUCAUUUGUUCACCUCUAUCUUCACUGGUAUGUCCUAGUUUAAUUUAAAGCUUCAACAACAAUAUGAUUCUAUUCCUGCUUCAGUUUCUUUUACUUCUGGCCUGCCUUUACUUCGGUUUCUAUUGUGAAUAUUGUAUCUAAGCAUGUUGAUAUAAUUCCCCUCCCUUUAAACUCAUGUGAUUCAAGCAUGCCUGGACGAUUGUAUUCUUUUACCUACUGUGCUCUUACCAUUUUGUGAACUCCCAAAUCGCAUAUCCCUCCUCUAUGUGUUUCAUGAUUGGUUUGUGAUGAUGCUAGUGUCCAACCAUCUCUGAGCAUGUCUCUUCCAGUCCUAAUACUCCUGCUGAGGUCAGGUUCCUGUUGUCAAUAUAUGUGUAUCUCCAAAUCCUCUUUUACCCCAUGUGUGAUUACUGGAUUCAUUCACUUGCUGAAUGUGGUCUUACCCUGAAGUUUUUGAACUUUAUCUUACUAAUACAGCUGCUUUCAAUCAUCUCUGUUGCUGAUUGACUUCAAAUUGGACCGGUCAUUCCUGUUUUUAAACAAACUCCUUUCAAAGAUGUGUCCUACACUAUCAGUAUACUCUUAGGAUACUUGGUUCUACCCCUUUAGUGUGAGACUUGCCUGGGACCAUUGAGCUCCCUAUAAACUUGGACACAUGAAAGCUAGCCUUUCUACACUGCACUUACUCUAUCUUGGCUAUAAAAUCUGGGUGUGAUCAUUGCCCAGGAUCCCUUGAGGUCCUUAGGGAACUCUGACACACCUAGAUGUAAGGAAAAGUUAUGAAACAGUCUUGGAAAUUGAGGUGAUUGAUUACAUAACUUAGAGAGGAAGUCCUAAUCAGGCUUCCUAUAGUGUAAAUUCGUAUUUUCAUUAUGUAAUUCAUUUCAAUAUUGGUCUAUAAUAACUUGUUAUACACAAGUAUUCGGGUUGGCUAGUGAAAAGGGAUGGGGCAAAAAUGCAUGUUAUAGUUGUUAAAGUUAGAAAACAUGUUAUUAGGUUUAUGUUCCUAAUUGUGUAAUAGAAAUCAUGCUUAGGGUCCAUACAUGCAUUAGAAACCAUGCUCUUAGGUCUCAUGUUUAUUGUUUCAGCAUGUGCACCCCUACAAUAUCAUGUGUUGAAAUCUGCUAAUAAUUAGCACUUUACUAUUAUGUUCUACAUUGCCAUGUGCAUUUAGAAAUCCUGCUCUUAGGAAAUUCUGCAAUCCUGCCAUGUGCAUUUAGAAAUUCUACUCUAAGAAUUCUGCAUCAUGAGUUUUAUACAUGCAUCUUAGAUACCAUGUUUUAGGAUCUCAUUCGUACUUUUAUUCACACAGAGUGUAAACUGUUGAUUAUAAAAGAGGUAAAAACAGCUUCACACUUGAUUAUCUUGUUUAUAAUAACUGGUGAUAAUCUAUGCUUUCCUAUCAACUAGAAAAGCAUGCUCUUAGGAUAAAAUAAUUUCCAUACUGUUUUAAUAACUCGGAAUAACUACUGCAUAGUACUUUACUCUAGGAAAGUCUUAGGUAAAUGCUUAAAUAAAAAUAGAAUUGUCCUUGUUUAACUGCCAUUAUGUUAAGAUCAGUAGGCAAGCCAAAUUCGGACUUCUUUUCUAAGUCAUAUAAUAAAUUUGGUUCUGGUGUUAUCACUUAGAUACCAUGCAUAGGAUUUAAAUUCAAACUUUAAUUGUGUAUAAGUCAUGUUGUUUACGUGCAUUACCUGUGGAGGUAUUUUUGAGCCUUUCGUUUCUCUUCCAUGCUACCCCGUAAUUGAAGUCCUACUUGUUAUUGUUUGUCGCCUUAGUAUUUUUCCUUUAAACCUGAGGGUCUUAGUAAUUUGCAUUUAACCCUAAGGGUCUUCCUAGAACCUCCUUAUUAUAGGAUGGGCAUCCAUAAUUCCUCCGAGACUAAUAGGAAGGAACGGGUAACAGCAUGCAAUACGGAUCGAGACAAACCCUCGCUUUAAUUACCUUCACGGGCGGGAAAGGAUAGAUAUGGAUAUGAGUAUCCGUGCGGUUAUACUAUGUGUAGCCCCUCAUUAAAGAGUGUCAUACCGGGUAUUUCAUUGAUGUGAUCCAUAUUACAAAAAAAUUUAGGACACCCCAUUUACAGUUAUAAUCAUGCUCAGAUUGUAACGCUUUUCAAAAUCUUUCUUUCAUUAAUUGUUUUCAAACACUUGUGUAUUUAAACCUAAAUCCCCUACUAUUUGAGCCAUACUUAUUUAUUUGCUACUUGUACCAAAUACACAAACAUUUUUUGGUCGGGAACCGCACUAGUGGAUCAUGAGGGGUACCUAACACCUUCCCAUUAGCAAGCCCUUACCCUUUCUCCGGUUACCAACCUUAUAGGUUCCCUAACGCACCUUAAAAUCAUUCGGUGGCGACUCUCCAAAAAUGCAAACCCCUUCCUAGAAGGAAAGAGUUGUCCCCAAACCAUAAUGUCAUGAACCUGAUUCCGGGAGGGAAAAAGGGAGCGCGACACAAUGCACUCAAUAUGUCCAAUAAUCCAAUUCAACACAAAAGGACCAACCAUAUUGAUGUAAGUCAUCAUUUCUGAGGGACAAUAUGGAGAAAGGGUUGAACUGUAUGAAGUUGCGCAGCACAGAAGACCAAAUUGCAGAUAUUUUCACCAAAGCAAUGAGUGGGGAACAUUUUGAAAGAAACAGGAUGAAUCUGGGGCUUUUGAAGCCCAAUUGAGAACCCGAUUCCUCAUCAAUUGGCAAUAAAAGUCACCUUCAGGUAAAACUAGCUAAAGUAUUUUCUGGUCAAAUCUAACUCACUGCAAUACCAUUACAGGUACACACCCAUGAUGAGUAUAGAAGAUGUGGAUGCAAGGCAUGUAUGAUAAAAGAGGAUUGAUAUUUUCAAAUAAUAGGUCAAGAAUCUGGUUCUUCUACCAAAGGCUAGUAGUUCUGUGCAUUCUUUAAUACACGUCUUGAAAAGAUACAAAAAUCAAUUGUCAUGUCAUCCACCUUUUCAGACCCUGCUAUCAUGUCUCUUGACAUCAAUUAUUCCAUCUCCCUCUAAAACGUAGCACUUCUCCAAGCACAACCACCAUUUCAGAACCGGUUCCUAUCUCUCUCUUCAUAAUUAUCCACUCUUAAUAAAACCCUUCUCUUUUCUCCACAAACCAUAAGUCCUCUAUUAGAACUUCGUCAAAGAACCUUCUCCCCAUCUCUUCAAUGGCUGACACAAACUCCGAAAUCCCUGCUUUAGCCGUCUCAAAUAUUGAAAAACCUAUGGAGUCCUCUGUAUCCACUGAUUCUUCUGUAACCACUCAUGCUCUCACCGUUGAAAUCACCCUCUAAUCUAGAUUCCCCGUCUCACUCCAUCCCACAAACACCUAAAAUUAUUGAUCUGUCCUCUCUAUCUUCUGAGUUUCCCAUUGAUCGAAGAAAAGUGGAGAACAAGGUCAAAGUCCUGAAGUUGCAGAGGGCUCCGCCAUUGUUGCUACAGAUUCUCUGGUGGUAGUAGAGCCUAUUGAGGAAGAAAAUGUCAUAACCAUCUUUGUGGUAUCUGCUGAUGGCGUCCUGCAUGAGAUAAUUUCUCAGAGAUACGAGAUACAUGGAAUGAGGGAUGAAGGAGCCAUAGUAACUGUAAAGAGCUCUACACUAGCAGAAAGUACUGGGCCCUCCCAUGAGGAACCUGACCCCUCUCCGGAGGACCCAGGUCAAGGUUUUCACUCCUAGGCCAGUUCUGCUCCUGCGUUUGUUGUUACGCCCUUGUACAUUUAAGCUCCUGAGAUGAGUUCUAGCGAUGAGGAGGAUUUAGACAACCUGGCUCUUGAUGCUUUCAUAGUCAAGCAAAUGAUUGUGUCCACUCCUAAGUCUUCUAACAAGCGACCUUCUACUAGGUUGCAAGCAAAGGUAGCCUAUGACUCUGCCCUUCAAAAGAGCAGAAAAAUAGUAAGGAUCAAAGGAGGAGAUUGGUGAAAGACAAUGUGCUAGUGUGUGAUAAGGUUGUACCAGUGGUGGAGGUUGAAGAGGAAACAACUUAAGAACCUAGUUCCCUAGUAAAAAGGUCCCAGAAGAAGAAGGGAUUUGAUUCGACAGAAAAUGUUACAAUCCCCACUUUCAUGUUGAAAGAUGUUGGAAGUGAGCUCUCCAUUUCUGAUGCAGAUGUGUUAGUCAAGUCUAAGGUAAAGGCAAAAUCAAGUGGUGUUAAACCUGGAAAACAUAAGUCUAAAACCGUUAAAGAACCUGGCUCUGUGAAAAAACUGAGAAGUGAAAGUAGUUCUGCUUUAAAAUGCCUAAGGCACCAAAAGGUUCUGCUGGGUCGUAACCGAUCUAUGAUACGGCUGGUAUGCGGCAAGUUCUUGCAAUGGUUGAGUUCCAACAAUGGAGGAAUCUGUUUCAAAUGGAUGUACAAAGCUUUUAUGCCAGCCUCUUUCCCGUUGAUACCGACCAUAUCUGUACCUUGGUGAAUAAUGUAGACGUUGUGUUUCACGUGAGUUUGCUCGGGGAUAUUCUCAAAGUCCCUACGGAUGGUGUGUCUUUUCAGAAGGAUGCGUAUCAGUAUAAUUUUUGAAAUAUUGUGGUAAAGGACAAUGCAAACCAAAAAGGGGACCAGAUCCACAAGAAGGCACUAGUCUCUAUUAUCAGUUGCUCUUCGAAUUGGUAAAUAAAGUUCUGAUGCCUCGUGGUGAGAGGAGGUCCAUGACCUCUAAGUCUAACUUAUUUUUGAUGGAGCAACUAGAUGGCUUUAAUCCUAUCAACCUGCCUGUUAUUAUGAUCGAACACAUGCAAAAAGUAGCAACAUUCAAGGAUGGUAAUCAUGGUAUUCUAUAUGGGUUUUUUGUUUACGCAAGUGUUUAUGUUUUUAAGAUGCCAUUGGGGCAAGGCAAGGUAGGAACCAAGAAGCCUCUUUCUCACAGAUAACGUUGGAAGAAUGUGAAUGGACAGAAAAGAGUGGGGGUAGGUAGUACAUCAACCAUCUCAUAGCUCAUUAAUGCUCAAAAUAGUGCAAUCGAGGAGAUUCAAAGGUUGAAGGCUAAGAAUGCUAUCCUGGAAGGUCAGUAAGCCCAAGGGGCUCCGGCCUCAAAUGAUGAAGUGGCUCAUUUGGCACAAGAGAAUACUAAUCUCAGGUCACAAGUGGGGAACGUGAAAAUAGAACUGCUCAAUGAGCAAAAGUCGGCCAAUGCUCGAAUACACUUAGCUCUCUAAACUCUUGCUGCAGCUUCCAAGCCCUCUAAUCCUAGUGCCCCUUAUGUAUUCAGUGACAAGUUACUAGAUUAUCUCUUUUAAGUUCUUUUUUUACUUGGAAGUUGUUUUGUUCAAUCUUUUGAUGCGGUUGGGAUGUAACAGUACUGCUCCAGUUUUUAAUAGUCCAACUUUGCCUUUGCUUAACGCAAAGGUAUAUGAUUUAUAUAUAUCAAAUCCAUCCUCUAUUAUUAUCUUAUUGUUUGUAUUCUCUACUUAUCUUCUCCAUCAUGUUGGGUGUACAUAUAUGGCAUGAGUUAGCUAGGCUAGACUUCUAUAUACAGAUUAUCUGUUUGUUCCUUUUCAAUGAUGCCAAAAGUGGGAAGUUUAUUUUGAAUCAGGGAUCUGAUUAAGGGGGAAGCACAAAGUUAGGGGAAAUUGUAAAGUUGUUGUUGCUUCAUUUGGUUAUUUUUAAUCUAAAAAUAAUGUUAUAAGUGUUUAAGUUUGUCAUCAUCAAAAAGGAAGAAAUUUAUGGGUUUUCAAUACUUUAGUCUUAUGCUUCGAUAAUCUAACAAACUUACUCUCAAGAACCAGAUAAGGAACCUGACAUACUUGGUCUAUAUUGCAAAUUAACGGACUCUAGCUAAAUAUGAACUGAUAUAGCUACAGGACAUAGAGACCCAAACAAAGGACCCAAUACCCUUAUUGUUUCCUCACAACAAUACGAAGUCAAUUGCGCAUAGCUGGAAAGAGAUGCGACUGACUGCACUGUUAUGCCUGUACUGCACUUUCCAGCGGUCACUUUUCUUUGACCAACCAAUUUCUUACAUCAUUCAAGUUAUGUCAUCAAGGUAUAUUAACAAAAGCAUUAUAACAAAACAUCACUUGAACACUUGGAGAUUUACUUCAAGCAUUCAAGCCUUCUGCAAAAUAGUGAACUUAAUUCUAAAGAGCUAGAAGAACAAAGUUAAAUACUGCUACGGAAAAGUUCCUAAAUCUAGUAUUGUGUUAUCCUUAUUUGAGUUGUAACUUUCUGAUUGUUCUUAUUUUAAUUCCUAAAAUUGUUUAUCUAGAAGGGUUGAGUAGUGUUAGGGCCUGACUCUUUGUCAUCAGGCGUGGCACAGCUGUGAUAAGGAUUUAGACGUGAUGGCCUUGUCAUUGGCCUAUGUGCGGACAAAAUGAUCAUGUGGGCGACUAAUUAUUAUGGGAAAGUAUUGGCCAAGGUCCUGGGACAGGCAAAACAAGCAUAGAAAAGUCUUGACAAGACAGUGUGGGCUAAGUUGCGCGCCAAAACUAGUGGCACAGGCAUUUUAGGUUGCGGCAGCUAAGUGCGGGCUAAGCUAAGGAAGGCAGAAAUGCAAGAUGCUGGCAAACACUUUCAAUAGCUAAGGCAAGCCCAUGUGAAGUAAAGUACAAGCAAUGGUACGAGGGAAAUGAAGUUUGACAUGGGCAAGGCAAAAACUAGGCCAAGGUAGUAUGCGGGCGGCAGCGGCGUCGGGCGUGUGUGAAAAAUUAAUGGCGGCAGGUUGCGGGCAAGACACUGGUGCGGUUCAAUUUCAAAUUGAGGUAAGGCUUGGAACAAAGCAAGACUUGGGUGUGAAGCAUAGAUGACCAAGUCAAAUGCGCAUGCAAGGCACAUGCCAAAACAGUUGGGGGUUAUAGUUUCUUAACCUCUUGUACCCAUAACUUCCCAUGAAUGAUUAUGCUUGUAUCCAUUAUCCCAUUUCGUGUAUAUCAUGUCCUAGAUAGUUGGGGAUGUCAACUACAUGUUAGGAACAAAGUUCCUUAGCCUGACAAGUGGCAAAAGCCGUAGACAACAAGUGCUAUUGUGUUGUCAAGUCCUAAUGGAUGCCUAUAUGUUAUAAAUAGGGCCUUGGAACUUAGUCAAAUUUAUGUGAGUAACUUCGUGUAUAAUUAUAAGUGGAAAACAAGAGUGAAACAUGAGGAUUUCAAAGUGUUUCAAAAGGGACUGGGCUAGGCUUCGGCGGGUCUUAGUAUUGGCCAAGAACGACUUGUGUUCUUUGUCAAAAGUGGGUUGUGAACGACUUAUGUUCAUAGCAAUGUGAGGGAUCAUUUGUAUAUUUUUGAAAUUAAUGAAAAGGUUGGGAUUUUCCCAUAUUUCUUGUGUUCUUAUUGAAUUACUACCAAAAUUUCAUUGAGGCCAAACUUGCUGAAAUUUGGCUAAGUGUUAAAAAAGGUUGAGUCAAGUGUGUGACCUGACUGUCACGCGGGUAUGACUUUGGACUGACCAAAAAUGCCCUCGUGACAACUGGUAUCUGAUUGGAGGUUUGUGGGAGUGGCAAGAUGAUCGGUGGCAGAUUGUUUGGUGCUAUUUGAGAACAUGGCCGGUGGCACAAAUGCUGAAUUGCAUCAAAGGGUGGAGCAUUUGGAAGCACUCGUUGGGAAAGCUCUUGAAGUAGAUGGCGAUUUUUUUGUUCUUAUAAGAAUGGCACAUUUGGAGGCAGAUUAUCUGGUAAGGCAUGAAACUACGUUGGUAGAAAUGGCAUUGGUAAGCAAAGAAAAAGAAGAACUACGCUAGGAAGUGGUUCAAAUUCGAAGAGCAUUGCAAACUACUGCCCCAAGAAAUGAUGAACACACAAAGUUGAGGAUUCUGAAGUAAAAGGAAUAUGGGGUGCAAGAAGUGCCAAAGAACUGGAAAAUUUCUUUUGGGACAUGGAGCAGUAUUUCCAGGUUGCUCGUGUGUCGGAUGAUAAAAAGGUGACAAUCACACAAAUGUAUUUGACUGAUGAUGCAAAAGUGUGGUGGCAUACACAAGUGAUAGAAGUGGAAAGUGCUGGAUAGCCCAAGAUUGAAACUUGGGAGAUGCUGAAGAAGGAAUUAAAAUCCCAAUUCCUUCCAACUAACUCGUCGUGGGUUGAACGAGAUAGACUGUGUCGCUUGAAACAAAGUGGCACGGUGAGGGAUUAUGUCAUGGAAUUUUCGUCCUUGAUGCUGAAUGUAAGUAAUAUGGCAAUGGAAUACAUGCUGCAUUACUUCAUGAGUGGAUUGAAGCGCUAGGUGCAAUUGGAGUUGAGAAGGCAGACUUAGAAAAGCCUCUCCACUGCCAUUGUUGCGGCAAAUGCAUUGACGGACCUAAACAUAGCUGAUGACCUUGCUGAAACUUCGCAUUCAAAUUCUGAUGGAAGGAAAGGCAAAGCAAGGUAAUGGAAGAAAUGUGGAAAAGUCCAAGCUGCCGAAGAUAAUGGACUUGCCAAGAAUGUGAGAUGGGAAAUUCACAACAGCAAGAAAAAGAGAGGCAAAUUCAAAGGCUGCUUUACUUGUGGUGGACCGCACUUGAAGAAUGACUAUCUGAUGCAGGCUAGGGUGAAUGCUAUGUUGGCUGUAGAAAAACAGGAACAAGUGGCGGAGGCAAAUGUCAUUGUGGCUGAUGUGAAUGGAGCAACAGGGACGUUGUUUUUCAACAACCCCUUGGGGCUGAUUAAUUGAGUUGGCUCGAUGAGGACAUUGAUUUCAAAGGGUGCGAAUGGUUUGUUAGGGCCUGAAUCUUUGUCAUCGGGCGUGGCAUAGCUGUGACAAGGAUUUGGGCGUGAUGACCCUAUCAUUGGCAUAUGUAGGGAUAAAACGAUCAUGUGGGACGGGCUAUUAUGGGCAGUAUUGGCCAAGGUCUUGGGACAGGCAAGACAAGCUUGGAAAAGGCUUGACAAGACAUUAUGGGCUAAGUUGAGGUGGCAUGGCAUGAUAUGCGCCCCAAAAUCAGUGGCACGUGCAUUUUGGGUUGUGGCAGCUAAGUGCGGGCUAAGAUAAGGCAAGGCGGAAAUACGGGAUGAUGGAAAAGGCUUUCAAUAUCUAAGGCAAGGCUAUGUGAAGGAAAAUACAAAAAAUGGCACGAGGUAAACGAAGGUUGACAUGGGCAAGGCAGAAACUAGGCCAAGGCUGUGUGCAGGUGGUAGCGACGUUAGGUGUGUGCGGCAAAAUCAUGGCCGCAAGUUGCAUUCAAGACAUUAAUGCUGAGCAAUGUAAAAUUGAGCUCAGUCUUCGCACAAAACAAUCCUUGGACGUGAAUCAUGUUCACCAAGUCAAAUGUACAUGCAAGGCACAUAUCAAAGUAUUUGGUGGUUAUAAUUUCUUAACCUCUUGUACCCAUAACUUCCCAUGACUAAUUCUACUUAUAUAUAUUAUCCCAUUUUGUGUAUAUCAUGUCCUAAGUAGUUGGGGAUGUCAACUACAUAUUAGGAACAGAUUUAGCCUUAGCCCGACAAGUGGCAAAAGCUGUAGACAACAAGUGUUAAUAUGUUGUCAAGUCCUAAGGGCUGCCUAUAUAUUAUAAAUAGGGCCUUGGGACUUAGUUAGAUUUAUGUGGGUAAUUUUGUGUGAAAUUAUAAGUAGGAAACAAGAGUGAAACAUGAGGUUUUCAAAGUGUUUCAAAAAGGACUACGGCUAGGUUUGGGCAGGUCUUAGUGUUGGCCAAGAACAGCUUGUGUUCUUUGUCAAAAGUUGGCUGUGAAUAACUUGUGUUCAUAGAAAAAUGAGGGGACAUUUGUAUAUUUUUGACAUUAAUGCAAUGGUUGGGAUUUUUAUGUAUUUUCUUGUGUUCUUAAUUAAUUCCUGCCAAAAUUUCUUUGAGGCCAAACUUGAUAAAAUUUGGCUAAGUGUUUAGUAAAGGCUGAGUCAAGUGCGAGACUUGACUAUCCCGUGGGUGUGAUUUUAGACUGACCAAAAAUGCCCCCGUGACAAUUAGGAACCAUAAACUCUCUGAAUUUGUGUUGUGACUAGAGUUGGUCAUAAAUUAAAGUCUUUGUAACUAGUGAGUGACAAAAUGGCUUGUGGUAAGAGUAUCACAAGUUAGUUGAGUUGAAGUCUUUGUAAUGGAGUCAUUACAAAAUGGCUUGUAAUAGUGUGUCUACAAGUUAGUGAAGUUAAAAGCCUACAAGCAUAUGUCGUGAUUUUUAUCCCUUUGAGAUGGAAUCUUUUCACGUAAAAAUCCUGUGUCUUAUUUACUUAGUGUUUCAUUAACAUUCUCAGUAGAAACUCAUAAAGACCAGGUACUCUAUAGUUUGUUGGACUCAUAUAAGCUAACAUUACUAAUAGUUUCAUGGCUCUGAUUAGUUUAACAAUACGACACAUCUCUUCAUGAUUAUAGUUAACUUGACAAUUUUAUGCUUGCGAGUUGCAUACCUUCACAUCACUAACGUAUUAUAACAAGGCCGGAAAUUACGUAUAACGUAUAUAUGGUCAUGAUGCAAAGGAGAUAUUUUAAAGCAAGUAUGUUUAAUAGUUUCAUGCAACCAUUUGGUCUCCUGUGUAAAUGUGAUCUAUAGGGGUGAAUGCACGUAGGCCCAAGUGGUGUAACGUGACACUGCUUCGUCCGAAAAUUUGACUAAUUUCGGUUAUGCUAGAUGAUAUGCAAAAAAAACAAAAUAAGAUAUAGUAUAAAUAAAGUAACACCACUUAACAAAUUGGUUCUUAGUCCAAUGGUCCAGUGCCUGGUUCCCUUAUUGAAGGUCGAGUGUUCUAUUCUUCAUGCCUACAUGAUUUCUCACUUAUUUGUGUUAAGUUUUGCUAAUACAUUGAAAAAACUAGUAGAAAGGAAACUUCUAUGAUGGUUAAGUAAUAAGAAUUAUUGUAUUAUAUUUAAACUCUGUUAUGUAGUUUUUCAUGUGUUGGCUUGCUACUUAUAUCACCGUUUAUGUAUUAGUUGUGACAUCGCUUAUGAAAAGUUCUGCGUACGCCCCUGGUGAUCUAUCGAACAGAGAUAGUGGUAUGUGAUUUAAUGGCACACACAUUGACUUUUCACUCGAUUAAGAAGUCUCAAUGAUCCUUCUAUUUUGUCUCUCCGUCAUUUUUGGUGGUUUACUUUAUACUUGUAUCUCUCUUCCAAAUGGUACACCAAGGAGAUACAACGAUAAGCCGUACAGAAUAUUGAGAAUCCGCACUAAUAUUAGAACUGAAAUGAAAUCAGGUCCUAAAUAACUCCUAGUAAGUCAAUUUGAUAUAUAUUCAUGAAUGAAUAGGAAUAAUCAAUCAUGAAAUCCAUGAGAUAUGAUUAUGGUUUCUUUUCAUUCUAAUCACUAUUAUAAUAUCGGAAAAGGGCCUAAAAUACCCAUAUCGUAUGGUAAAUGGUAUUAAAAGCCCCCGUCCAUCUAUCCAUCUGAAAAUAAAUAGGACGUUAAUUGUAUUAUCAAAUAUACCCGCAACUAACGGAACUCCAUGUGGGCAUCCCAUUAAAUGAUGUGGCAUUCUAUCAUUUGUCCACGUGGCUCAGCGGGGCUGAUAUUGUAUAUUGAUAAAUUUUUUAUCCAUUUAACCGAUCUGACCCACUCAUUCUACCUUAGACCACUCUUUUAACCUUAUACCCACAUAUUUUACUUGUCUUCUUUCCCAAUUUAAAACCUAGGUCAUCAGGUUGUUUACUAUAUUCUUCUUCCCCAAACUUUUUCUUUUUUAACUAAUUAAAUCUUGGCUUUUUCUUUCAAAAAAAGUAGUUACAAAAAGUGAUUCAAGACUGAGUGUAUUCCCUGAAGCAUUACUAUUGUUAUCUUCCUUCUUAGAUUUGUCUUGCACGGUAGUCUAACCAUGUGCCUCCAAUGAUUCAAUGCCAGCAUUGAACCUCUAUGUCACAUUUCCAAGAUUUGGCCCCUUCUGUAAUAAUGAAAGAAGGUGAUGAUAUGCUUGGCUAUCCACAUUUACAGGUUUUUCAAUCUUUGUAUGCUAAAUACUCCAGCCUUGUGGUUGUGAAUUAGACUUCUUCUCACUAAACUAUGACAACAUUGUAUGUUUGAGGUCUUCACAAGUAAGGAUCAUCGGUGCUGCCUCCCGUUUACUGGACUUGUAAACAAGCUUAGGCCCCCCAAGCGGUGAAGAAGGUAACUUCGAGGUAGACUUACUUGUACGCUCAAGACUUUUAUAGGAGAAUUCUGACGGUAAUCCAAAGUAUCACCCUCAAAGGGUUGUGUUAUGUUUUUAUCACCCCCUAUAAUUAAUGCAAGCAAAUCGUUCGGUAUAAUAUAAAAUAAGUGACCCACAUAAAAAUUAAUGGGUCAGAUCGGUUAAAUUGGCCAAAAAUUACUCAAAUACAAUGUCAGCCCCACUGAGCCACGUGAACAAAUGAAAGAACGCCACAUUAUUUAAUGAGAUGCCCACAUAGAUUUGCGUUAGUCGUGGGUGUAUAUUUGAUAAUAGAAUAACGUCCUAUAUAUUUUCAGACGGAUAGAUGGAGGGAUGGGGGCUUUUAUAAACCAUUUACAAUACAAUAGGGGUUUAAGCCUUUUCCGUUAUAAUAUUAUAUUACCAUAUAUGAAUGCUAUUUUCUUCUUAGUUCAUUUUAGAAUAGGAAAAAGGUCAUUAUUAUCCACGUACUAUUGUAAAUAGUACAUGUUUGUCCUCCAUUUCACUUUAUGUCCAAACCACAUCCUACCAUUAACAAACUUGAUGGAAAUACCCCUAACCCUAACAAAUGGCCAAUGUAGCAGUUGACCUACUCCAUUUCCAUGUUAGCUAUCAAGUCACUUAUUUACUGAAUUAAAAAAAAUAAAACAUAUCUGAAAAAACUUAUGGAAUCACUAACUAAGAAGAUCGAGACACUGUCAAAAGCCAUAGAAGUCGAAGCAAGAAAGCAAAAAGUCUGUCGAAAUCUUGCCGGAGUUGGGUCCGAAACCUUCUCCAGCAUCUUUUUUUCUUUUUUCAUCAUUUUUCAUGUGAAAUACUCUUUCCCAAGAACAAAAAACGGAUGAAAACAGAGUUGCAGUAUGACCCCAUAUCAUCCGACCACUAGAAUCCGACAAAUCCACCGGAGAAGCUCCAUAUGACCCCAUCCUAAUUUUUUAAGUUGUCUUUUUCUCAUUUUUUAUUUUUUAGUUUAUUGGUAUACAUCAUCCUCCAAGAUUUAAACUUUUAGUCGUUAAAUUAAACCAUGUUUCAUGGAUCUAAAUUUACUGUUGGGUUUCACUAGAAGAUAGGGAAGCAUUUGGUUUGGACUUUACAUAGAAGUUAAGAAAGGGAAAAGUUAAGCAAUAAAAAUCUGAAAUUCGUGCUUAUUUUCUACUGAAAUCGGAUGGAAAAAAUAAAAAUUGAAGCUUGAAAUGAGAAGAAUAACGCUGAUGUUUAUAGAUUUGAAAAGAAAAAAAAUCACCAUUGAAGGAUUUGAAAGAAUGCUUAAGUAUAUAAAAGGGGUAUUCUAAUUUAAUUUGUUGAAGUUUAAGCAAAGUGUUAGCUGGAAUUUAUUGAGAAUAUUAAUGUUAAGAAGUUAUGUUUGCAACUUGAGUCAGUUUUAUGAAACACUUGGUCUAAUUUGGAUUGAAAAAUUUGAAGCAAAGAUGAAGAACUCAUGGUAGAAGAAGUAGGGAUCCCGGACGGGGUGGGAGUGGGGUUGGGGGGAUAUUUUUUUAUUUUUUUUAUUGAGUAAAUAAGUGACUUGGCAGCUGACAUGAAAAAAAUGGAGUGCGUCAGCUGCCACAUUAGCCAUCCGUUAGAGUUAGGGACAUUUUCAUCAAGUUUGUUAAUGGUAAGGUGGGUUUUAGACGUAAAGUAAAAUGAAAGACAAAUGUGUACUAUUUACAAUAGUACAGGUAUAAUAAUGGCAUUUUCCCUUUGAGAAUUGAUAUUUUCCAAAGUUUACUUGGAGAAUGAAAAAUAUAUAAAAGAAGAGCAGAAGUUGGAGUACUCUUUUCUCCAACUAUGAACUAUCCACAUUCUUUGACAUCAGUUUUGAUGAGUAAGUAGUACAGUAGUAGUUUUUUUCAAGGCUUUGAAAUCGCAUGUAUUUGUCGUUCAAUGGGCUCGUGACAACGGUGUAUGUCCAUAAAGAAUAAAAUUGUUUUCAAAUCACGCAUUUCUUUCUCCUAGAUACAAUUAUUCAUACAAAAUCUUAAUCCAUUUUAACUUUUGAAACAUAAAAGGCACAUCUUCUCAAGUUAAAGUCCGAUUAAGAUAUCAAUCUAACCUUAGUAAACAAAUAUUGAUGAAAUUCUCAAGUUUCAUCAAAGUUAGCAGCAUUGUAGUCUUUCAUAUACAGUUGCAAAGUGACGUUAUGGAUGAAAAAUGAAUUAUUACCGUGAAUUAAUCAUACAAUUCUACUAAAAUAAACGUCUCUUUCUUCCAGGAUAUAAAACUUGAUUUUUAUCUUGGUAGGUAUUAACUCAUGUCCAAUCAUUUGACCUCGGCAAACAAGUCAUGAUAUGACAAUUUAUAUUGAUCAUUAAUAAAAAUUUGUGCUUUAUUUUUUGAUGCAUAAAUAUAUAUUUACUCAAAGCAUUAUCUUAGAAUAUUAAUAUUAUAUUAUAGUAUCACGUAUUAUAUAACACGGCAUACACCUACAUUUCUUGUGCCGAGAAACUAGGUUAAAGGAAAUAAGUAUGUAAUCCACAUUCUGGGUCACACCUAAGGGUAUCUAAUGGGUGGGCCGCGCCGGGCAGGGUAGGCAAAUUUUGGAACCAGACUGAUUGAGAACGAGUCGGUUACGGUUUAGGGCUUACCGAGUUUAACGGGUUCGGUUUCAUCUGGAUAAAAGAUGAACCGUACAGGUUACGGGUACAAGGGGUUGGGCCGGGCCAGGUUAGUGUAAUCUUUAAUUUUUUUUUUGUAUUUUUUAUAACUAUUUUAAAUUAUAUUAAUAUAAAGUAAAAAUAUAAAGAAUACAAUGAAAAUGGGGAAAAAAUUACACUUAUAAAUAGAAAGUGUUACAUCUAUUCUAAAUACAAUUUGAAGUUCGCAUUUAAAAAGUAAAUUAAUAAAAAAAAAGUAAACAAAAUUUUCAUGCAUAAUAAUACUUCAAAUUAAUCUAACAAACUAAAACAUUAAGCAUAAAUACGUCUAAUAAUUUUAAAAUAACACAAAUUGUCUAAGAUCUACUUAAAUAAGAAUUUCUGGAGGAAGCUCAAGACAACUUUUCAUAUGCCUCCUUAAACUGCAUAUGCCACACUUUGACCGAGAUUUAAGACUCGACCACAGUUCUUGCACUUUACUUUCUGAACUUUUUCAUUUUCUUCUGCUACCUCAAAGUAUUCCCAAAUAUAUUAUCGCACUCUAGAAGUACGGGGUAUAAUUUAACUUGAAUUGAUAAUUUGAGUUUGAGAAAUAAGAAAUGUGUGAAGAGAGGAAGAAGAGGUGGGUUGUAUUCACAGUUUUUCAAAGGGUUGAAUUAAUAAUUACAAAAAGUGUUAAAUUUUAAAAAAAAAAAUAGGCCCAAAAAAGGGCUAAAUGUGCAAAACGGUCGUUGGGACAAUGGUCAGAAAGUAAAAAACUAAAAAAAAAACAAAAAAGAAAUUCGAAAGUAGCCAUUAUACCGAUCUGGGCCAGUUCGGGCCAGGCCAGUUAACCGAUUAUACUAUAAAAAUUGUUGACCGGAUUUGAUCGGACCGAUUAACUGGUAGCGCUAACAUAAACGAACCAGCCCCUUGCCCCAUUAGCUCAGCCCCGCCCGGCCCGUUAGACACCCUUGAAUGAAACUCACACCAUACUUCUCUUCUUCAGUUAAUUCAUGUGUCGCACCAUACUUCUCUUCAAGUUGCAUUUUCCACUAGAACGGUCGCCUAAAACCCACGUUGUUUCUGAUGACCACAAUUCUUCUCCUCCUCCAAAUAUCUCAAGUCACCUUCACCAAUGGCUUCUAUGGCUGUAUCACAUCUAUCUUCUCCACUCUCAGUUAUCAAAAGGGCUUUGAGAAUGCCUCCCUUCCUUUGCCCGGUGGAAGAAUAUGAUGCCAAAAACUGAAAUCCCAAUAGAAUUGAGUAAUGUAUUAAUCCAUUUCUUUGCUUCUUUUUUUCCCCUUCAUACUCAUGCUCUUUAGCUCCUUCAAAUGUUUGGAAUUUUGAUUUGCUUAUUACGGUACCCAGCAUUUCCUAGUGGGGUGGAAGUAAUCAGACUCCGCGAUUUUGGCCCAUCGGUUUGCAUCUAUUAUCUGUUGUAAAAAUGUGCUUAAUCUGUUUCAUUAUUUACUUGAAAUGACAAAUCAGUUAAUGUUGGAAUGAAAUGGACUCGAAUAGUGGAAUGGAUAUGUAGGACUUAUACACCCGCCCCAACUAGUUCGGGAUUGAGAUGUAGUUGAUUUUUUCUUCUAACUACAUAUUUCAAGACUAAAAAGGAAAGAUUGACAUAAGGCAUAGUUGGUUGAUUCAUUUGUUUCAGCAAUGUGAUUGAUUUACUGAUGAGGGCUGCGUUAUUUUCAGUUUACCUGUUUGUUCUAGUGGGUAGAGUGAUUGUAUAGAAUCCGGGGUGUCACCUAUGGCUAUAAUGAAUAUGUCUAUCAAUAGUAACAUCUUUCUUGGGCAUUUCCCUGAGCUAUCAUGUGCGGUGUUCUCAUGGUUGAGGUAUGUAUAUGACUUAUUUCUUCAUUCCAUGACUGAUACUGAAUGUGCAUUUCUGUUGGUUCAGUGGUCUUAUCUUAUUGAGUGUGGCAUGUUUAGAGUUCCUCUUUUUAAAAUCGAAGUAAUUGGAUCAAUUUGCUGUCUUAUUACCAACUUCAGAUUUUAAGGCCAAUGCUAAUUUAACUGAUGAUAGUUCUGAACUUUCUUCAACGAGUGUUGCUUCAUGUCGUUACCGAACAGAUAGGUGAAGUCCUUAAUUUUUACGAGUUACUCUUACCCAAGCUGGUGGCUCGGUUAUGAUUGUAACCUGAAGGUCGGGCUCCAGAGUGAACUUCUUAGCUGGAAAGACAAAGUAAGGUGGUUCAGGAAGCCAGUGAUGGCCUAUGUUUUGCAGACUCUCCAAAAUGUUGCCGCACCCGUAUCGGAUCCUCCAAAAAUGUACUUCGGCACACACCAGGCAACAUUUUCAUAGAGUCCGAACAACAUAAGUGGUAGCUGGAAAUACCUUAGUUAUGAGAAUGACACUGAUCUUGAAAAGGAACAUAUUUCUAGGACUAAAAAUAGAUGUUUAGAUAGUCAUUACUUUUGGUGUAAAAGCAAUCUGUUAGUGAAUCUUGAUCAGUAUGUGCAUUUUCUGGAUUUAUUAGGAAGAAGGAUGUAGUAGUUUGCUUCUUUUUGGCUUCUGUCUGAGUGAUGUACUACUUUCAUAGUUUGUACCAUCUUGGUACCUUAGCAAUAAAAUCUUAACCUUAUAAAAAAAUGAGAAGACACUGAUCAAGCUGCAAAAACUGUUUGGAAUAACAAAAGAUGAAGGAAAGACAUAUCUAGCAUGGGAUGUGGUUUGUGAGGGUGAGUUCUUGAUGGCUGCAAGCAGCGAGUAACUCUGUGCAGCUACAAGUCCGUUGCUAGGCAACUUUCUGGCACCUUGAUCAGUUUUCUCCCUCCAUCUGCCCCAUUUAUGUUAAAGUAGGGAAUCUAAUUGAUCAUCUGAUGAGUAGUUCUAUGAGCUUUUGGUUUCAGUCCUUGCCAAAGCUAAACGAAAUGGUUUGAUACAUUCAGGACGAACGCGUAUUUCUUAUGUCUGUGAACAAAGGUCUCUUUGUCCUUCCGUGCAUUGUUAUGACAAUUCUAAUUCUUGUUGUAUGAGAUAUUGCACUUGUAACCCCAGAAGGCAGCAACUCACUGACAAUGCUGCCUUCCUGGUUGAAUUAUGUUGUUGUGAAGGGUUUUGCCGCAUUUUGAUAAAAUUAUCAAUUGAAACUGUAGAUUAUGCUCAUUCUUGAACUAGGUUCUUCAGACGUUAAGUCAGGAUUCUUGAAUCUUUUGAUUGGAAUUUUUACUUCCAUGUCUCUGCCUCUGAAUUGUGACAAUUGUUAUACUGUAAUACUUGGGCCAGAGCAAUCCUAAAUGUAAGUAUAUAAAUUAUGUAAGAUGAUAAACUGUCUCAAGCGAAGAAUUUAAACUUUCUCAAGGGGGAAAGCUUGGAGGGACAAAUCCAAGCUUUGGUUUCUUCUUUCUACAUCCAUUGACUCUUUACAAUGAAAUGUUUAAUAACACGAAAUCCCUUACAAACCAAGAGCUCCAAGGGGUGUCUUCCCUUGCCCGGCCUCAAAGUAGAAAAUUAACAUGGCUAACAUAGCAAGUCUAGCAUGCUUGAUCUCAGCAACCUUCAGUCUCUCAAGCUUCUCUGUGUCAGGGAUGUAAACACCGUCCUGAAGUGUACCAGCUAAGGACAAGGGAUCAAAGAAUUUGCCGCCAG
RNAcentral lists this long non-coding RNA (94771 nucleotides) under Nicotiana benthamiana. Its description in RNAcentral is "long non-coding RNA (NBEN_LNC037549)". The record is from RNAcentral. Lineage: Eukaryota; Viridiplantae; Streptophyta; Magnoliopsida; Solanales; Solanaceae.